This 161860-nucleotide long non-coding RNA is filed under the name Setaria viridis. RNAcentral describes it as "long non-coding RNA (SVIR_LNC006068)". The record is from RNAcentral. Lineage: Eukaryota; Viridiplantae; Streptophyta; Magnoliopsida; Poales; Poaceae.
GAUUCUAUGGCUAAAAGUGAUUCUUUUUUAUUCUUUUAUUCCGAAUUUGUAAUACCGUUAAAGAUUUCUUCGUGGAUAAACUUUUUAUCGAGAAUCACCUUAGUUUAAUCUCGGAUAAAAAAUAACCGAGAUUUUUACUGAGAGUGCAACCUUUGUUUCCUCUCUCUCUCUGCGCUAAUAAGCUCGUGCAAGCUAAGUUAGCGCGAGGCCCAUCAGCUAUCAAACUGGCCCAGCUUGGCCCACCUGCACCUCGCCCCUUAUCCCCGCCGCAGCUUUUGACCGCUAUCUCUUUCCUCCUUUCUUCUCCGCCAAUCGUUGGUUUGCGUCAACAGCAGGAGCUGAAUCCAAGCAAUCUCUUGCUUGCGAUACUUAAAUAUAAACACAAGGCUCCGACGCCGCGGGGAAGGAGGAGCAGCAAGCAAGCAACAAGGUACCCAUCCAAGAUCCGGGCUCCUCUUCCUCUUUCAAUUCGAUCCAAUACCUGAUCUCUCGUUUAUGCAAGCUGCAGGGAGAGCCGUCAACUCAAGAGGAUCGACAAGAACAAGAAGAUGGGCGGCACACUGCAGCAGCAGCUGCUGCUCUUCUUCUUCCUAUCUGCUGUCGCCCCGCAGGUCCGAGCCUAUUCUUUCUUCCCUUCCUCGGCUCUCUCCCCAUCGUCUGUUUGGCAACCAGCUGUUAAAGUUUAACACCCGUCACAUCGGAUGUUUGGAUGCUAAUUAGAAGUAUUAAACAUAAGCUAAUUACAAAACUAAUUGUACAGAUGGAGUAUAAUUCGCGAGACGAAUCUAUUAAGCCUAAUUAGUCCAUGAUUAGACAAUGUAGUGCUACAGUAACCAUUUGCUAAUGAUGGAUUAAUUAGGCUUAAUAGAUUCGUCUCGCGAAUUAACAUAGGGUUCUGCAAUUAGUUUUAUAAUUAGCUCAUGUUUAGUUCUCCUAAUUAGCAUCCGAACAUCCGAUGUGACACUGUUAAAGUUUAACACCUCGUAUGCAAACACCUCAAGCUGAAAUAUAUAUUCUACUGCACAACACCAAUAAAGGCAAUAACCAAACGCUAAAAGUACCCAGUCGACUCCAUCCUUUGUUUCUGGCACAGAUCUGCUUCACACAUAGAAUAAUUUAGUUGCUCGAGUACUGAAAUACCACACCGUACUUGUAAGACCUGAACGCACUGCAGCCAGCAAGACAGACAGUUCUAUCUACUUCUGCAAUUUCAUCAACUCAUGGAUGUGCAGGUAGUCAGAGCAGUAAAACCAAUCCCAAAUUCCAAUCUCGGGGUUGAGGAGGGAGACAAUUCCAUAGGAAUCAUCCAGGUCAUUCUGUUAAUCUUCUUUUCCUUUCUCCCACUGAACCCACAUCAUCUCUUGUAGUUGCUCAUGGUGUUGCAUGUCGCAGAAGGACAUCAUACAGACGGUCAACAAGCAUCCUGAUGCUGGGUGGACGGCUGCACACAAUCCUUACUUUGCAAACUAUACUGUAAGUGAAAUAGCAUGCAUAAAGCAUUCAUCAUUUUAUCUUUUCCCCGCUUGUUGACCAUGAAACCAUCACUGUUCCUGCAGAUUGCACAAUUUAAGCAUAUCCUUGGAGUGAAGCCCACACCACGGGAUGCGCUGACUGAUGUUCCUGCCAAAACUUAUUCUAGAUCACUGAAACUUCCAAAGGAGUUCGACGCCAGAUCUAAGUGGUCUCAUUGUAGCACAAUUGGGAACAUACUUGGUAAGUUUAUUUGAUCAACUCAAUGCUAACUCCCUUUCAGCCUGAAAUCUAUUUUAGUUCCCUGAUGAAUGUACUGACACACCUCAUUUCAUCUUUAUUAAUUUACCAAUCCUGUAUGACACUGGUCUUCGUGAGCAGAUCAAGUAAGUUUAUCACAAUAACUUAAAUUGUUAAACGCCGUACGGAACGAUGCAAGAUGCUCAUCGUAUUCUUUUAUCUUUGGUGGACAAUGAUAGGGUCAUUGUGGCUCCUGUUGGGCAUUUGGUGCUGUAGAGUGCCUCCAGGAUCGGUUUUGCAUUCAUAUGAACGUGGUGAGCAAAUAUAACUGAGAUGGGUAUUCUCAUACUGUUGAUAUUAAACUAGCAUUAUUGGUCCUUUUCUUGCAUGAAUAAGCUAUUGUUUCUUUUUCUUGCAGAACAUUUCACUGUCAGUUAAUGACCUACUGGCAUGCUGCGGUUUUAUGUGCGGUGAUGGUUGUGAUGGAGGCUAUCCUAUCAUGGCAUGGCGCUACUUUGUUCAAAAUGGUGUUGUCACUGACGAGGUAUUAGCCUACUCUCUACAACUUAACUGCCUGUGUAUGCUCCAUCAGUAAUCCUAGUUCUUUGAAGAAAUUUAUGUGGAUGGUACAUCAAUUACUAAUGCAAGCUUUGACUAAACCAUGCUAAAAUAUUAUAGCGUAAAUUUGAACUAGGAUAACCUUUUUCCUCCCAGGACAGCAAGGCAGUAGUAUAAGCAGAUUGUAAUCAUCCAUUGUCAUGCUUAAUUCUAAAAAUUUCCCAACAUGGUAAAGACACAGCAUAUUUAUUUGUUGAGUCCAGGACAGUUACUCUGUUUGAGUUAAAAAAUGUAAUGAUUUCAUUUUGUAUUGAUAGCAUAGAACACAGUAUGAAAUGGAUGAAUGAUCAGGAAACUUUCAACCUGUUAUACACAGAGAAGACCAACAGUUACACUCUUUUGCAGUGCGAUCCAUAUUUUGAUCAGGUCGGUUGCAAUCAUCCUGGAUGCGAACCUGCUUAUCCUACACCAGUGUGUGAAAAGAAAUGCAAGGUGCGGAACCAAGUUUGGGAGGAAAAGAAGCAUUUCAGUGUCAAUGCGUACAGAAUAAAAUCUGAUCCACAUGACAUAAUGUCAGAGGUCUACAUAAAUGGCCCUGUAGAAGUUGCUUUCACUGUUUAUGAGGUAAUGUCCAGUUUCUUGUCUCAAGUUUUCCAUGCAUUGUACCAAUGUUGUCAACAAAUUUUUAGUAGUAGCUAUCAAGGACUAUGGGGUGUAUUACUUUGAAAGGAAAAAUACAAAAUACAAAAUCUUAGAAAGGCUAUCUAAAUAAAAGCUCAGGAAGAACAGGACAAAACCAGAACAAGGGAAAGAGUACCAACCAAACAAACGGAUCAAGUAUAGACAGUACUGUGGUUUGAGAACAUUUUUAAGUCUUUGAAAAUAUAUUAUCUGAGUGAAAAGUGGCUCAGAUUCACUUUUAUUUUUCUGAUUUGACAAUGCAAAAAUCUCUCAGGACUUCGCCCACUACAAAUCUGGAGUAUACAAGCACAUUACCGGUGGCAUGAUGGGUGGCCAUGCCGUCAAGUUGAUUGGAUGGGGAACCAGUGACGCCGGAGAAGAUUACUGGGUAUGCUGUUGGAUCACCAUAUUAUUAUGUGCAUUGUCAAACGAUGAGGCCAGUCCCUAAGUUGUUUUGUUUCAUCCUCUCUGCUUUUCAGCUUCUUGCAAAUCAGUGGAACAGAGGCUGGGGUGAUGUAAGUUUCUGGCGAAUACCUAGCUUACCCAAAUGACUAUUUGAAAUGCAGUAUCAUGUGUUGAGCAAUCGGUAAUGCUUUGCAGGACGGGUACUUCAAGAUCAUUCGAGGCAGAAACGAAUGUGGCAUCGAAGAGGACGUUGUUGCUGGAAUGCCAUCGGGAAAGAAUAUGGUUGGAAACUACGGCGGCUCCUUUGGAACAGCUGUAAUUUGAUUUGGUUGCUGCCCUAAUCUGAAGUAUCAUCGGAUACAAUAGCUAUGCAUUUUUAUAGCUGAUGAAAUUGGAGUAUUGUGUACAUGAGCACGUUGGCAAGGCUGGCAGGUUGCUGAGAUGGCAACUCCUGUUCUGAAUCGAAGUGAUCAAUUGAUAUGUAGCACAUACUGGAUAAGAAGCCUGUGUAAUUGAUCGACAGACAGACAUAAUAAGAAGCCUGCUGAAUAACUGAUGGAGUGCAAACUAAUACUACAAUACAUGACAUUACUGUGGAUGGUUUCUCAGCAAGCAGGCGAGGAGGCUCCGACCUCAGUCUCCAUAACAGCAGUCUCUGCUGCGACCUCUGGCUCCAUAAGGUUAAGGUUAGGGACGAAGCUAGCUUCAAAAUUACAGUGGUGCACCGCUUAAGGACUUAAGCGUACAAAAAUAUAUGGCAGUAUAUGGUAAAUAUGAGUGUGACUAGUGGUAAAAAAAAAUUUCCCGGGUGCAUGUGCAUCAGGCAAACUCAACGUUGCUUCGCCCCUGCAUAAGGUCAAAUUGGUCUAUUUGCCAUCUGAAACUAAAAUUUGCCCACUAGCUUAAAUUAGCGAUAACCUGGGCCGACCGAUCACACAGAUUCAAAUCGGCCACCGUGGGCUGACAACACAAGCCUUUUCUCUUUUUGUUCACAAUAAACUCUCAAAACUUUGCUUUUCAUUUCCUAUUUUGAAAAAAUAAUACCGGUUAAAUUUUAAAAUAAAUUUAGAAAAAUACGAACAGCCGCGUUGAAAAUUUAAAACCGGGUGAGCAAGUUCCAUCGUAAAAAAUCUUACAACUCACCUACGUCCCUUCUUUUUUCCUGUAUAAUCCACCCUGACCCUAUACUUUUGUGAAAAGAGAGAACAUCCGCCGCAGCAUAUGUAUCCAUCCGCUGUUAACUCAAACUGUACAUUGUUGGACAUAUAUUAGUAUAUUACUGACCUUUUUUUUAUUUUUUGGGUUAUCUCGGUUUCUGUGACAUGAUAUCUCCGAAAUGUGAUGCUCUGCACCAGCACAGGAGGCCAACUUGUUCUUUGUUUAUACUGCGCGUGACCUGCAAGUUGGAGAGUGGCACAUUUACAGUUAUUGCUGAUUCCUCUGGUACAAAUGGCAGCCGGUUGUUUUAGUACAAAUUGCAGCCGGGUCCUAGAGCUGCGCGCACAUGUUUGCUCUGAAGGCUGCAGCAGGCGAGAGCAAGGCAAACGAAUCCAAGUUUGAUCAUCGGCUGCCGGUGGUUGCUGCAUUUUGGUGCAGCAGCAUAUGGUUACCAGAUCAUGUAUGGUAGUUAUAGUGGCAGUUAAGGAGGCCUAGCUCGGUAGCACUAUGAUAGAUCCAGCAAGUUCUGGAACGAUCUUCUCAAACGAAGUACAAACCAUCCUUCUGUGCUACUCUUCCGUUCCAAAUUGCAAGUUAUGUUAACUUUUCUAAAUUUAUAAAUUGAAAAGAUAAUCAGGAGUAUUUGGGACGAAGUUUAGUGAAAUUUAAAGACUUUGCAGUUGAUUUCGGAGGUGUUAGAGCUUGGAACUUCAUUAGAACGAAGUAUAAGCUUCAGGCUUCAGCUAUUCAACCAAGGCUCAAACAGGUAUAUGAUGGAAUCUUAACCCCACUAACUAUAAUAUAGCAAGGUCUUCUCCAAUGGUUAGAAUCAACCACUAGCUCAUAGCAAUAAAAAAUGGUAUAAGAGACAAUUUGUCCAAUAAUUAACUCUUAGUACAUAGCUUAAAAUAUAAAUGAAUCCACGUACCAGCCCUACUUAGUCUUGAAAUAUGUGUAUGAGAUUAUUCUCUUGAUCCUCUCUUUCUCCAUCUUCCACCUAGAUAAAAUAUUGUAUUUUAAUUAUAUGAUAUCAUUGGAGGAGGCCUAACUACUCUUCGUUGGAGGUAGUAUAUGUGUAAUAUAGUAACAUUCAUGCACUGUCACAGACACAGAGUAACCGUUUCAACCGGUUCCUCGAAUAGGCUGCGAAGAUACUGUCACAUAGACGCAUCGGUAUACAUACAGUUUGCCGGAUCAUCCCCACAGAGACCAAUUUCAAAAAUUUAGGCACAUGAUCGAGCACCCAUUCUCAGCAUCCAGCCUCGACAGUGCAGACCACUUGACGCUUGACGGUCCCAUGCAUGCACGAGCAACUCGGCACCAUUGAUCGAUCCAUCCGCCCGUUAUUUUUCCCGUGCCCUUUAAUUUCGUUCGCUUAGCCCAGCAGCAGCUAGCUCUAGCACAUGAUAUCGGAGAGCGUAGCCGCCUGCCGUCCAGCGACACCGAGCGAUCCUGAAAUCAUCGGAUCGGCCGCGAACCACCGGCCCAAUGCAAAGCCAAAGCCACCUCGGUACCACUACCACCUGCACGCAUGCAACGGCCACCACCACCGUGGCACCGUACCCGCCGGUCCAUCCACCUGAUCAUCCCCCACCCCAACCGCCGGUCACGCCGCGCCUUGUUAUGGCCGGUCCAAGAUGCCGUAGCCCGGCAGCGGCACCCGUCGCUAGCUCCUAUCCAGCGGGUCAAACAAGCGGCGCCCAACCGGCCGGGGCACAUGCCCAGCGCGCGUACGUACUUACCUGUGCCGUGCGCGCCGCGCCCGGCCGGCCUCGCGCGGCGCCAAACACCACGCCCCACAACACCACAUGCCGAGGCGAUCCGCGAGCCGAUCCUACUCAGCAGUUGGGUAUCCCACGCGCGGGGGACCCCCCGCGGCCGAGGCGGUCGGGGCGGGGCGGCGUACGCAUGAGCGGCGAGCUGCUGACCGGACAGGCGUAUCCCCGCUGCGGAUCUCGGCGCCCGCCUGCUACGCGAUCCCCUCGUGCACGAGCCGCACGGCCGCCGCGCCGUGCCCCACGUACUACUACUACCGUUCGGUGCAUGCGACUGCACCGUGAAACUCGCGAUGCCGCGCGGCCUGGCGUGGUGCGCGUCGAAGCGCCCGCGGUGACUCACCCCGGUCGCGUGCGUGUCGGUUGGCCGGCCGUUAAAACCGUUGCAACUUGCGAUUUGCCUGCAAAAAUACUGCUCCCAGCUCUGCUUUCGCGGUAUCGGAUUCUGGUGUCGUUCCAGUUUCACCUGCCUCUAGGAUUCUAUCCAUGUCGCUAUCUGUCUUCCCUUCCGGUGUCGAUUUGACCUUGAUCUAGUGCCACACAGUAGCUGGGCAGCGGCGGAUGAUGCAACACGCCGUGUGCAUUAUUGUAGGCAAGCGUUUUUUCCCCUACUAAACCAGUUUGGCUAACCUCGCGUAGUCUGAUUAUAUAUAGGCAGCUCGAUUAUACAACUGUUUUGGUGAUACUGCGACUGUAGUAGGGUCACAUCAGUCCAGGACCUGCCAGAUAGGCUGUGUCCGCAUCCAAGGAGGCCUGCUUUAAGACCGGACAAGGACAGAGAUCAGAUUAGGUUCUCCACGGAGAUACUGCCAUGUGAGCGCCAUCUCGCGCUGUCACUUCAUCCCGCAGCACUAUCACGACGUAAGUUGCCUGAUGAAGAACACAUAUCCUUUUAGCUACUGCUCCAGCUACCUAGCUAGAGAGAAGAAAAGAAAGACACAACAUGGCUAGAGAAAAAGGGUUAUAGGAUAGGCCAAGAAAUUGGUUGCGGUCGUCAGACUAUCAUCGACCCGGUAACAUGACAACUCACACAAGGCACCCCAAAUGGAGCUAGCUGCUGUUGGUACUAACAGGUAACGGGAAAACUAAAGCUACUAUGAUCCACGUCACGCAUGUGUUGCAUAUAUUCCUGGAGAGAUCGAGAGCACGCAGUGUUAUUCGGGCUGAUCUAAACAAGAAGCAGCAACGCGAUCCUCAAACUCAGAUCGGCACACAACGCUCUCAUCACUACAGGCCAUGCCCAUACGUAACGAACUCAUCAUGAUUCUUGAGGCUAUAGUCUCAUCUCAGCAACCGGAGAUGGAACUGACUGACUACAGGAUGCCGAUGAGCUGAUCCGGCGUCUUGCAAAUUAUUAAAUGCGAAACCCGCAGCGGCACACACACUGAUUGAGCCCACGUAGGAGGUCCCCCGGCUCCCGUAAAUACCGAUCGAUCGGUCGGGCGAUGGGUGAGACGUUGCGUCACAUGCAUGCGUCCGCACGAAAAAGAGGCCGCGUCCCGGUCCGCGCGCGGGGCCAUGCAACGCAUGGAGAGAUGGAGCCGGAUCGGAGCCCGUCGGCGCCGAUGCGCGUGGGGGCACCCGGCCCGCGGCGCGCGGGCGGGACGUACUCGCGUACGCGCGUGUCGGAGCAGUGCACCUCGCCGUGCCGACCGGCGCCGACGUACGGUACGAAGCUGCUGUCUGCCGGCCGCUUGGCCAAACGCAGCGCGGUGCGUCGCGCCGCUGCGCCUCCGGCCAUUACUUCGUCCCAGCUCGGUUGAUGAAGCUUAGCUGAAGCUUGGGACGUGACAUGCCGUGGAUGCAGCAUGUGAACGUGUUUAAUACACGGUCGCCGAUCGAGUUUUAUUUGGAUGGAUGUACGGGUGGACACCGUGCGCGUACCGCCGGGCGAGCUGCUGGUGAGAAGAUGAGAUCGAUCAAUGAACUGCAACGCUCCCCUGCAUGUGUUCAAUAAUUCCAAUAAUUCAGUAGUGCGCUGCGUGGUUCCCAUUAGGAUUGUACAUUGCAUGUACGCGCCGGGCCAGCCACCAGCAUCCGUUUGGCUGUAGGUACGUACUACUGUACGUACAGUGCUAGUCAUCACGCAUUAAGUGCAAUAGCGCAUGCAUGCUUGCUGUUAUUCGUACUGGCUUUGCAUGCAGUUAAAAUUCUGGUACUUCUGAUCGACUUGCCUGAUCUGGACCGUCAUCUUCCGGCAGGAGUACCCAAUGCAAAGUACUUUCGCAGUAUAUAUCUUGGCUUAAAAUCCUACAUCGUCGACGAUGCACUACUCAUUUCAGGUGUCCCCAGCUAGCUUAGGUAUCCAGGAAUGUGAUUAUCUCGCCAACCAAAUCCAGAAAGACAUCCAUACAGGCAUAUAGCUGAUCCUGAUUGAGUACCACCAGCAAACUGCAAUUCCGCGAUUAAUGGAGACGCAAAUAUCCAACCACCUCACGCCAGUCUUGCACAAGGUAUCGUCGCAGCUAGCUAGCUAGCUCCUGCAGUACAUGUAUGAUCAGGUCUUGUUAACAGCUGAUUCGAUCGUGCUGUGACAGUAUCAGAAUUGAAGCCGGGCCAAUCCUGGAGCUCGAUCGUUUCUCCAGCCGAUCGACGGAGAGCGACCGAACUGGCGAUGACGGAUAAAGCUACAGCCAGUCCAAGUAGUAGCGAUCCUACAUUUAUCCGAGUAGCAAUCACGUCCGGUGGCGCAUGCAUGCGUACAGGUACAGAAGAGCCAUCGCGCUAGCGUACUCGCUUGCAUGUGAGUACAGCUCGGCACCAGAGGAGUGCCCUGGCCCGCGACAGGUCACGCCGGCUCUAUCAUACAUGCCAUGCAUCAUGCAUCGCCGUCGUCAUCAUCAUCUCCUAAAUCUGAUUGUUAGGGCCCGUAAUCUCGUCCCAACUGUCGUAUCGUUGUUGGUAUGAUCGGCCGCUAAACUUUUUUCUCGAAUAUUCUGAAGAGCUGCGCAUCAUUGUAUUAAGAACAAGUAAAUUGCGAGUCGAUCAGGCAGUUUAGGGUUGGGGACGAGAUACAGCAGAGAUGAACUAUCAAGCCAAUUGUCCGUCCAGAAUUUGAUCCUGAGGCCGUUCCCAAGCUCAGCACGGACCGACGCUUGAAAGAAAGCCUGAACAUCUGAACUGACUUUGAUUUCCAAGGCGGACCAUGCCCGAUCGUCGUCCGUCUCCUGUAACCACAUCCAUCUAGUCUGUAGGGCAAUGCCUGCAAGCUUCAGAUCUAACACCCCAAGUCCCCCUGCAGUUGUCGGACGGCGGAUUGUUCUCCUCCUGCCCAGAAGAAAUUCCUUCUCAAGGCGUCAAUUUCUUCAAUUGCCCAUGAGCGGAGGUUGUCUGCCAUGAUUGUGUAAAUUGGAACCGCCGAUGCAACCGAUUUGACCACUAUCAGUCGCCCACUCUUGUUCGUGAGCGUGCCAUGCCAUGGUGUAAGCUUUGCGGCUACCUUCUCGAUGAUUGGCCUGAUUUCAGCUUUGGGCAGUGGCCUGGUCGAGAGUGGGACGCCAAGGUACCUGAUGGGGAAUUGCUGAGUUUGACAGGGCAGCUCACGCUGGAAUUCCAAGAGAUCGCUGUGCUCCCCAAAGAUAGGCGUGAUUGAGCAUUUGAGGAGAUUGGUUCGUAGUCCUGACGCAGAGCCGAAGAUGUCCAGCAGCCUCGCAAUGGCGCGUCCCUCUCGCUGCGAUGGCGUGGCAAACAGGAUUGCGUCACCCCCGUAGAAGCUGCAGUGAUGCUCCACCUUCGUGAUCCCGGGCUGCAGAAUGCCUCAUGCAGCUGCCUGACGGAAUAUGAGAUCAAGCACAUCCAUAACGAUGACAAACAACAUUGGCGACAGAGGAUCCCCUUGGCGUACGCCGCGUUGGUGCUGGAUCGGCUGACCCGGACAGCCAUUCAGUAGAACCUUGGAGCUGGCCGUGGACAUUAACGCAGAGAUCCAUUCGCACCAUUUUCUACUGAAGCCUCUUGCGUGCAGAACUUCAAGAAGAAAUGGCCAAGAGACCGUAUCAAACGCUUUCGAGAUAUCCAACUAAAAACUAAAAACCGCAUUUCAUUCUCUUCCUUAAUCUAGCUCGGUUUGGCGCUGUCUCUUUGAUUAAACUUUCGUUUUGCACAUAAAACGACGAGAUCGAUGGUUCAUUGUGGAAGCUGAUUUUGACCCUUUUGAUGUGGACACGUACUGCAGGCUCGACAAGGGGUACGAACACAGCCACACUGCAAACACUCAUUGACAGACCCGUACAGAGUUACGCGGAAAGGGCAAACGACGAUCACGGAAUACUUUGGAGAAUACUGGAGAUUAGUUAGUCUACAUUAAUCUUGGUAAAAACAUCAAGGUCCAGACAAAGCGCGCCGCGCGGGAUCAGUACCAUCUUGACUCUUGUGGGCUUUAGGCACGAGCGGAAUAGUACUAGUAGGCUAAUCCACGCAAGCACAUGCAUGUCCUACUAGGCUCCAAUUUUGUCCACCAAAUCAAAUCCCCCCUCACCCAAACGACCAACCAAUUUGACGCUUUGCCCCCUCCGACGCCACCGAUCCGCGCAACCCAACCCCCAAAGCCCCAACCCGGACGCCAGGCCCCGGCGGCUACAUAUAGCCCGCGCGCCGGGACGGAGCACAAGCACCUGCUGCCCAUUCAUCGGCUGCAACCGCAAGCGCGGCUGUUUGAGCGAGCGAGCGAGCCGAGCUCGCGAUCGCCGCCUGCGCCGCCAUGGACCCCUGCGCGUUCGUGCGCCUCACCGUGGACCAGCUCCUCCUCAAGCUCCCCGCCGUGCAGCGGCCCAGCUCCGGCGCGGGGGUGCACCCCUCCACCUCGCCCUGCUUCUGCACGCUCAGCCUCCAGGACCACCCGGCCUCGCUCUCCCGCACCGCGCUGCUGCCGCUCGCGUCCGCCGCCGGCGCCGCGGCGGCGGCGGCGCACGCCGACCCCGUCGUGCUCAGCCUCGACGCCGAGGCCGUGCGGAGGCUCUCGGCGCGCCCCGCCGAGCUCGUCGUGUCCGUGCACGCGGGCCAGACGGGCACCAACUGCGGCAUCAGCGCCGCCCGCGCGCUGGGCCGGGUGCGGGUGUCCGUCGACGUGGCGCGCGCCGCGGCCGGGGAGACCGUCGUCGCCCGCGACGGGUGGGUGGACGUGGGGAAGCCGGGGUCCGCGUCGUCGGCGUCCUCCGCCGCCGCCGCCUCCGCGCGCGCGCAGAUCCACAUGGUCGUGCGGGCAGAGCCCGACCCGCGGUACGUGUUCCAGUUCGGCGGCGAGCCGGAGUGCGGGCCCGUCGUGUACCAGGUGCCCGGGGGAGCCGCUGGCGGCGGGCAGCGGCAGCCGGUCUUCACCUGCCGGUUCAGCGCCGGACGGAGGGCAACCAGGAGCAGGUUGGUAUAGCUUACCUAGCUUGGCGUGCAGUUCACAUAACACAUAUUUUUCUGCGUGCCACUUGCAUUGCAUCAUCUUCGUCGAUUUGCUUGCACGUUCAGUUAUCCUUGUUCGUGUGUUUCGUUUGAUCACUCAUCGAUAGAAUUUGAUUUUGGAGCUAGUAAGUCCUUGUGUAGUUCAUAGUUUCAGACUUGCAGAGACCAAGAAUGCUAGCUAGACAUUAGCAGGCAAGGGUGAUCCUGUUCUUAUGGAGCAUUAACUGUUGGUCCAAAUGAACAGAUGGAUACAAAGUGGCUUAAGAGAGACAGAUAUACAAAUCCAGUGGUCAAAAGUUUAAAACUCGAGGAUAAACAGACGCUCUAAAUUAGCAAAUCUGCUCAAACAAAAUAAGUUUAAAGUAAUGGGGUUUGGUCAUCAGAUAGCUGGUGGAGAUUUUUAAACAAGUCAGUGUCAGUUGCCAUAAGCUAAUUAAUUAUAACCGUGUAUCUUCAUGCAACCAUCAGUUCGAACAAAUUUUUUUUGGGGAAAACAGCAGGAAGUAAGCACAGCUAGAUAGCUCAAUACUUCUCUUCAUUUUUUUAGAGAAAAAGUCAAAAGCAUUUCCCCUCUUUCCGUUUUUCUUUUGAUUUUUCUGCGUACCUUUCAUAUUAUUGGAUGCCAGCUCUUAGAUACUUUGUUGUUUAUCAUUGUACUACCGGCAUUAUAUUGGCAAAGACACUUGAUAAAAAUAAUAUCGUAACCUCCACUUGCAACUGAGAAUAACUAUUUUUUUCGCCAUAGAAGUUAGCAUUUUCGUUGGAAUCAAAAUGAAUUGGCGAACACAGGAGAAUCCAUGUCGCUGUCUACAGAAUUGUAGAGAGCAAAAAUAAACCAGACCAAUAUUUUUUUCCAUCAAAUUCCAGGAUACAAAUACAUUAGUCCUGCAAUCGGAGCUGUCAAGUUGGUUCUCUAGAGAAACCUUCGGUGUCAGUGCUGCUCAGAUCCCCAUUAAUCCAGCUUGCUUAAGGUAUCAGAAUAAUUUUACUUAAAACUAGGACUGAUCUCUUAAACCUGAAAACACAUCCAUCAUGCUCAGAUACAGAGACGACACACCAACCGUGCAUGUGAUGGACUUACCAACCCAGCUCCUUAUUAAUCUGCUCUGCGAAGAUCGCAUAGCUGGCUCAGAAUCUUCCAUAUAUCAGGUCCAGCUAACCCUGCACGAGGUCGGAUUACCAUCGCCUUUACCUGCUAAUCUUGUCGCAUACACAGUUGGCGCCACGCCAACGCUAUGAAUAUAUGAUAUUGUGUGCAAUGCAACACUUUACUAGAUUUACUAGGGGAAAAAAUUGCAAGCAUGCGCCUGCACGUUACGUUCAUGUAUAAACUAGCUAAUCUCGCAUGUGCUCUGCAAAAUUUUGACCAGAUCGCUGACGCCGCAGUCGUCCAUGACCCGGAGCACCAGCCGGAGGCUGAGGUCCUGGCUCAGCGGCACCCUCCACGGCGACGGCCGCGACGGCUCGCGCGCGUCGCGCGAGCAGCGCAAGGGGUGGACGGUGACCAUCCACGACCUGUCGGGCUCCCCCGUGGCGGCGGCGUCGAUGGUGACCCCGUUCGUGCCGUCCCCGGGCUCCGGCCGCGUCUCCCGCGCCAACCCGGGCUCCUGGCUCAUCCUCCAGGCCACGGGCGCCGGGCCGUCAAGCUGGAAGCCCUGGGCGCGCCUCGAGGCGUGGCGCGAGCGCGGGCCCGUCGACGCGCUCGGGUACCGCCUCGAGUUGGUCUUCGACUCGGGCCCCCACGAGUGCGCCGUCCCCAUCGCCGAGUCCUCCAUCAGCACCAAGCGCGGCGGGCAGUUCGUCAUCGACCCGGCCACAUUCCCGGAGGCCACCGCCGGCGCCGCGUGGCCGUUCGCCGGCGGCUUCGUCAUGGGCUCCACGGUGGAGGGCGAGGGGCGGGCGAGCCGGCCCACCGUGCAGGUCGGCGUGCAGCGCGUGACGUGCAUGGGCGACGUUGCGGUGUUCGUCGCGCUGUCCGCGGCCGUCGAUCUCUGCAUGGACGCCUGCAAGCUCUUCUCGCAGCGGCUCAGGAAGGAGCUGUGCCAGGACCAGGACGACUGAAAAGAGACCGACCCGACAGGACCCGAGGGGGAAGUGUAGUAGUCCUCUUGGGUUUUGGGUUUCAUGCUGUGGAUUGUAUGGUGCUCGUGGCUAAUGUAGUAGGCCAUUAUUAGCUGUGGUUUCUUGUGGAGCUGAAGGCCCUAUGGCUGUUUUUAGUGUAGGCUGGGUCGGAUCACAAGAACAGAGCGGGGUUGGUUCAGUCCCUUAUUCUUUCAUUACAGCAUUCAAUUCUUUCGAUUCUUUCAUUACAUAUCUCUUCUUGUUCAGUUCGAAAGAUACAUUGCAUGGCUUCAGAUAUAUUAUAGUCGAAAUCGACAAUUUCGGCAAAGAAGCCGGAGAACGUAUCCAGCCAAGCGAUUGCUCUGUUUACGCUUUCAGCUCCGCGUUGCUCUUCCUUCUUUCUAGAGGCCUUUCAGGAACUCGUCGAAUGCCACGUCAGACGAUCCGCCUUCCUUGAGAGCGUCGACGGCCAUCUCCUUGGCCGUCACGAGCCUCUCCCUGAGCUUCUUCCCUUCCUCGGACUCCAUCACCAGCUUCACCUUCGUCCCCAGCUCCUCUGCCCUCACCAGCUCCUCCUCGUAGCCCUCGACCGCCACUCCGACCUUCAUCUCCUCGACCAUGUGCACCUUGUUCAUCCUCUGCUCCGAGUACAGAGGCCAGCAGAUCGUCGGGACGCCGGACACGAUCCCCUGCAGUGCCGAGUUCCACCCGCAGUGCGUCACGAAUGCGCCGACGGCGUCAUGCUGCAGAACCUCCAUCUGCGGCGCCCAGUUCAUCACCACCAAGCCCCUCUCCCUGGUCCGGUCCAAGAAACCCUCAUGAAGCAACGCCUCCAUGUCCGGCUCGAGGGAUUCCUACGGGUGCUCAGGCGGGUUGCGCACAACCCACAAGAAUCUGUGCCCAGAGUUCUCUAGCCCGCACGCAAUCUCUCUCAGCUGCGCCGCCGAGAAGAUGCCCAUGCUGCCGAAGCUGAGGAACACCACGCUCCGCGGCUCCGGUUCGGCUGCGUGUCCAGCCACGCGAGGCACGCGUGCCUCUCGCUGCCUCCACCACCCGUUGUGCUCCCAGGGAGGACCAAUGGCCCAAUGCAGUAGACCGGGGGAGUUGAGAGGCCUGGCGUGCAAAGCCCACACCUGAGGGUUUUCAGGGCCCGUGCCUCCAGCCAGUCGAAGCUGUUCACGAGGAAGCCUCUCGCUCCGGGCAUGCGCGCGCACUGGCGCAGCCGUGCCCUGGCGAUGUCGCUCUCCCUGUCCUGCAUCGUGGUCGCCAUGUCCAUCGCGCGGAUCGGCGGCACGCCGGGGAAGUGCAGCGCGGUCUCGGGCAUGUCCCUCAACGGACGCGCGGGGAAGUUGUACGGGAGGUGGAGCAUGACGGCGAGGUCGCCGAGCGCGGAGGUGAAGAAGAAGUAGUCGGGGACGCCGAGCUCGGCGGCGACGUCGAGCGCGUCGGUGCAGAACAUGUCGACCACGAGGACGUCGACGGCCGGGAGCGCGCGCAGGAAGGCCCGGAGCGCGGGUUUGGCGACGCGGAGCACGUCGAUGGUGCGCAUGAUGGGGUGUGACUAGCGUUCCCUGACGGUGGGAGGGACGGGGAGGUGCCGGAACGUGAUGCCCGGGAUGGCGGCGGCGAGGCGGCCCGUCGCGUCGGGCGAGUCGACGGCGGCGAUGACGACGGCCACGCCGCGGCGCAGGAACACCUUGGCCAGCUCUGGCCCACGCCCAGCGAGGGGUAGAGGACCACGGUCUUCUGCUUCCCGAUGGCCAUCGCUCCGUGGCGAGCGAGGGAGAUGGCACCAGAGACUACAAAUGCAUUGCGAGUGCCUAGAGGCUUGGAAGGCAUGCAUCUAUAUAGCAUGGGUUGCGAGCAUGGCCUGCGUGUAUCUUGACUGAUGCGGGUGAUCAAGACGUAUCAAUAUGGUAUGGGAGAAACGACAGCUGAAAGCCGAUCUUGUCAGUGGCCAUCACGGCACAAGUGACUACGGCACCAAUUUCAGAAGAGACUAAGGGGGUGUUUGGAGAGGGGUGCUAAACUUUAGCACCCCACUUUUUAGCACCUUUUAGCACUUGGGCUCCCAAACAGGGGUGCUAAAAGGGGUGUGCUAAAGUUUAGCACCCUCAUUUCCUUUAGCACAUCCAAGGGGUGCUAAAAGGUGCUAACGGGUGCUAAAAGUGGUCCCAAGCCUAUUUUUUCCCCUGCUACCCCCCUCUCUCUCCUCUCCACUUUUCCCCAAGCCAGUCAUAAAUGAGGGCAAUGUAGUCAUUUCUCAUCUAAUGUGCUAAACUUUAGCACUGUAUCCAAACAACCCCAAGUGCUAAACUUUAGCACUCCAUUUGAGGGUGCUAAACUUUAGGGCCUGUUUGGCUACCACCUCAUAAACUUUAGGAGACUCAUAAAGUUUAGGAGGCCAUAAUUACUAGUCCUAAAAUUUAGGAGUGGGGUGUUUGGAUGGUCUCAUAAUUUUUAUGAUGUUAAAGGGAAAUUGACCAUUGUACCCCUAAUUAAAGAUCAACUGCCAGCUCAAGCUUUCUGUUUUUGUGGCGCGAGGGAGGAGUUCUGGCGCCAGGUUUCUGUUUUUGUGGCGCGAGGGAGGAGUUCUGGCGCCAGGAGGUCUGUUUUUUUGGCGCGAGGGAGUUCUUCUGGCGCCAGGGAACUUGCCUUCUGCCUCUGCCGCAGAGUUGCUUUGCUGCCGGCUCUAUUUUUUCGCCACUUUUUUUUUGCCGGCCCUUUGCUGCCGCCUAUGUUUAAAAAAACGUAGUGCAAUGUCAAAAACAGUAAGCACAGUCCAUCGUCAUUGUCAUUACAACCCAAAAAUACAAAACCUCUACAAUCUAUUGAACAAACCAUUAGCUAUACUAUCACGAAAUUCGUUCAUAUUUUGAUCUCCGUCUGCCUCUUCGGUAUUUCCCUCAUGACCACCAAUGCUUGAUUCUUCGGUGAAAGGAACAAAAUUUUCAUCACGAUCACACAUACCAAAGGCCCUAUCCGCAUGAUCGUUCUCCCUAAUGAAAUUGUGAAGUGCCAUACAUGCUACUAUUAUUUUGCUUUGCUUUUCCAUUGGAAAACUUGGUAUUCCCAAUAAAAUCCUCCAUUUCAUCUUCAAAACUCCGAAUGACCUCUCAAUAACAUUUCUAAGUGAUGAAUGCGCGUAGUUAAAAGUUUCCUUCAUACCUCUCGGAUUUGGGCCACUCCGGAACUCAGGAAGGUGGUACUUCGUACCUUUGUAUGGUGCAAGAUACCCCGGGCGGUUCGGAUAUCCAGAGUCCACUAGAUAAAACUUCCCUAAAAAUACAAAAGAGAAUAUGGUAAGCAAUUUUGGGUAUAUAAUUUAUUUUUAAAUUAUUAAUGACAACAAAUUUACCUGGAGGAGGGUGUGGAAACUUGUCACCAUAUUUAUUUACGGCAUCAGUGAAUACUCUCAUAUUAUGAACUGAUCCAGGCCAUCCACUAACAACAAAUGUGAAUCUCAUGUCGAAAUCACAAAUGGCAAGCACGUUCUGUGUAGGGUAUCCAUGCCUGCCCGUAUGCUGCACCACCUUAUUACUUGGCACCACAACCGGUACAUGAGUCCCAUCUAUAGCUCCUAUGCAAUUGUUGAAAUAUGGAGCAUACCUAGGGUUUCUCAACCUCUGGUGAAUUGUUGUAAACCCGGGGUCCUUUGGCCUAACUAUGUCUACAGCUAGCCUAAUAACACAUGACAAAACCAAAUCAAAUGUGCGGCUUAUUGUUUCCAAUGACCUUACAAACCGAUCCGCAACUUGUCUUAGUGACUGGGGUGCACCAUUUAUCCAUAAGAACAUAGCUAAAGCCUCCAUCGUUGACAUUCUUCUAGUUCCCCUCAAACCAUAAGACUCUACCAACAGGUCAUGAAGUUGGUGAAAUAAAGUGCAAGACAUCCUAAACAUGUUGUAGCAUGAGGUUGGAUUUGAUAGUGUCUCUUGCACCCAUUUUAUGCCCGGUACAGUAGGUACUCUAGGUGGCCCUUUGUGGUAGUAAGUGUCAUAGUACAUACCAAGCAUAACUGAGGACUCCAUAAUCUCUCGAUUCCUCUUUCGACGUAUGAUUUCCAGCUCCAUGAACUUGCAUGCCAUGUUAAUGAAUUCAUCGUCAGAAUCUCCUUCACCAUCAUCCUAAUUCACCAUUAAAAAAACAGUCAUACAUUAGUCUCUGCAUCAUCAAGGUCACAAUUCUACUGUAGCCGAGCCAUGUUCACAAAUUCAAAUAACAGUGGUCAGAAAUUCCAGUACUCAAACAGCCACAUUCUCAAUCAGCCACACAUUGUAACAGCCACAUAUACAAACAACCACAUAUAGAACAACCACAUAUAGAACAACCACAUAUAGAAACAAAGAUCAAAUUUAAACAUGUCACAACUUCAAACAGGAACUUAUUCAAGUUCUAGCAGCCGAAAUAACAAUAGUACUUUAACCAACAGUUCAAGGUUCAAACAACCACAAAUGUCUACUACUACAUUCUAAUCUAAGUUCAUUUUCUUGCACCAUCUUUUCAAGAAAGCCAUCCUAGCCUCUGCAUCAUCAAGGUUGAUCCAGUAUUCUCUGUUGAAUUUAUCCUUGCAUAUGUCCCAACAAGCAAACAUCUCUGCACUAUCCUUUCUUGCACCACACUCUAGUGCUAAUUGUUGGCAUCUCUUAACUUCAUCUGCCACUGGAUUGGAGUUCAUCUUCUGCCUCUUAUCUUCAGUGAAUUUGGCAAUUGAAGCACUAACAUUCCUGAAAAUACUAUGGGUCACAUCAUCCUUCUCUGCUUGCUUGUUGAAGUAAUUUGUCACAGCAGUGAUCAUUGGGCUUCUACUUUUUUUUGGAGGGCUAGUACCUGUUGAUUUGGUGCUUGCACUGGACCUCUUUUUGGUGUUUGAGCUGAUAGGGCUGUCAUAGCAAGCGGCAGGUUCAGCAUCACACUCCUCUCCACCAACUGAAGGGUCUCCACCGUCAUCAUCCUCACCAUCUUCUUCUUGUUCCUCCUCCUCCUCCACUUCUGGAAUGUAUGCUGUGGUUCCAUCUACUGCAGUUUCAUGGAACAUUUCUUCCAACUAAUCUAAGUACUCUGGAGCACCAUGUUGCAACUUCCUCAAUUCUGGCCGUUUCUGCAAGUGACAGGUCAUUCUAAUGAGAAGCACUACAUUUCCUGGAAAUUAAAGGGUUAGUUCAAAAAUUAUGUCUCACCUCUGUGUUUUGUUCCCACCACCAAUUUGGAGCAUGCACUGUCCCAUCAUCAUGUCUACCUAGACCUGACUGGCUCUGUAGGGCUCUCCAAAAGGUAUACAACCUUUUCAACUGAUCUCUUCUGUUCCUAAACUGCCCAAAAUCAUGCCUCAAACCAGUAGCCAUGUAGUACUUGUCCUGAAUUAUCUUCAACCCUCUAGUGGUCAUGUUGCCUUUGGGACAGUUUCCUUCUCUAAUUUGCUCAACUGACAAAUCACAGAAUAUUCCAGUGUUCCUUUCUGUCCACUGUGCUUUGUCAUUUUUAAUCUAUUGGAUAAAGAACAGUGAAUUCAACAACCAACAUUUUCAGGAACACACAAAGUACAUGAAUUUAUCUAGACGUAAUACAGAAGGCACUAAUUCAACAAGCAACAUUUUCAGGAACAUCUAACACUUUCAGCAUGUCACAAUGUGAAUAAGUCACAUAUUCAUAAAGGCACUAAUUCAUGUAGCCACUAAUUCAUCUAGCCACUAAUGCAUAAACCUCUGUCAGGCAUCUAGUCACAAUUCAAUCCAUUCCUGAAAAUUUCAGAACAACUUGCACACCUAAUUCAUACUAUCAAGUUCCACAGCUAAUUUCAUUCCUACUUUCAGAACAACUAAUUCUAAAUGGACCACAAAUUCAUACUAUAAAGUCACAGAUUUUACCUUUGAGGCAGGGAACACAACUUCAACAGCUGCAUCAUCAACAACAUUUUGUUCAUAUGCAUCAAAAGCAUCUUCUGCAGGGACUGAACUUCGUCCACCACGACCACCACCUCGACGGCCUCUUCCACGACUUGCACUUCCAGAACCACCACCGCGAAACAAAGAUCUUGCACGGCCUACUCCACCUCUGCUACCAGGCCCCCUGCUGCCGCUCGGCAUCCUGCUGCCGCCUGCACCUUGACUGCAGCCGGCCGCCUGGCUUCUGCCAGGUCCUAAUGUGUCGCCGGCACCUUUGCUGCCGCCGGCCCCUCUGCUCCCGCCGGCCGCUCUGCUCCUGCCGGCCCCUUUGCUGCCCCCAGCACCACGUCGAGGCAGGGGUAAGCCAAGAGUACAGCUAACGCAGCCCCGGGGAACCUCAUCUCCCCUAAGGUACUCUGAGUAUAUGCUCAGAUCUGCGUACUCCUCAGCCUGGGAGUUGAGGUCCAAGUUCUCCAAGCCGUGACGGGGGGCACUGGAAGACUCGGACUGAGAGAAAAAAUCGAUUUGGCAGGGGGGAAUUUGUGGAUCGGGCUGGGGGAACAAUUCCUCCAAUCCGUCAUCGCCGUUGCCCGCCAUUAGGAAAUGGGGAGGACGAGGCGGGGAACUGGGGAGGAGGCGUCGGGCAAAUGGGGACGACGCGCCGAGGGAAGGAGGCAGCGGCGAAAUCUGGAGGAGGUGGGCUCAAUGGAGAUGACACGGCGGCCAAAUGGGGAGGACGCGCCGGCCAAAUGGGAAGGAGGCGGCGAGGGAAGGAGGCGGCGGCGACUGGAGGAGGCGACGGCCGGCUGAGAUGGCGGCGGGAAAAGGUGGAAGAGGCGGCGAGUGUAGGAGGCGGCGGCCAAGGGAGGAGAGGGCGGCAGCGUAGAUCCAGCCCCGGAAGGGGACGGCGGCGGCGGAAGAAGUACGGGGACGGCGGAGGGAUGAGGAGGCAGCGGCGGAGGGAGGAAGAGGCGGCGGCGGAGGAAGGAGGAGGCGGCGGAGGGAGGAUAGGGCGGCACCGUAGAUCCGGUCCCGGAAGGGGAUGGCGGCGGCGGAAGAAGUACGGGGACGGCGGAGGGAGGAGGAGGCAGCGGCGGAGGGAGGAAGAGGCGGCGGCGGAGGAAGGAGGAGGCGGCGGAGGGAGGAGGAGGCGGCGCAGAUGUGUUGUGCGGGAGGAGGAGGAGAAGCAGAUGGGCAGUGCGCGGGGGAGGAUAGGGGUAAAGGUGGAGAGAGAAGGGGAGGGGUAGGAGGGGUAAAGGUUGGGUUGGGGACCACUUUUAUGAGAGAAAUGGAAGUUUAUGAUGGUUUCUCCUCCUAAUGAAAACAGCACCCCUAAAGUUUAUGAAUACACUUUUAUGACACCAGUUUGGAUGCACAACUCCUAAAAAUGACCUAAAAGUGAACUCCUAAAGUUUAUGAGGUGGUAUCCAAACAGGCCCUUAGCACUGUGCUAAAGUUUAGCAUUGUGUAUCCAAACGGGGCCUAAACCUCGUGUGCGCAGCGUUCCGGGAAGGGCACUCGCACAAUCACACGUGUCUGUAGUCGGCCAGUUGAACCGUCGAAGAAAGUAUGUAGCCGUGGCAGUUUCCAGGCCAUAGGCGGCAAUGUAGCACGUAAUCAUGGGCAUGCUACGGGUAUCAUGUGACCCGCUCAUGCAUUUCCUCAUUCAAGACAAAACACUCAACACUCGAUACAAGAGCUCGUUUGAUAUCAGCAACGAGAACUCGUGGAAGAUCGAUCUUUAUCAAGAGCGUUCACCUUUUGACCAGAGAAAAGUAAUCGGAUUGCCAUCAAAAAGGAAAAGUAAUCGGAUUGGAAAAUCACUUUGUGCAAGCCAGAGUCACAGCACAUCGGAGAGCUAGUGCUUCUACAACUUAUGAUAUAGUAAUGCCAUGGAAAAACUGACAUCAUCUCAUCACACAUCUAUCCAAAUGGUUCCGCACCACCACACCAAUAGUCGAACUUGAUGAAGAAGGGAAAAUUGUUGCAUCAGCAUUCAGGGAAACCAAACCAACUCGCGAUGGAGUCAAUUUCUUAAUUUCCUUCGGAACUCCACACCUUAAAGGCUGAAUUGGCUUCGUACAAUUCAACAUAAUCAUAUUCACAUAAGCUUGAAUCUUCUUGACUAUCACCUAAGGACACACUAGUUUCAGCGUUAGUAAUUUCAUUAUGAGCAUCCCGGGUGUACCAACAUGUGGGAACUACUUCUACACACAGUAUCUUGGUGCAAUGACUGAACAAGUCAAUAUAACUAUGGUUUAGCAUUUCGUAGAUGUAGCAAAAGGGUACAUUAAAAAACAAUGCUCAAUCUCUUCAUCUCGGCCACAGAAACAACAUGUAGGAUUAUCUGGAAUAUGACGUCUUUGUAGCUGAUGUCCCACGGUCAAGCAAUCAUGAACAAGGCAUCACAAAAAAUAUUUUCAUUUUAUUCGAGGCUUUGAUGAACCAUAAUUUCUUCCAAAUUUUCUGCUCACUAAAAGUAUCAGACAUAAUAGCAGCUUUUGGCCUACUUCGAAAAGAUGCAAAGGAAAACGUACAAAGAGGUACACGUCAAAUUAUAAGUUGACUUUACUGUAUAUAAUCACCAAAAUCAGACCGGUUCAGAAAUUGAAACCGAGGAAAAACUCAAAACAUUUUGGGCUGAAAAAUUGAGCCCAUACGGCCAUACAUACCCAAAAAAGCAUUAGACCGGAAUUUUCGGGAUGUUAUAAGGCUGGACCGAGCCUGCCUAAUUUUUUCACGCAGCCAAAAUCAUCACUACAGCCAAAAAAAAAAACCAUUGAGCUAUGGUCCGGGCUUAGCCCAGCAGGCUCGGGGGACCAACCAACCAAAAAGUCUCAGUCCUUGCUUGCAAACAGCACAACCAAGUAAUGGUCGUCUAGGGUCACCACUCUCAUCUAGGCUGGCUUGGUGCACCGUGUACAGGGGCGACGCCACUGGAAAAAGAACUACAUGCAUCCUUCCCACUGUCCUACAGACCUAACCCCAAUGAAGUUCCACCUCGAUGGUGCCACGUGCUGUGCUAUCUCAACAAUCUCAAUAUUCCUUUACUUUCUCAUUCAGCAACCAUAUAUAUGGUAGGAUUGAGAAAUCAUAGGGAUGCUUGGGAUUAGCGAAAUGAUCAUGUCAUAUCCAUCAGGAUUAGUUACAUGGGGUUGGAUUUGGAGCAAGAACGUACAACUUUUCCCCGCCAGUGGAGGGAGGGGGGCAAAAGCUAGCCCCCCAUGCAAUAAUCUAAAUUUUGAUUUUGAAACACCUCUCAUGUUAAUUUUUCUAGCUUCGUGGAUGACCAAUCAUGCAUUUAGUACAUCUCCAAUUGUAUACGUGUUAUUUCUCAAAUCCUUAAUAGAUUAGCUAUAAUUCAAAAUACAAUGUGGGGUUUAACAUGGUUCUUCCUUUGCUCAUAGUAAACCCCGAAAUAUACGUGCAAACGCUCAAGAGUGCAUCACCGGCACGAAACAUCCUACUUACAUGUGAAUAUCAAUAAGGUUCAAGAAUCAUUUAAUUUGUUGUAAAUACGUCGCAUAUCCUUUUCAUAUCUAUCUGGAACCAAAUUAGCCGGACGAUCGAUGCUCUUCAACAGGGGAGGAGGGCAUUGACCCCUUAUGGAUUGUGAUUAGGUAUUGCUUCAACAAUAAAUCUUGUUUUAUCGCCUGAGAAACCCCACGCUGAGUCUGGUUAUCAUAUUAGACCACUUAUGGCUGUUUUGUUUUCUUUUGCGGCCCAUAAUGCAUGUAGCAAUUGAUCAAGUGCGCACAUGCAACAAAAAGCAAACCAGUGACAUCAUCCCACCCCACCCCACAUGCGAAGAAAAUUUGAAACUAAAAAAAGGCCAUAAUAUCAAAUCAAGCAUCCAAAUUAAGUUACAAAUCGUAUCAAGCAUUCAAGCUACAACAAGAUCUUUAUGUUUGGAUACUAUUUUUAAAAAUAUUUUUACCAAGUUGGAAUUUUUAUAAAUUAUUCUAGGUUUAGGAGAAAACUGUUCUAGCUUCAAAAUAAAUAUUCCGUAAAAAAAUAUAAAUAUAAAAAGGUAAUUAGUUUUAUUACUGCUAACAAAUACUACGUACGUUCUCAUGUUUAGGACAACUAACUAAUUCCUUUUGAACUAAUUAGACAAGCUAACUCGUUCAUUUUUAAAUUAAUUAGUUUAUCCGUCAUAUAUUUAAGACAUUUAAGACCGGAAGGAGGAUCGUUCGAAUUCAAAAAGAUUAAACACGACACACAAAUACACAAAUGAUAAUAUAUUGUAAACAAAUAUUGAACAUUAUGAAUAGAUAAUUGUACAUUACGAACAAGACAUUGAACAUCUCGAACAAUUGCUUAGGUUGUGAACAAAAGAAUAUAAACAUACCACUUAAUUCCUUAUAAAUCUGCUGCAGUCGAUUACAAAAAUAUAUCCUUUUCGUAUCCGUCCGGAACAAACUAGCCGAACGAUCAGUAGUCGUCGGCACGAGAUUAUCCUGGGCCUGUAUACUGUAACUGUUGAAGCAAUAACUUUUUUAAGAGAUGAUUAAAGUUCUGUCAUGUUAGACGGCCGCUCAGUACAGCAGAUGCCUGUGUCACGGCCCUGGCCACCCUGUAAAUCUCAUGUUGUACAGACUUCCAGGACUCUGAAGUGUUGCUGCUCCGAGCGCUGCCUAUGGCGUUGGCUAUACCGGGAUAAACUGCAGUAUCCCAGUCAUUCUGGUCUGAAGGUCCAUACACCUGAGUGGUAACACUCGCAGUUAGUAUAGGCCUUCCAGAGAGGAAAGCGAGUGAUUUGUGCAUGAGUAUCUGCUCACCAGAUGCUUAUACCAUUCUUGUUUGAAGAUGCCCUCCCUGCUAGUGAAUGCUCGCUCGGCCUGCAUGAGCCGGUCAUUGAGCUGUCGGAUUUUCAGUGAAUCCUUGUUCAGCUGAUUGCUCAACAGUUGUUUUUGAAGUUCCUGAAUGUGGCCACAGUGCACAAAAACAAGUACGGUAGAUUUUAAGUUUUGCAUAAUCUGAGCAGCAAUUCUUAAGUGGGUACCUUUUGUUCAUUGUUCACUGUGGUAGCUGCUGUUUUGAGAGCUCUGAUUGAGUUGUACAGUGGGGAACAAGUAACAUCUGUUCCCUUAACUUUAUUCUCCAAUACCUUUGUGUAUGCCUGCCAUCAGAAACAAAAUUUAGUUCUGUCAUGUCUUCCCAGUGUCUGAUACUCUGAGUGGCUCUACUGGCCUACAGAUACAGUUGCAUUUAGUGGACACAGGGCCCGUCUUACCUCAAGCUCGAUUGCGUAGGACAUGUAAUUGAAGGGUAUGAUCUCAUCAUCGGCCAGCCUCAGAGCCAUCAUUCCCCAUAUGCUAGCAGCUGCAAACAUCUUGGUUACCACAUGGUGGCGCAGAUAGUGCCUCAACUAAUAUAACGGAGCAAUACAACGGAGCACAAAAGCAGGGGCAAUACAACGGAGCAGACCUGCAACAUGCCUACGGAACCCAGGAUCUCCGAAUUUUGCCAUCCACACGUAGUCAUCAUAUAAGGAGUGGUAAACCGGAUAUCCUGGUCCUGCAAACGCCAAAACACCCAGAAAGAUACAUGAAAAGACGAAAAUCGCCAGAAUAAACGAAUUCAUGAAGAGCAGGGGCCUUACCUUCUCCGAAAACUAUAUUCAUUGAAGGAAUACCAGCAUGUUGGACAAAGGCUAAGUAGUCUGAUCCUCCAUCGCCUAGUCUUAGAACCUUAAUGCAAGCGACCAGCAGUGCGAAGAGUAAGUGAUGUUAAAUAACUUGCCAAAAAGCCAGAAAGUUAUAACACUUGCAGUGCUUAAAAAACUCAAAGGUCUAUUUUGUGUUCAAGGAACUAGUAACCAGACAGUAAUACUUGGUGAUAACACACUAACCAGGUCCUCAGAAGAAUGUAUACUGUAGACUAUUGCAUAAGCAAGUUAUUGCAACUCACCCGGGGAGAACCAUUCGAUUUGAUCCAUGAAUCAUAUACAGUCUGAGAUGAAUUGUCAGGAUCUUGAACCUUCACAAAUUGAUAAAAAAACAGUUUUACCUUUUGGACAUUGUAAUAAGGAAAAUCCUAUAAACAUCAGAUUACCUCACAAGAAAAGACUACUGUUAAUUAAAAAAUGGUGAUCAAAAUAAAACAAAGUUCAAUAUGACUAUCAUAUUUUUCCUUUAUUUCUCCGGGGUAUUUUACUAUCUCUAGUUGCCUGUAUGAUGCACACACCACUUUAGUUAUUUCCUGAAGCAACUCGUCAAGUUGGGGAGUUGUAGACGGCAGGAAUCCUGGACCAACGACUGAAACGUCGAUAUUUAGAUAAGCAACAGCUCUUGAAGAUAGCAUCUCCCGGUUUUCUUCAACCCAUUCAGUCGACCCUGUCUGAGUAAAUGCAAUUUUUUUUAUCAAUAUUGCCGUUUUAUUGUAAAUAUAUAAAAUGGACAAGAGCGGCUCAAACAAAGAAACAGACCAAUCCGUACUCUUCUGCAUCCCAACUACAGAAGAUAAUGGUUCUUCGAGGUCUCCAUCCUUGCUUUUGCAGCAUCGAGAACCUUUGAGCUAACUAGAGGGACAGAAGGUGGAAUAACAUGUCAAGAACCAGACAAGCAGCAGAUCUUGCUUCUUGUACAAUAGGUCAGGCACAGAAAACAUGAAAUGGGACUUUCAGCCACUUGCCCACUUGAGCUUACAGAGGACAUGGUUGGUACCCAUUCUAAGCCAAUCAGUAUUCUGACCCAGCAGGUCAACAAAUACAGAGCCUACUCAACUACAGCGAGGACAUCCUGUAAGCGAAAACUACCUCAAUCAUUGCUGCAGUUCCGCUGUUGGGGUCAGAUGCUCCGAACGUCCAAGCAUCACGAUGGUUACCCAGAAUGACAUACCUGUACCACAAAAUGCAGUACUUUCUUCAGUAGCAUGCUUAGCAGAAAAGGACAUACGAUUCUGUGUGGUUUAACUUGUGACUACGCCAAUAUGCAGAUUGACACGUCUCUAAUCUCCACUUAAACUGUGAGGAUCCAUAGCUGAGUCUAAUUGUUUGCUUUCAAGAAGAGGGCUUCCAGUAAACAAAACGACGAGAAAAUUGUGCUUGGCUUUUUUUUAGUUAGUGGUUGUAAGCUAUUUCCCCGCCUGAAGGAAACAUUUCCAUAGCUAGUACAUUGCACCCAAGACCCAAAACCAAAAGUAAGCACUCCAAGUCCAAGCCACUUCAAACUUCUAUGAAGUUGGAAUGGUUAAUAAACUAGACAUUUGUCUUUUCCAACUUUUCCUAAGAAUGAUAUGGUUGCAGAUCCUUCCGAUCUUCAAAGUUGAGCUCGAUAGGAUAUUAUAGGUUCAGAAAAUUACCAAGCACAUCGUUAUGCAAUAAAAGCACAAGAAUCAAAUCCAUUGGUACUGUGCGCAACUUGUCAUGAUAUCAUACUUUUUUUAACUAAAAAAUUUCUUAUCUGACUCUCUAUCAUUGAACAUGGGCGUCCUCUACAGAGCUACCACUACCGCACUAAGUCCUAGACUAAGUGUUUGGAUGCUAGUGACUAAAGUCCAGUCCCGUCACAUCGGAUGUUUGGCUACUAAUUAGAAGUAUUAAAUAUAGGCCAAUGAUAAAACUAAUUGCAUAAACGAGGACUAAUUCGCGAGACGAAUCUAUUAAGCCUAAUUAAUCCAUAAUUAGCACAUGUUUACUGUAGUAUCGCAUGGACUAAUUAGGCUUAAUCAUUAAUUAAUUAGCACAUCUCGUGAAUUAGCCCUCAUUUAUGCAAUUAGUUUUAUCAUUAAACUAUAUUUAAUACUCCUAAUUAGUGUGCAAACAUCCAAUGUGACAGGGACUAAAGUUUAGCCAGGAUAUCCUCUUAUUACCCUGAAAAGGAAACUUCUUGCGGAAUGAUAGAUCCGUUUGUCUUGCUCUACCUCGCAAGGACUUAUCCAAACACCCCCUAAGGGGGUUAGUCAGGAACACCAAACACCCCCUAAGUCAGUUAGUCAGGAUAUCCAAACACCUCCUUAGGUGAAAAUAAAAUAUAUAGCUCUCCUCUCAUCAUCUUUAUCAUCUAGAAGGUCAAUGGAUGGUCCAAAAGUAGUGCAUUGAAAUGCACAAGGCAGAAAGUUAUGUGCAAUGCGAUGUCAAAUUUCACAAGGAGUAUGGCAGAAGCAUCAUGACAAAGAAGGAUCACUAAAGAAACAGAAUGAUGCAGCAUCACAUUCCAUGAAGAAUUUGUUACCUAUCCGGCUCUUCAGCGCCUUCGAUGAUGGCAAAGACAUUCUCGAUCGUUGCCAUUGUAUCAUUCCCCUGCAAAGUUUCACAACAAAAGCGUCACCGAAAGGCAACCAGCCGUAAAGCGAGACAACGCCGCCUCGAAAUGUCCAUACAAGAUACGUCAGGUUCAGAACCGCCGGCCCGGGGCCGAGGCGGUACACGGGGCCGUCCUCCCGGCCCUGCCACCCCGCCGGCGCCACGGCCCCGCCCAUCCCGGAGUGUAUCUCCAUCGCGUCACGCGCCGACACCGGCAGCGCCGGGAUGAGCGGCAUGUCGUCGGUGCCCAUGGCCUCCUCCACGCUGAGGCGCUCGCAGCCGUCGGACGACGGCCACAUCGGCGUCGUCGGGUCGCCGGCGCCGAGGAACAGGCUGCCCACCUGCACGCCGCUGGGCGGCAGCCACCGGGACUCCGGGAACGCCGCCUCCCCGGGGGCGCCGCCGUAGUGCAGCGGGUCCGUGUACACCACCGCGGCCGCGGCGCCCGCGGCGCGCGCGUUGUGCACGACGCCCUCGCAGUGGAUCCUCCCGUACCGCGCGAGCGCCACCUUGCCCGCGACGUCUACGCCGCGGGAGGCGAGGUAGGCGAAGUCCUCCUCGCGGCCGUAGUUGGCGUACACGGCCUCCGCGGAGACGGACCCGGACGCCGCGUACGCGUAGAACGUCGGGAUGGCCUCCGCCGACGCGGCCGCGUAGGGGUCGCCACGGUAGGUCUCCUGCUUCAGGGCGAAGGAGGUGGAGGCGCCGGCGCCGCGCCCCGGCGCUGAGAGGGAGAGGGAGCGGUGGACGGGGUAGGAGAGGAGGACGGAGUAGGGCGCGAUGUGGGCGGGGAAGGGGAGCGCGUCGCGCACGUAGCGGGCGGUGCGGGAGUUGGCCCUGGUCCCCGCGACGUGCGGGUGGAGGGUGAGCGAGCGGAGGUGCGCGGCGGCGGUGUCGUUGGAGCCGAGGGAGAGGAAGAGCGCGCCGUAGUUGGGGGACGGGUUGUGCGCGGGGGCGCGGCGGAGCGCGAGGAAGAGGAGCAGCGCGAGGGAGGCGCCGAGGACGGCGAGCGUGGAGGACAGGAGGUAGAGGAAGCGGCCGUGAUGGUGGGGCUUGCCCCGCGGCGGCGAGGGGGCUAGGAGCGACGCUGCGUCGAGGCGGGACAGCAUGGCGCGGCGCGGGAGGUCGAGGGAGUGCGGGUGCACGGCCUCUGGUGGCGGCUUGGCGGGGAGAGCAAAAGGCAGAGCGGGGGUUUAAGCGGCGGGUGCGGGUCCCUCUCCCCAUCCUCGGACGACGCCACGACGGACAUGGACCGUUUGAUGGGAGGCGGUCUUGUAGCUCCUGAUAAGGCCACGCCACACUGGGGUUGGAUGGAUCAAGAAUUCAAGAUCAAUGUGUGGAUGGAGCGCUCUCUCCGGCGAGGCGGGCCUCGGCGUUGUCACAAGAGGCGAUGUUGGCAGAGUGAUUCUUUUCGUGCUAGUGCUCAGGAGUUGGAGGCCCUAGCAUGCACGAACUUCAAGAGAAAAGAGAGAACCUCAUCGAUCACUCAACAUGAUCGUUACUAUCUUGAGCAACCAAUAGCUCAAUGCAACGGGAACUUUGCUAAUGCCAGCGGCUAGUUUGGUAGUGUGGUUUUGUUGCCAGUUGAGCGAGCUCUCGCGGGGCAGCACUAUUUUGUUCUCUUCCGGCAAACAACUACAUAGACUUCUAAUUUCUUUCUCCGACGGCGAAGCACAAAGGUUUUUUUUUUGUUGAGUAACGGCGAAGCACAAAGUUAGCGCUCAUGCUUCAGACAGCUUGUGUCACAGUGGGCACGGACGGAUUCAACAAUGGCCUUGUCUCGUUUCCUCCCUGCUAAGUUCCUUCUCAGGCAUAUCAGAAAAGUUUUGUGCUCCAAAUUUCGGGAGAAAGGUUUGUCCAAAAUUUUCUUAGUUGCUCAAGUUAGAAAUAUAAGUUCAUCAAGGUUUAAUAUGAGUCAAAUAUUUUUAAUAAUCCUUUGUAUCUGAAUUUUAUAUACUCCUAGGCUGGUAACCCAAAAUUGACAUUACUAGAUUUGUUUUGACCACUGCUUUCUAAUAAUAUAGGCCUCUUUUCAUCUAAGCUAGGACUAAGAUGAUUUAUCCUUAUAGAUACUGAUAACCAAAUUUUUUUAAAAAAAAUUGACUUAGCAGAAAACUAGUAAAAAAUCUAUUUUCCAUAAUUUGCAACUCCAGAUUGAAUGAUUGGUAUCGCUGCUUGGAUGAUCACUCGUUAUAAAUAAAUCAGAUUGUUAAGCACAUAGAUGUAAUACAGUUAUACGUAAUUGAUUGUAUGUAAAGCAUCUUCUUGAAAUAUCAACAUACACGCUGACCAAGGCCGUCAUCGCCAUCUAUAUGCUGUCGUUUUUCUUAGGGAAAAAAAAGCAUGUAAUAUGAUAGCGGUUGCAUUGGACACGCCGAUGGCCAUCAAAAUUAGUCAGAGUAUGUUUGUUUCUUGAGCUAAAGUUUAGUUCGUGUCACAUCGAAUAUUCGGAGGCUAAUUAGAAGAAUUAAAUAUAAGUUAAUUAUAAAACUAAUUGUACAGGAGGCUAAACGGCGAGACGAAUCUAUUAAGCCUAAUUAAUCCAUCAUUAAUAAAUGGUUACCGUAGAAGCACAUUGUCAAAUUAUGGACUAAUUAGGCUUAAUAGAUUCAUCUCGCCGUUUAGCCUCCAUCUGUGUAAUGGAUUUUGUAAAUAGUCUACAUUUAAUACUCAUAAUUAGUAUCUAAAUAUUUGAUGUGACGGAUGCUAAAAAUAAUGCCCGAAACAGACACAGAGUCGAAUAGUCGAUCCCCCUUUCUCUUCAUGGCGAAAUGUGCCUCUCUUCUCUUUAUCACGUCAUUCCGUUCCGUACGAUAGCGGUUGGGCGUACGUGCCCACAUGGUUUUGUUUUCAUAGAAAAAAUCUUCUAUACGAAUCAGAAGAUUUAACCAAAUGUUUGGAAUCAAUCUUGGGUGUGCACUAUGCAGCUCUCGUCCAAACUCCGGGCCCAUCUUUUAAUAGUGUCGUGUCGACACUAUGUGAUCAUCUGUCUCUGUGUUUGAGCGUGUUAGAUUAGGAUUCCGAAAGGGAUGAGUACCCGAAACUUUUGGAUGUGACACCGAAAGGGACAUUCGACACUCGUGGUCCGUGGAAUAAACAAUCUGGAGUUCCAGGUCUCAUGCAGAUGCAGAGCAGUUACCCAUAUCAGUACACGCAAAAACUGUACGGUGCGAGUAAAAACAUUGACAUCCUGAGCCCUGAUGGCCUGAUGUAACGCAAGGCUUCGGCGGCCGGCCGGCCGGCAACGGAUGACCAGCGCGAUGCUGACGUCCUGCGGUUCAUCAUGCCGUCCAUGCGUCCACACGUGACCUGGAAAAUCGUGUUGAGCAUGGAAGUACAGGACCCCGGUUUGUUUGAUGUCUUCGGCCUGGUUUGGUUAGUUUUUAAGCAUAUAUCACAUCGAAUGUUUAGAUACUAAUUAGGAGUAUUAAACGUAGAUUAUUUACAAAAUCCAUUACAUAAGUGGAGGCUAAACGACGAGACGAAUUUAUUAAGCCUAAUUAGUCCAUGAUUUGACAAUGUGUUGCUACAGUAAAUAUUUGCUAAUGAUGGAUUAAUUAGGCUUAAUAGGUUCGUCUCGCUGUUUAGCCUCCACUUAUGUAAUGUGUUUUGUAAAUAGCCUACAUUUAAUACUUCUAAUUAGUAUCUAAACAUUGAUGUGACACUUCUUUCGCGGUGGAAAACGAUGCUCUUUUUUAAGCCAGGCGUGCGGUCACGUGCUACGUAAAAUACAGAUCGGCAAGCUGCAACAGACAGCGAUAACGAAAAAAUGAAACAGAAACAAGGACAGAUCGGCGAGCUAGGCGUGUUUGAUAGCAGUACUAAACUUUAAACGUGUCACAUCGGAAAUUCGUUUCGUAAAUUAGCCUCCAUCUGUACAAUUGAUUUUGUAAUUAAUUAUAUUUAAUACUUCUGAUUACUAUCAAAAUAUUCGAUAUGAUUUAAUUUUUAGGAGCUCCUAAAGAACCAAACGGGGUCUAACUGCAGAAUAUUCUGUAAUACCUGUUCAGCCAACCAGCGACCCAGUUCAGAUAUACAGGGUGCAGGACACACGAGUGACGCUCUCCAAAAUUAGGCCAUGUUUAAUUACUCCUAACUCCCAACUUUGACACUAUGCAAAAAGAAGAUUCUCCAUCACAUCAAAAUUGCGGUACAUGCAUGGAGUACUAAAUGUAGACGAAAUUAAAAACUAAUUGCACAGUUUUGUUGUACUUUGCGAGACGAAUCUUUUGAGCCUAAUUAGUCAAUAUUUGGACAAUAAUUUACAAAUACAAACGAAACGCUACAGUGUGCUACAGUGCUGGCACAGUAAUUUUGCAUCUUCAAAGUUGCGCAACUAAACAAGGCCUUAUUGGUUCAGUGCCAGCAGGUGUGUUGCCUUCACGGAAUCUUUUGCGUGCACUCCUGCAGCUUCAAGAAUUCUAAACGGACGGCGACCCUCCAUCAACCCUGUCCUGUGUUGCCGUUCCUGCCAAUGAGCCCUGAGAUCCCAGAACUUGUGAACAUGUUCUCGUUGGUCCCAUGCCGCUGACAUGGUCUAAACCGGUCCGACACAAUGCCAAUCAGCUCACCUCCAUCAAGAUAUUUACAGGUGGAUUCUUUCGCACUGCUUAAUUUGGUGCGGCUGCAGUACACCAUGAUAGCGAAAGCAAAGGACAAUCACACAACUCCAAAGAAGCUGAUUGGUGUUGCUUUCAGGAGAAUCACCAUGAGAGAUGAAUCACUAUUCUUAUUCAGUGUGACUGUGAAUCCAGCAUAUUUCUUCUGUAUCUAAACAUAAUUACCCAAUUAUACAUCUGACUCGCUUCCAAGCCUUUUUUUCCAAAAAAAAAGUAAAAUAAAAGCUGAAGCUACCCAGUACUUUGAUCUAUAUAGAAUGGAAGCUGCAGCACAUAUCAUGUUAGUCCACCAUCCAGGACUGCAGAAGCCUUGGACACGGCCCUUGCAACCCUGUAAAUCUCAUGCUGCAGCGACCGCCAGGAUUCGGUCGUGUUGGACUUCUUGGCCUUGUCCAUGGCCGAGACGAUAUCAGGGAACGCUUUGGUGCCCCAGUCAUCCUGAUCCGAUGACGCAUAGAUCUGUCGAAUGUAAAAGAUGAAAUGUUUUGUCACUGUGUCAACUUCAGAUUUCACAUUGCGAGCCUGGAGCUCUGAUAGGCUGAUGCUCUGUGACUCACCAUAUGCUUGUACCAUGGUCUGCCCGCGAGUCCCUCUCGGUUGGUGAAGGCUCGCUCGGCCAUCAUCAACCGGUCAUUGAUCUCCCUGACUUUCAGUGUGUACUGUCUCGUCUUUAGGCUCCAGUUUUCUGCUUGUAGCAACUACAUAGUACAAAGAGAUGAGGUGUUUUAAUUGAAAGUGUUUCAGUGGAAGUUACACAUCCGUGUACCAUACACCGUUAGGUGAGGUCUUACCAUCUUCUCUUUGUGAAUUUUGGUGGCUGCCCUCUCAAGCUGCUUGAUGGACUUCUGCAAAGGAGAGAAACUGACAGGAAAUCCUUUACAUUUAUCUACGAUGUCUUUUGUGCAUUCCUGCAGUUAAAAAGAUGACAGAAAAUUGUUUCAUGCCUCAAGCAUCCAUAAGCACAAGUUUACCGAUAAAAAGGAAGCGAAUUGUGUGUCCCAAAUGUGAAUAAGUGGUACCUCCAGUUCGGAUGCAUAAGAGACAUAAUUGAAGGGUAUGAUCUCAUCGUCAGCAAGUUUCAGAGCAAUCAGACCCCAAACGCUGGCCACUGCAUGAUUGAUGCAAGGAAAAAUGGUUUGCCGGUGCUUGGGGGAUAAACUAGAAAGCUUUUGAAAAGAAAAGAUGGCUCAGUACCUGCGACAUGCCUGUGGAACAAGGGAUCUCCGAACCUCUCCACCCAAACAUAAUCAUCAUACAACGAGUGGUAAACAGGGUAUUCUUUGACUGCAAGAGCAAUAAUGUUACAUCAAAUGCUAGAUGAGCAAUGAUAGCUAUUAAUAAUGCAAAGCCUUUAUUUUGCAAUUACGCAGAGCCAUGCUUCAGAUACAGUUUCACUUACUCGUUCCAUAAGACAUGUCAAGUGAUGGGACCCCAAUAUGUUGGAGAAAUGCUGCAAAAUCAGUUCCAGCACCAGCCACUCUAGUUAUCUGAAAAAAAAGGGGGGUGGGGGGAACCUACCAGUUCAGCACAUGGCAAAAGGAGGCCUUGUCCAGUGGAAUUUUGCUCUUUUCAUCACUCAUUUGGACCAUAACAGAGUCGUAGGACAUUUUAACGCCGAACUUACCGGUGGAUGAUGGCUCAUCAUGGUGUCAUACAAGGUUUGAGAUGGCUCAUCAGGAUCAGGUACCUUCAAACAAAGAAAUAAUGAAAAGGUAUAUCCGGUAGCUCCGUAGCAUAGUGAUGUGUACAAAGUAGGACAGCCUGAAUACCAUUUUACUCGCUUCUUUGAUCAACUCAUCAAGUUGAGGGGUUGCGCGGGGACGAAGACCCCCAGGACCAAACACUGAUAUGUCCACGUUCAGGUAAGCAAUAGCUCUGGAAGCUAGAGUGUCCAUGUUCUCCUCGGCCCAUUCAGUAGAGCCGAUCUGAGACAGUGUACAGAUCGCAUGAAUGAUUGUUCAUCUGGGCAUGUGAGCAGAAAAGGAUAUGUGAAUUAGUGAGCAAAAAGGUACCAGAGCAAACUCCUCAGCGUCCCAACUGCACAGGAUUAUUGUUCGUCGAGGCCUCCACCCUUUCGCUUGUAGCUUGGACAGCCUCCCUGCGAUCUAUACACAGUGGGAGGGAACCGGAUGCCUUCAGAAUUUGUUCUUUGAAGAACGAGAUAAUGGCUCACUAGUUUUGCAAAUGCACAGUGGAGAAUUUCCCCAAAUUGUCUAGGAUGUCAUCAAAAUUGCCCCGGAUGCUUGAUAACAUACUAUGCACGAACAAUUACCUCAAGCAUGGCUGCUGUUCCACUGUUAGGAUCAACUGCUCCAAAUGUCCAUGCAUCACGAUGGUUGCCUAUGAUCACAUAUCUGCACACACGUCAAGCAAUAGUUAAUUGUCAAGUUUCAAGAUGCCCAUGCGCCACGAUGGCUGGGAUAUAAAACUGUGGCAAAUAUAUAAAAAAAAACCAAGGAACCAUGAACUUGGUCAAACAAAUAUGCAGAGUACAAAAUACUACUCUGCCUGGAGUACAAGAGCUCAUAAAUGUCCUUUCUAGAAUACUGAUAAGCCUGCAUCCGGCAUGCGCCUAGCGCAGCACUGGGAACUCCCAAUUGUAGCCUGCUGCAGUUGCCCAAAAUUUUGCAAAAUGUGUACAAUUUAGGAGGGAUUAGUUACCUGUCAGGCUCUUCUUUCCCUUGGAUCACCGCAAACACAUUCUCGAUUGUUGCUAAGGUUUCGUUUCCCUGCAAAUAGUAGUCAAAAAAAUGGUCAGCAAAUUCCACUUGAAUUCAGAGGACAGUGCCCAGCAGAUAAUGGUUGCGCUGGGCUCCACUGAUCCACUCACAAUGUAGGUGAGAUUCAACACGGCCGGACCGGGACCGAGCCGGUACACAGGAGCGCCCUCGCCGCCCUGCCACUUCGGCGGCGCCACGUCGCCGCCCAUCGCCUUCAGGAUCGUCUCCCCGUCCCUGGCCGACACCGGCAGCGCCGGGAUGCCGGGCAUCGCCGCGCUCCCGGCCAGGUCCUCCGCGCUCAGCCGCUCGCAGUCUUCCCCCGCCGCGCACGACGGCCACAGCGGCGUGGUCGGGUCGCCGUUCAUGUAGUACAGGGUCCCCACCUGCACGCCGGUCGGCGGAAGCCACCGCGCGUCGGGGAACCACCUCCGCUUCUCUCCCUUGCCGGCGCCGCCGCCGUAGUCCUUGGCGUCGGUGUACACGAUCGCAGCGGCGGCGCCCGCGGCGCGCGCGUUCCGCACCAUGUCCUCGCAGUGGAUGUCGCCGUAGCGCGCGAGCGCGACCUUGCCCGCGACGUCGACGCCGCGGGAGGCGAGGUAGGCGUAGUCCUCGCUGUGGCCGUAGUUGGCGUAGACGACCUCGGCGGCGACCGAGCCGGACGCCGAGUAGGCGAAGUAUGUCGAGAUGACCUCCGCCGCGGCCUCGGCGUACGGGUCGCCCUUGUAGGUCUCCUGCACCAGGGAGAACGGCUUGGCGGCGAGGCCCCGCGACGGGGCGAGGGUGAGGGAGCGGUGGACGGGGUACGAGAGGAGCACCGAGUAAGGGGUGAUGUGCGCGGGGAAGGAGAGGGAGGAGAACGCGUGGAGCACGUAGCGGGCCGCGGCCGCGUUGGCCUCGGUGCCCGCGACGUGGGGGCGGAGGGUGAGCGCGCGGAGGUGGGCGGCAGCGGUGGCGUUGGAACCGAGGGAGAGGAAGAGCGCGUGGUAGCGCGACGGAUUGGUCGGCGCGAGGAGGUGGUAGGACGCCACCAGAGCUGCCGUGACGGCGAGAAACGCGACGAACCUGCGCCUCCCGGCUGCGCCACCGCCGCCGUCGGCGGCGGGUGUGGGAGAGUGGAGGAGUGGCUGGCUCUGUUUGCCGCCGCGAGACGUGGCCAUGGCGCGCGACACCGGGGAGGUGGGAACUGGCCGGUGAGCGGCCAGUCACUGGGAAGUGAUAGCUAUAAAACGGGGCUCUGAAGUCUGAACUUCCGAAGUGGAUCUUCUGUUCUGUUCGUCGAUGUGCAGAGAGCACCUCCAGUCGGAACUUCCGAAUUGUAGCCCCACGCUCACGUGCACAGUUUUUUGUUUUUGUUUUUGCGAAUACGCGUGCAGGUUUAUAAUCACACGCAUAAAAGAUAAAAGCUACUCAUCCAUCCCAAAUUAUAAGUCAUUCCAAAAAUCUUAGAGAGUCAAAGUAUCUCAAGUUUGACCAAAUUUAUAUGAUAAUAUAAUAACAUUUAUGAUGUCAUCUAAGUAUCAUUAGGUUCUUCAUCUAUAUUUUCAUAGUAUACCUAUUUGAUGUCACAAAUCUUUAUAAUUUUCUUUAUAAUUUUAGUCAAACUUGAGAUGCUUUGACUCUCCAAGACUCUUGAAAUGACUUAUAAUUUGGGAUGGAGGGAGUAUUUGUUUAUAAGCAGAAAUUAUUUCAACUUCGUACAGUUGGAUUCACUCGAAGGUCGAUUCUUUUUGUGCUCCCUUUUCUCCGAUGAGGUUAGGAUUUUUUUUUCCUUCAAAACAAAUGAGGUUAGGAUUUGGGUGGGAGCUCCUAGUUCUUGAGGAAAACAAUUAAUCCAAUUUUGAAGGUGGACACGGGGACAUGGUGAUAAGACCAUGAAGAUACUGCCGGCAACAUAAGACGGUUGGGAUUGUGACAAGGUGUUAGUUGUAGUGGUGGCUAUUGGAGCCAACUCUGGUGCAAACGGGAGCAAAAGGCAAAAGAAAUAAAUCAACGAAGUUGUGCAAAUGGUGAGGAUUUCGGGUAGGAUGGAGGAAUUUGGAUGGAUAAAAGAGGGAUGGAUUGAAUUUGGAAGGAUAAAGAGCAGCAAGGAAAGCAUCGACGCGGAUGAUCACACUAGCAAGAUUAAAGAGGACAGAUGAUUACAAAUGCCAUAAGAAAUCGAGAAUAAAGCUGCUCACUUUUAGAAACCAGAUUCAUUUGGACGACGUGACACAUUUAGAAACCCAUUUAGUCCUUGUUUGGUUGGAAGGCUUCAAUCCUUUGGGAAGAGGAUUAACCAAACAAUAUCAAGAAACAAGCUUAAAAGUUAAAACGUGCUCCCUGCACUAAUAAUUGAACGCCGGAGUAGAAUCAACGAGAGCGACCUUUGACGGUUGACAGCAGACAGCAGUACGUUUUUUUCCUUGAUGCUGACGAGGCAGCACCACUGCUCGUUUUUCUUCGUUUUGCCAUAAAUAUCGACUCGUACACGCCGUUCUAUCUCCAUCAAUUUCUCCACCUUGCCGAGCCGGCCCCGGUACCUGCUUCGACUUUCAAUUUGGUGCAGGACGCAUCAUCGAGGCUGACCCAGGUUCCGGCCUUGUUCCUCCGUUCACCAAAGCGGCGAGCAACACGUCACCGUCAUCUGUCCGCCGCCGAUCUGAUCGGGUCGGAUGCGGGGUCCCGAUGAGGCAGCUGCGUGAGUCCGGUGAUCCGGGCCCCAUGCAUAUUGUAAUCGACGUUUGGGGCCCGAAUUCAGGAUGACGAUAAUUGACGAACAAUCCUCAGACGUAAGAAAAAUAUCGGGAGAACAACAAGAGGCUUCGCCAUCCGAGCUCGCUGCUGUCGUGCAAGUAGACGAACCGAGAUACCGGGAGUAGAAAAUUCGUGAUCGAAAGCGCCAGGAUUCGGGACCUAUGUCGCAGGAAUCAGGUCGCCGCACGGCACCUCUUUAAAAUGUCAUAUUUUCAUAAUUUAUUGAUAAAAGCAUCUAAUUUUCAAUAUCCUAAACAAUAUGUAUUUUUUUAAACGAAAACAAUAUGUAUUUUGAAUUGAUAGGAAAAUAGUAACACGGAUCUUAUAUUGUAGACUUAAUUGUGAGGAACACAUUGGUUUGAACAAUAUUGUAAAAUAGCCAAGGGUUUGAGAGAGAUUUGGAUUUCAAUUUCAGAAUGCAAUUCCGAAAUAGCUUUUUGUGAUCUUGCCUCUAUUUUUUAAGUGCAAUUGUAUUUUUACCCUUGUUUUUUUAACUUUAUGAUUUUACCCUCAACUAUUCACAAGUCAAUGCAUUUUUACCCUUAAUCUUUACGUAUUUACCCCUAUUUUUAUCGUUGACUAGGGCAAAAUCACAUUAACUUAUGAAUAGUUAAGAACAAAAUAACAAAGUUGAGAAAAGAAGAGCAUAAUCACACUUACAUAACACAAAUGCCCUUCCAAAAUUCUACCCACAACCACCUGUGGCCCUGUGGGCCUACGGUGCACAGCUGAGCCUAACGGCAAAUAAUGAUGGACGGAUGACGACCUUCAGGCCCAAAGAAUCCCAAAAGCAAGAUCUGCUGAUAUAUCUUUGCAUCCGAUUGCCCUGAGGCUGUGUGAACUAAUGGCGGUGGUUGCAGUUAGAUUUCUUUAACAGGAACUGGAUUUCGUGACUUAUGAUGAUUUGUCUGGCAGUCCAGUUCAGUAUGGUAAAAAAAAUGGAAGACCUCAACUCUGUCCUGCCUUAAUCUGAACUCUGUUUUGCUUUGCUUCAUGUGAUUCUGUUGCAUUGCUAGCUGCGAAAAAACGAACCCGGCAUGCUCCAUCAAAACACUGAUGAGCGUUUCGUUGUUUGAGAUGCCUGCGUGGCAUCCUUGCUUCAGAUUCCUGCGCUGCCUCGCACGUUCUGCACUCGCAGCUCGUGAUUCGAGAAUGGGUCUCGCUGAGUCAUCGUAUGGUCUGGUUUGGUUCCGGAUGUUUAUUUUUAGCACCCAUUACAUCGAAUGUUUAGAUACUAAUUAGAAGUAUUAAACGUAGACUAUUUACAAAACCCAUUAUAUAAGUGGAGCCCAAACGGCGAGACGAAUCUAUUAAGUCUAAUUAGUCCAUGAUUUGACAAUGUGUUGCUACAGUAAACAUUUGGUAAUGAUGGAUUAAUUAGGCUUAAUAGAUUCGUCUCGCCGUUUAACAUCUACUUAUGUAAUGGGUUUUGUAAAUAGUCUACGUUUAAUACUUCUAAUUAGUAUCUAAACAUUUGAUGUGACACGUGCUAAAAAUAAGCAAAGGGAACCAAACACACCCAAAUAUCUGAAAACGACGUGAACUUAAUCUAGGUUUUCUUUACAGCCCGUCGAUCACGAAUUUUAAUAAAACGCUAGCUACUGCAAAGUCUUGGCCACCUCGCAUUGAUCGCCAUUAGAAUAUAUGAACAGAUGGAAGGAAGCAGGCAAUUGUCUCAUAGAGGGUGCGAGCAAGGAAUCAGGCAUCGUACGGGGACAUGGGCGACGAUGCGAGGGCGCUGCGGCUGGCCGCCAUCGCGAGGAAGUGGCUGGAGGACCCCCGCGUCGGAUACUCCGGCGAUCUCAACCCCGCCGCCAGCGACAGCGAGCGGCAAGCGCUCAGCUCCAUGGCGAUGGCCGGCGCGCGCGUCUCCCUCGCCGAGCCCGGCCGCGUGGUCUGCUCGCUCCGCGUGCGCGCCCCGCUCACCGUACGUGUGUCCACCUGCCCAAAGUCUUGCACGCCCGCGCCGAGCAUUUGAGCCUUUGGUCUGGUCUGAUUUGUGCUGCUUCCUGUGCGCGCGCAGGACGCGGAGGGGAGGUGGCACGCCGGGGCGAUCGCGGCGGCGGUGGACAACGUGUGCUCGGCGGCGGUGUUCACGGUGGAGGGCGCGCCCACGGCCACCGUCCACUACAGCCUGUCCUACUUCUCGCCCGCCCAUCCCAACGUACGCGCUGCGUAAUCGACACUCACGCCACAUCAGAACUUCCAUUUUCUAUCCGAUCCACUGAUUCGGCAUCGCUGCUCCGGCCUCGAUCGCAGGAGGAGGUCGAGAUGGAGGGGCGAGUGGUGAGCCGGAAGGGGAAGCUGACGGCCGCGGCGGUGGAGGUGCGCAAGAAAGAGUCCGGCGAGCUGGUAGCAAUCGGGAGGCAGUGGAUGACACCUGCCUGGCCAACCAAGAGCAACAAAAGCAGCAAGCUCUGAACCAAUGUGAGCAUCUUUUUACAACUAGUAGGGACUUAGGGUAUGCAAUUCACAAGCAGCAAUCCUUAUCUUGGUGAUUCGAUCUUUCGAAACUUGGUAGCCAUUCUCGUUUCAAAAAAAAAAAAUCGUAAGAAACUUGGUAGCCAUUUGCUUUCAACGCGUUUUCGAUCGAAGAAGCUGCUGCUUGCUUGGUAUGGCAGCCAGACCUUGACCUGAAUCAUGCCGUCAGAUUUCCUCAGUCCGCUCCGCAAAGCAAGAGAAAACGACGGCAGGAGACAGACGUCCGCGUGCGGGCGCCCGCUUCGCCUCGCCGUAUGCCCCUCACCGCAAUUCCGUCGCGCUGCCGCGGCAGCAUCCGUGGAGGAGCUGGGACCGAGGGCGGCGCGCGCAGGGAUCCGCGACUCCGGCUAGGCGGUGAAUCUCGAAUCUGGAUCGCCGGGAUGCAUGGAGAUGGGGUCAGAAGAAGUCACCGGCGGCAACGCAAGCACGACGACUGCUCCGGCUCCGCCCCCGAGUUGUUUGCAAAACACCCCCGGUUUAGAUCGCGAUUAUUAACCGCAAUCCAAAUCAGAGGCUCUAAUGUAAAAUUCCAAAUCGAAUUUUUAUAAAAGACCUCCUAAAUUGGAUCGCGAACUAUUAAUCGCGAGUCAUACUGUAAAUGUUAGAUAGCCCCUCAAUUGGAUCGCAACCAGAAUUAUGCAAAACGACCCUCAGGUUCGGACGGCUCCGGCCUCUCGCCAGUACCGAUGGCCGCCGCCGCCGGCGGCAUCCCCACCCCAGGUUCAGUUCCUGCCGCCGGCAUCCCCACCUGAGGCCCUCCAUUCCUCUGCUCUGCUCUGCUCCGGCGGCAACACGCGCGAUAUGCCGCUGGCAUCAGAGCCGAGUCAGAAGCUGCGCGCUCACAAGCAGGUGAGCGCGGCGGCGUCUUCUCCUCCCGAAACAGGGCAUGGCAGCAGGAUACGCGGCCGUCGUCUUCAUUUAUCGGAGUCUGUAUCGCAAUCGCGCGCGUGUCCGGUGAUGCGAUGCAACGGUGGCUGCUAGCUCCGCCACGGCUGCUGCCGCCAUGAGAGGUGAAGCAGCGCUUUCCCCACGAGUUGUGUCCUUUUCGCUGUCCGGCCCCCUGAUCAAGUAAGGCAGAUGUACAUGACUUGUGACCAAUCAAACAAUCACACGCAGAUCUCCGUUCUUCCUCUUUACAGGCUCCGGCAACGGCAUGCAUUGCACAGUAGGACCGUGAUGAAUGAAGCAAUCAGUAGGUCAAUACUAUGAACUCAGUCAAUAUUUACACGCUGCAGAUCGUGCCAGGAAAAAGAAAGUGCCGAUCGUAUUUCCACAAUUUAUUCUCCAUCCUAUGAUCAGUUCUAUGCCUCUGCAUCCAAUAACCUGCAGAAAACAACCAUCAGCCACCUGAAGACUGAGUUCGUGCAGUUGUUCAGUUCGUUCCAGUUGUUCUACCUUGAUUGGCGCAUCGUCCAUAGGAGUGUAGAGCAGGCUGAGCAGCCGGUCAUGAACUUGCAGGGAGGAAAUCGGAUUCCUUCCGGCUCUGUUCGCUUCAGCUUAUCAGCCGGCUUAUCAGUCACGGAACAGUAUUUUUUCCUCACAACAAAUCAGCUGUUUCAACUUUUCAGCUAGCUUAUAAAUUCAGCCGAACAGCCCCGCACUGCCCACUUGCCAGAUCGAUUUCCUGUCACCGACAACAGUGAGUGCUCUUUCGUUCGGUUCAUCCAUGCUAGUAGAUUUUUCUUGAAAUUGACGCAGUGCUUCUGAGCAUUUGAACAGCAAAUACAAGAAUACUGCUGUCGUUGCAGCCGCAGAAAAGCUUUGCCGUGCACGAGCGGCAUGGACCUCACGUACUUGUUGGGGUUCAGGAGCUUGCAACUGCAGGCACAGAACAAAGCAAACGGCGUGUUGAGUUUUCUGAAGCUCUGAACAUACACAGCCAGCAUCUAUACUACCGAAGGAUCUUGUCGAUCACCACCUUAACGCAGUUACAAACAUGAUAACAGUUAAGAGGGCCAAGAGCGCACAAUUCACAAGCGCGUUGCAGCUGUUGCUGCUAAACUUGGCUCUUCUAUUCAGGCCGAGAAACACACGCCACUGCACAGCAGAAUUGAACAAACGAAAUGACACAUGGUGACAUUGCAUUGCAAGGUAGAUUUUUGUAUACAUACGUAGCUACAUACUGUACCACCCACCAAGAAAUAUAUUUCACUAUGGUAGAUAUUCUCUCAAAAGAAACCUAAAAACUGAUCAACUGGACAAUGGACCAGUAGGAUAUAUAGGGUAGGGCUAUAUGCGAAUACGCCCCCAGUGAGCCAGGUGAGUGGAUCACCGAUCGAAGAGCACGUAGAGCAGCAUCACAGGCCAGUGUGUCCGGCCGGAUCACCUCCCCGCCACGAGACCACUGAACACCUGGCUGUUCCCAGCCUGCGUUGACUCCCACUCGAUGGACGACAGCAGUAUUUGAGACAGCGUGAUCACCACCUGCUUCAUGUCCGGCCGUAGAACAGGGUCUUCGUCCACACACUGUUUCGCUAGCAUGGCCAUCUUUGGAGAAGCAUUUGCAUUUCAGAACAUUCAGAACGAUGAAUAAAGGUGCCACAAGAUGAGCUCAAGUUAACUAGGAAAAGACUAGAUCUAAUUGCAAGAAGUUCAUGAGUUUUAAAAUUCAUACCUUGAACACACAGUCAUGAGGAUAAAGGUCCCUUAGAUUACGGUCAAUGCAGUCUUUCAGGUUCCCCAUAUACAUUGAGCUAGGACAUUUCCUUAGAGCAUUCAACAUCUGUGGAGUGCAAAACAAAAGUUGCUUAAGCCUUUGGAGUAAAAACAAGUAAAUUAGAAACAUUGAACAAAAUUAAAUGGAAAAUCUAUGCUACUUGAAUGGUAAGAUAACUGUAAAGACAUAAGCUACAAUAUUAGAAAGUCAACUGAUAAUGAAAAACUUACAACUGAUGCCAGCGAGCGCCUUUCAGAGUUUGAGCUUGCACCCAUUCCUUCAGCUCUUGUAAUAGCCUCCUUUCCAGAUAUUAGCUCAAAAAGUACUACGCCAAAAGCAUAGACAUCGCUCUUCGUAGUUGCCAGGCCAUCUCGCAGGUAUCUAAAAGAUCAAAGAAAGAUUGUUACAAUACCAUUGGUAGAGCCAAAGGUUGCUUUCAAUUAAAAGUAUGACAUAAAAAUGCACUUACUCAGGGGCCAGAUAACCAAAAGUACCAACAACCUUAGUGACAGAAGCCUCUGCAUCACUGGAUUUCACUACUAGUUUUGCAAGGCCAAAAUCUGAAAUCUGUAAAGGCAAAAGAUGCGAUACACAAGGUAUGAGUUGAUGCAAGAAAAAGGGAACCAAAUAAUUCAAAUCACCUCACCUUCGCUCUGAAGGAACCAUCAAGCAAGAUAUUACUUGAUUUAAUGUCUCUAUGAACAUAAUGAUCUUUUGUGUGCUCAUGAAUGUAUUCGAGUCCUCUGGCAGCAUCAAGUGCAAUUUGGACCCUAAAGAUCCAUGAAAGUGAUGAAUACCCUGAAAGAAAUAAUAAAUAAGAAUAAAUCAACCAGCAAUGAUGAAUCCAGUGGAGAGAGCAUAAUGAGGCGUUCAAACAGAUGGUAACAUAGUACCAGGUCAGGCAAAAAAUAUGAUUCCAUAACUACUGAGGAAAAAUGGAUCCAAGCAGUAAACUUCAAGAACCAGUCAAUAAACUAAUUUGUCCACUAAAGAUUUUUUUUUACUUUAUUAUAAAUACCAGUAUUUAAAAGCCAACCUAGGCCACUGCCUAGUGCUAGGCAGUGCCUUGAUGCCCCUGCUACGGGUAAUCGGUGUGUCUAGAUAUCAGAGUGCUUAGAUGGACUUAGGUGGCGCCUAGGCAAGGUGGUGCUACUAGUUUUAACAUGCCAUUAUGAGAACUGAGUGAUAGCUCAUUUGAUAAGAGUCUAACAUCUAGGAGGUCACCCACCAAGGCUUGAAUACGGGUGCUAGCAAAAAUGUGGCCACCUCCAUAAGAAUUGUUUUCAACAAGUUUCAACGUUAGGCAGAAGCCUAAUGCUAGCCUAGCACCUGGUGAUUUUGAAACACUUAUAGCAUAAUGUUCUGGAGCUAGUACAUGAGAAAGUUAUCAGACAUUAUAUGACACUGGGGGUUCCAUAGUCCAAUAAAUGAACUACUUAUGAAAAUGUUAAUACUUUAUAAAGCUGAAAGUCAUAUCUAAGAACAAGAGAAUCUUUCAGAAAUCAAGUGCCAGAUGAGGGUAUACCCUUGCUUUCAGGAUCGUGCAGAUGAUUUUUGAGUGAACCAUUUUGAGAAUACUCAUAAACCAGGAAAAGCUCAUCCUUACUUGCUGCAUAGCCGAUCAACUCUACCUUUGACAAAACAUGUCACACAAAUGAAAGUUCAGUAAACUUGGAACAGAAGAGAAUGAAUUUAGAUUAGGAUUUUGUGAUAAGCUGAUAGCAAUAAAAUACCGUACCAGACUAGCAUGAUGAACCUUACAAAGAACUUUCAUCUCCACUAAAAAUUCUUUAGUUUUAGUGGCCAUCAUUCUCUUUAUUGCAACCUCCUGUGGACAACAUUUUUACAGUGAUAAGGCAAUAACAAGGAAUAUUAUGCAUAGAAAUGGGCAACUUCGAUGUCGGACCUGAUCUCGGAGAACACCAUAAUAGACAGAUCCAUAUGUACCAUGACCAAGAAGAUUUGCAUCAGCAAAUGAGUCAGUUGAUGUCAGUAUUUCUUCAUAUGUAAACACAACAGGCUUCUCCCUAUCAAAUACGUCUGCUGCCACACCUGUUUUGGAGGGUUCGAUCAGUUACUAAAUGAAAUGAGAAAAAGAGAAAUAACAGUAGUUAAUUUGUGCAGGUAAUAAUUUAGUACUAAUAGUGAGUUUGUUACUAUGUAUCUUAAUUGAAGUUUUCAUUGGAUCCCAUUUCAAGAAAACUACUUGAUCCAUCUCCAGAACAAAAAAAAUGUAGGGUUUGGGAGCAGCUACUUGUGCUCCUGUUUAUAGGAAUGGUUAACAAUUGGUGCACUGACCUUUGGGGACACUGGUGUUAUGAUCACCACCAUCCGCUCUUGUUGGUUUUGUAUUUCCAAAUUGGCAACACAAGUAUCUUCCAGAACCAUAACAGAAACUACCACUCUUAAGGAGCUGAAACUUAUGUUGGUCUGGGCUCUUUCCCUGGUUACUAGGAUCUUGGAGAUUGUGCCUGAAGGAUUUCCAUAGGACAAGUGCAAGGAGAGCAACAGCGAUUAAAGCAAGUGCAACUCCCAUGCUGCCAAUAACCCAUCCAAAAGGAAAUUUGGUUGAAUGGUGAUCCGGUGUCUCUGCAGUUGUAUGCCAGAGGAUACUUUGUUAGAUUAUCAUAACAGAAAUAUUGUUGAUUGCAGUUAGUCCUUGAUACCAAAACUGACAUUUUUCAACACUGAUACUUGGAGCAGAAAUACAGGAUCAGGACCAUGAAAUAAGUGACUAACAGAAAGAAAAUAUUAAAAAUAAACAAAAAAAAGUGGAAUAUGCAUAUUGUAAUAUUAUAAACAACUCUGCACCGAUUGUUCACAAAAUUCAUCUAUGUAGCUCAAAACAUUAACCAAUCAGUUAUAAAUUGUAAUGACUACCUGAUAAUGUGUUGCCAGUCAGUAUUAAAAUACUCAACAAUGAAUACUUAUAAAUUGUAAUGACUACCUGACAAUGUGUUGCCAGACAGUAUUAAAAUCAUCACUCAACAAUGAAUACCCACUCAAAACAGUAUGAAAUGAGUUGCAGAUCAUAAUAGCAACCUGGCAAUGUGUUAUCUGUUGGUGCUGGGGCAGGAGCAGGAGGAGGGGGUAGUGCAACAUACGCCUGUCCAGGAACUGCAAAUUGGUAUGGGUGAACGAGGUUGGAAUAGUCAAUGAGGAUAUCUUACAAACUAAGGCAAUUACAGACUUUAGAGGAAAAUUACAAGAUGUUAUGCAGAAAAGGAUGGCAGAAAGUAAGGUUAAUUUUAAACACCGCAAGAAGAAAAAUAUUGCAUAGAUGAAAAUAGCAACGGUAGAAAAGAAAAGUUAGCACCCUAAAGUAGGAAAAAUAUAUCGAAGACCAUAGCUGACCAAGAAGCCUGACAUUUGAUAAUAUAUUUUUUUAUGAAAGACAUUGGAUAAUAUUGGGAAGCUCAGCAUUCAAAUGCAGAACUGAGGACACAACAGUCCAGGGUGAGAAACUUAACGUAUCACUGAUAUUACAUAGCUCAACUUACUGAUACUAAUAAUACUUUUGACAGUAUUUGGGUUCAGUUCUUAAUGGAGAUUAGAUGCAGGGUAUGUGUUAAGUGCAAUCAGUCGAUGUCACAUGUACCUCCUUGUGCCAACCUAGAACUACAUAGCAGCACACUAAGAGAUGCUGCUACCAGACCAGUAAGACUAGUUUACUCCAUUUUGUAAGUAACCACAAAGCAAUCAAGUCAAUUAUAUACUAGUCAAUGGUUCAGGAACUUGUUUAGACACACUGAUGUUUCACAAGCCCAGUUGCAGCUGAUUAUUGGGCAAGGAGUACCUGCCACCUCACUAAUGAACACAUCUAUCUGUACAAUUUUGACACAAUCAUUCACCGUGUCCACAGCAUGGUCCUGGGACAAUUGGUAAUUUCCAGGGCAGCCACAAGAAGUAAAACGUGAAUUCCGUGGUACGCCUCGCAAGCCCAGACCAAUAAAUUCAGAGAACCCGUACUUCAUAACGUGUGGUAAUUAUUUAGAGAUCCGUGCUUGCAAAGUUGCAACAACCCAGCAAACUGAGGCGAAAGGAACAAACCGAGUAUCAAACUUUUCACAGCGAAUUCUACAAAGAGAGAAAUGUUUGAUCGAUUCGUCGGAAAUGAUCGCUGACAUUGGGAUCGCUCACCUGAGUUGAGUGGGAUGUAGUACACCUUCCCGGCGGUGAUGGGGUCGGGGCCGGCCAUGGCAUUGGCAGCCUCGAUGGCAUCCAUGCUCGCCCCGAACCUGCUCGACAGCGACUCCACCGUGUCCCCCUCGACGCCGACGUAGCUGAGGAGGUAGUUCCAGGUGCCGGACGAGCAGCCGCAGAGCAGGUGGAGUGCCACCACGGCACCGGGGCGCGGCGGCCGCUGCGCCGCCCCGCCUGGAGGCGGCACGGCGAGGCCCGCGUACGCCGCGGCGGCGACGUCGGCCGCGGUGGCGUUGGGGGCCCCCGAGGCCGCCGCGGAGGAGGGGAUGGUGUAGGUGGUGUUGGCGAGGUAGGUGCGUGACGGGAGGCAGGAGCAGUUCUUGCGCACGAAGGCGUACCCCGGGCUGGCCGCGGCGUCUGCGGUGAGGUCCCCCGGCGCGGCGUCGAACAUGGACUCGAGCAGGGUGGCAUUGGCGGCGCCCGCACCGGCGGCCGGGAAGGCGAGGAAGGCCGUGCAGACGCGCGAGAGCUCAGAGCAGCCGAGCGGCGCCGACGACGUGGCGUUCCCCCCGGCUGCGGCGGCGCCGGAGACGGCGGCGAGGGGUAGGACGAGGAGGAGGAGCGGGAGGAGGCGGUGGGGCGGCAUUGGGGGCUGGCCUGCUACUCUGCUAGGGUUCUGGCCUCGAGGCGGCGAGGUGGUGGUGGGGCAUGGAGGGUGGCAGUGCCGAGCAGAGUUGGAGCAAGGCUGGAUGCUUCGCGUGGUCGGAGCACCAAAACGCACGCUGGGGGAACGGGACGCCGCUUUUAGUAACAGAACGCUGUUAUUUAGCGCGCACGGCCACGGGGGAGAAGCGGGGCGGGUGGCGCGGUUAGGUUUGCCCAUAAUGCCCCUGCCUGUCUUUUCCUUAUCGUUUACUAUGUUCUGUGGAUUAACAGUUGACUCUAGUUCUCUUUAAUAAUGCAAUGUAUUAAACGAAAAGGAUAAAGUCCACUCUGAAUGUUUUGAGAAGCAUGGGAACUUAAUUUCUAUAUUAAAGGUUUGCGAAAUAAGCAAAAUGGUACGGCAGCAUGAAACACAAAAACUCGAUGGCUCAGGCUCACCACACACCCAUACUUAAACCUCUAUAGUGUUUGACUCCAUGUGGUUGAAGGGGGCAGAGGGUUAAUACGGGAAAGAAGCCCCAUCACGCACGCACACACACAAACUCUCUCUCUCUCUCUCUGUCUCCGGGGGCAGUACGGGGACAAGAAAUCAUGCGCAUCUAGGUAUGUACUAUGGUCCAAAAACAGUGAAGAGCUUUGCUAUAAUAAGUGCCCAGUCGGGUACCGCACAAUUGACGAGCCUCUGCCUGCUUUCCUGCACAGUAUUUAUAAGGUUUAGCAAUCCAAAAGCACCCGAUGAUGCUAAGCCCCUCACGAUACUGUGGCUGUGUUAUCGAUGGAACUACAGGAAAAGACCAUGGCUCCGCGCUGUUGCCUCCUGCUCGCUGGCAGUUUUCACCACGGCCCACCACGUCGGCAACCAACGCCCGGGUCCAUUUUUAUGGCAGGAUGCAAAGGCUCGUCUCGUACUGCUACUUCUCCUAUGGGGGUGCUUGCAGGGGCUGAACUUUAGCCCUAUCACAUUGGAUGUUCGGAUGUUAAUUAGGAGGACUAAAUAUGAGUUAAUUACAAAAGUAAUUGCAAAAUCCCUAGGCUAAAUCGCGAGAUGAAUCUAUUAAGUCUAAUUAAUCCAUCAUUAGCAAAUGGUUACUGUAGCAACACAUUAUCAAAUCAUGGACUAAUUAGGCUUAAUAGAUUCGUCUCGCAAUUUAGUCUAGCGGUUGUGCAAUUAGUUUUGUAAUUAGUCUAUAUUUAAUACUCCUAAUUAGUGUUCAAACAUCCGAUGUGACAGGAGCUAAAAUUUAGCCUAGGGGAGCCAAACACCCCUAUGUUUUUUUUUCCUUGUCGCAUCGCGGUUUCUUUGCUCGGCAACGUUUAAUCUGCCAUCAUCCCAUCAACCAUCGGAACUGUUUGGAACAUCUAUGACCAACAUAAGCUGCAACUAAUAGCCAAACAUCACGUUUUUUUUCCGCUUCUCCUUUUCGCGCUUCUCCCUGUAGCUCCCAUUUGUACUAACACAUAGAAACUGGACUGAACCCGCUUCUCAGAGAAGCGCUUUUACCAUAUUAGUGCAACUUAUCCGAGGGCCAGUUUGGCAGGGUUCCGGUUCCUCUGAAAACGGCUCCGGCUACUCUAAUGGAAUGGCUUCUCCGGCUCUGGCUCCUCCUUUUGGAAACCGUUUGGCAAAACAGCUCUUCCGUGUAGUUUAAAAUGGUUAGAUAAAAUGAAAUACCCAUAAUACCCUUUUAAUUUUCUUUUCUUUUUUUUCUUUUCUUCCAUUUAUUUAUUUAUUUUCUUUCUUUCUUUUCUCCUCCUUCUUCUUUCUUUUCUCUUCCUUUGUUAUCCUCCUCCAACCGUCGGCCUCCCAUUCCAUCGUAACUAGGCCGUCGCCUCCCCCCACCUCCCCGCUCGUUCCUCCUCUCCUUCCCGCUCUGCCGCCACCGCCCAUGCCACUCCAGCCGCCUGCUGCACUCGUCGUUGGCCGGCCGCCGCCGUCCGGGAAGGGUCGCAUCCAGCCUAAAUACGGCGCUUCCGCUGCAUUCAACCCUCGGAUCGAGGUCAGCCAUGGUUGAUCCGCUCAUUUCCCUGCCCGGAGCCCCUUCCCUGCGCGCCACCGUGGGCCGCCAGAGCUGGUUCAUGACGAGCGGUGUUCUUGCGCGAGGCGAGGCGAGGUGAUGUGUUUCUGAUGAUUCCGGUGGCAAUUUGGGCGUAAUAUUGGUCAACUGAGGGCCACUUUCCUAGCCGCUGGACUGGGUGUGCGGGAGGAAGCCGCCGGAGAAAAAAAAGGACAAGCUCCGCCCCCCACGUGUAAAAACAUCUCCGACUCCGGUAAGCUUCCCCUAGGAGCCAUUUCAAAUUUCUUCCUUUGGCUCGGCUCCAACAAAAAACCAGCUUCAGAAGCCGUUUUCGAGCUCUACCAAAGGGGCCGUGAGAAUCGGUUUUUCCCACCGCAGUUACCUUCACCUGCUCCCCACCUCCGACUGUUCCUCUGCUCAGUCUCUGUGUAUGUGUCGUGUGUGUGGAACGGGGCAGGGGCGUGACUGCGUAAGAAAAACGCUGAAAUCACUUGAUCUUAUCACUACUCCGGAAGAUCAUUUUCACGGUUCCAGCAGCAUUAACUACGCGAGCACGGCGGGAGCCAGGAGGUAGCUGGCGUCGCCGUUACGGCCGGACUGGCUGGGGUGCGGCCAAACCAAAAGGCCCCGCCCCCGCACGUGGGGUGGCCGACACGGCGGCCGGUUUCACUCCACGGCAGCGGCGAGGUGGAGCCGCGGCGUUGCCACGCCCACUCCCGCCGGUGACGAAUCGGCCCGCUGCAGGCCGGGGCCCACCAAAAAGCUCGAUAUUUUUCAGAGUUUCCUGUGCGAUCCGUACGGUCGAUCAGAUGAGAUCUGCUUGCUGCUACUCUAGUCGCUUUGUUAACGUCUCCCUGCUGCCGAGCAGGUAAAGCGGCAGCAGCUCGCGUGCGUGCGCUGCUGGCUUUGGGCCUUUGGCUGGUGGUUUUAUACGGCGGGUCGGGCUGCUAGCUAGCGUGUACUUGCUGUCCGAACCACGGAUCAGGUGGAUUGGGAUUAUACUACCACUAUACCAGUAGGUGUGCCUAGCCGGGCACUGGCUGCGGAUGUGGAUCAUGUGGCACGUGGGGCGGGGGGAUUUCGGUGGAUAACAACGUAUCCAAGUGAGAGGUACGCACGCCGCCGGAGCAUGUGUGUGUGGGCGCCGUAAAAGCUCAGUAGCUUAAUGGGUACGAGCAUGAUUACAACCUGUGGCGCACUCCGCUGAUUGAUGAGCUACAGGCUCAGGCUGCGGCCCGCCCCGGCGGCGUCAACGAUUGGGCAGCAGCAUAUCGGUUGGUAAGACGCUAGCGAACAAGGACGAGUAGUUCCUUUCUACGCUGUGUACAGUGUCAUGGACCCCUGGGGCCGGGGCGGCUGCAUUCCUCCAAUCCUCCUCGCGUGCUCCUUGGUCCUGGUCGUCGCCGCCUUCUUUUCCGGCGCCCGCACGUCGUCCCCGGGGCUACUGAGUACUGAGGUACACCCUGUGUCCGCAUGUCCGCUAUGGACCUAUGGUCGUGCGUGCCUUCUGCUCUGGCUCAAAUUACUACGAGCCUACGAGGCCCGGACUAGCUAGCUGCCGGCUUCCUGGAUCACCGGGUGUCCGGGUGGCGUGGGUGACGCGCCGCGCGCGCACGCCCCCGCUUCCCCGGCGCGGACCACGCCGACAGCCAACUGUGCUCCCCGUCCGCCGCGCGCCAGUGCGCUACGCUUUCGCGGGCGGGUUGCCCGCCGCUCGACCAGCCGCUGUGCCCGCGCACUCGUUUCUACCAGCGUAGAGGAUCAGCCUCUCUCCGCCGUGGAGGACGGAGACAGCGAGGCUCGCACGAGAGGACAGGUGCAGCGCGUGAUCGAAUGGGCGACGACGCGCGUCUGUACAGCGUACCGCUCGCCUCGCCGUUCACGUUACGCGAUCCAAGGGCACGGCCGGAUACAGUCGCCGUUAAUUCCACACCCGACUGUGCACGUACGUGUACGCGUCCCGACCGGCAAGCGGUGACGAAGAAGAUGGCGACUUACCACGGGCCAAUGGAUCGAUUUCAUCUCCCAUUCUACUAACCCACCGCGCACAUGUAACCAUAUUUGGCGAACAUGGCAUGCUUCACACUGUGUACGUGCGAGUGCGAUGUGUCGUGCAAUAAUGCGGAUGGGCCAGGCACGUACGGGUCAGGAGACCCACCACUUACCCGAGUCCUUCCUGACCCCAACAAGUAUAAGUGGCGUGGGAUACAAUACAAGACACAACCAAGACCGGCACUGUGCCUGUGUGAACCGAGCGAGAUGCUACGGCGCGCCCGCGCGUCAACCCGGCACGGCUCGAUCACCGAUCGGCGGCAAGACGGGCAGUCGGGCACCGCCGCCGCCGCUUCAAGAGGAGGAGGGGAGGGAGCCCAAUCGACCGAACCCGUCGCUGGGUGGGGGCGUUCUGGGACGGGGACCGUCGGAGUUGUGCGGACCGCACUCACGCGUGUAUAUCCGGAUUGGACGACCUUGUCGUGGUCCAGCCUGCGUCAGGGGCUCCAUCUUUUUUUUUUUUGAAACGUAUGGGGGCUCCAUCUUUUUUUUUUUGAAACGUAUGGGGGCUCCAUCUUUGGGCUCGCAUCCAUGGCUUCGUCGGAAGAAAAGAAUUUUAGGCAGCAAAGAGGGCUACAGCCAAAUUAGUUCAUGAUAUACGAUCUCGUGUAGUUUUUUUUUUUUCGUUUUGGUUUGUGCAGACCCUGAACUCUUUGCUCGAUCACAGCACUGGGCAAAAGUGCAACCUGAAUAUAGGGCUGUAACUUAAACCACUUUGACUGGCUGAGCUUUUCAUGCUUUCUAUACAGUUCAUUAAAAAUCGGUGGCAUGAGAUAUGGGAGUAUUGUUUUUGCCUGUUUCUUUGGAACGGACAGUGCGCGUCUCCAGCCGGUACACACCACCUAAAGAAGGGGGGCAUUGAUUCGUGGUGGGGGGGUACAGCCAGGUAGUGCUGCCUGCCGCUGUCCAUCGUGUCCAGCUUGGUUAAGGGGCCCUGCUCAUGUGUUAGGUCACCAAAACGGACCCCUUUUCACCCCUCUUUUGUCUCGUCUUCCGUUUGUUAAGCCUCUGUUACUUCUUUUCGCGGAAAAGUAACUACCAGGACAGUAAUAAGAAGGAUAUCCAACCUCGAAAAGAAAUUACUAACAACAGCAUACGUUACUAUCCGGUAACAGUUUAGAAAGUUUUCAUAGCAGAAAAGCGAUGAAAAUAUCAGGAUUAUUCUUCAGCAACUGACACCAGGUUAGGUUUCGAUAUCCUUUGCCUUGAAAGACAAGGAAUAAUCACAUUAUUAUGUCAUAAUGUCGCAUCACGAAUCCAUUGCGACAAAGAAGUGAAGAACUGUUGCUGUGGUCCGCUACGGCCCAGAGAGACAGUACACCCCGGCCCAACCAGUACUCAUGGGCUCAUGGCCUCGCAAGUGCUGAGUAUCACGGGACACGGGAUUUACUGUUUUUUAACCGUUCUGCCACUCAAAUCCUGAUUUCGUAUCGACCAAGGAUUUGAGGCUGUUACUGUUUCCAUGGGGGUGAACGGAAGCCCAAUACCCCGUGUGUUUCCUUCCCCUUUUAACCGUGGCACUCUUUUCUUGGAGGACAAACCCGUGCGUGAGCGUAACCAUCCCCUCCUUUCCGUACGUAGGGAACAAGGAUACACAUUUAAACUGCCUCGAUGUUACAGAUACAGAUAAGAGAUAUGGCGAUUUGAAGUGCCCACUUCAGAAUCAAACUCUCUAGAUACACGCGGGCGUACGUGGUAUAUGUCGUACCUGGAGCAGAUUUUCCUAAACCAAAUCUCCUCAGAAAAGCUUCGUCGUCGUGCCGCAGCGAUUCUGCCGUCGUCAAAGGCAAUCCAAAUGGAGGUUGCAUCUACAACAACGAAGACGGCCAGUUCGCGAGAUGCUGAUCAUGAACGUCGCUUUGGCUGCGCGGCCGAUGGGCCGCACGACGCGGAGGUCACCGCGGUCCAGGGGUGGCGCGCGGAAAACCUCGGGUCCAGGAAGAACGAUGACGCGUCCCUCGGCACCGAUGCCCUGUGCAAUGCGGCGGCGGCGUCGCCUUAUGAUGGUGUUGAUCGCAGCGGCAACAGGGGCAGCCCGGACCGAAUGGAAGAAGACGGAAUCUCGUCGAAAGGGAAUGGAGAACCGAAAGAGCGGAGCCCUGCUAGGCGCAGGGAUGGAGGAUCGCGCCUGCCGCCGGCGAAAAAGCUCAUGCAUGAUGCGAUUAGAGGGAGGGAGAACGAGGGGCGGCGAUGGUCUGGUCACGACGAAGCAUGGGGAAGCGGUCACGCCAAGGACAAUGAGGGUAUGGGCGACACGUGUUCCCUGAUGGUGACGACGGCCGACGGAAAGAAGGCGACGGUGGCGGCGGCACGCCAUGACUUCAAGUUCGGGGACAACCAAGUCAGCGACGCGCUUCUAGCCCGCCUGUCCGAGCUCGGCGCGUCGGCCCCGCGCCUCGUCGCCACGAAGCGGCUGCAAUCCACCGACGCCAGAGCCAACCAGAACCGGUUGCAGCUCUCCGGCCGGAGCCCGCUCUCCCGGGCCUUCACGGACGCUGAGAGGGCCCUCCUCAGGACCUCCACUGGGAUGUCGGUGACGGCAUUCGACCACCGUGGCUGCGAGUACAAGAUGACGUGCAAGUUAUGGAAGAACGACAAGCACUACAGGUUCAUGAGGGAGGGGUGGAAGCGUUUCCGGGAGGCUCACCAUCUGACGAUAGCCAACGAAGCCCGCUUGACGCGGCGCGUCACGGUUGAGCUGUGGGCGUUUCGCUCGCGCGCGCUGCCGCCGCCGCCCGCCGAGGAGGAUUGCGGCCAUCCCUACCCGGAUGGCGUGCUCGGGCUGGUCAUGCUGCUUCGUGAAGACGGUGGCGAGCAGGAAGAAGCCGUGGACGAGGAGGUGGCGCCCGCGGAGAGCUACGCGAGCAGGUUCCUGCAGAUGGCUGCAGUUGGGCUCUUGACAUUGCGGACGAGCGAAACGAAACGCAAACGCGACGACGAUUGAAAAAACGGGUAUGGUUGCCUCAUGUCCUAGUUAAUUUUACAGAGUAUUUGAACCCAAUCGCCAAAGAAAAAAAAAACUUGAUGCAGAAAUUAAGCGUAUUGUCAUCAGAUAUUGGUCUAUUAAACUGCUUGGUGCUUGCACAUUCGUUUCGAUGUCCUAUAACAGGUAUUGUUUGCGUGUGUCAAUUUCGGUUUGUAGUUUGUUCGUCAGUUGAUGAUAUAGUUCUGUUAUGCACCUGUAACUUCUGCUGCUUUGAACCUUUGAGGUUUUACAACUAAAAAGAAACCACUCUAUAAAAAAAACUAAAAAGAAACCAUUGAGGCUUACCACAAUUCAAAAGGUUUAAGGAGAACAUAUUAGGAAGGAGAAAGACACAGCAGGUCGUCUCCUACUAGCACAUUCAAUUUUUCAGCAAUGUAUUAAACUGUAAACUUGCCGCCGUCAACGCUGCUCCCUGCACAGCGGCAGUCAUGCCACGGUCAGGCUCAGGCAGGCGGACUCCACCGCAGAAAGCGCCAAAACCCCGCACGGACCACGACGAAAACGGUGGCGCAAACGUGCGCGUUGCCCCAGAGGCCUAGCGGAAAAGCUGCAUGCAUGCCUUGCUGCCGACUGCCGAGCCAGCAGCGGCGGCCAGGGCCAGGGGGCGGCAGGUUGCAGGGCGCCGUGCGGUCAAGGGCUCGCGGCAGGGCCUCGCCGGCGGCAUCAGGGAGCGUGCAUGCACGGCGCGGCGUGCAUGCACGGGCAGCACGGCACGACUGCAUGCCAGCGUGCAUGCGCUCCUGACCGGCAGGCCAGUGCAGCGUGCUAGAGCCUCAGACGGACCGGACCCUCUGAUGAGUGAUGAGACCCUGACCGUGCGGAGGGCCGGAGGCAGAUAGGAAUUGGCGAAUUUCGAUGCGAGGGGGCCGUCGCCAGCGCUAGUCUCACCUCUCAAUCCAGGGCUCCUCCGGCUUGUCCCGUGCCCAUCAAUCCGGCCCCUGGCUCUGUCUGUCUAGCUGGCUGGCUGGCCGGCCGUGUCCGGCCGCCUGCCGCCCUGAGCCGCCUGCCCUGCGCUCAUCAUCAUUUCGCGCAACUGCCGCUGUGAGCCUGUGACGCGCGACGCGUAGGUGCGUUUCGGUAAUACCCGAUUGGAUCGCGCGAAUCUUUCUCCUCCCUCGGCCGCGAUCGCGUGGAUGACAGGAUGAACGCAGUUACGCAGCGACAGGGUGGCUGGCGAUGGCUGGUGACUGGUGAGUGCGUUGUGUGUGCUGUGCUCUAAUGAUGAUGCAAACGACAACGGCCGGUGCAGCGGCCGGACCACCACGCUGCUGCGGCCAGCGGCGGCCUGUGGGAGUACGGGGCCGCGCCAGGCAUAUGCCGAUGCGCGUGCCCUUUUUGGAUUUGACCGGCCGGCGUCCACCGUCUCGUCCUUCCGGCCUGAAAGCGGCGGCACGUUCAUACCGUACGCCCGGUCCCUCGUGCCGCAUACCAUUUACCACAGGGACUUGCCCUCCGAAUCGUUGGAAUCUCCGACCAGAUGUAUGGCUCGCUCGAAUAGCAAAAUGGAAAUACUCCGUAGAGAUUAAACACGGCUGACGGCUCGCGUAGCGUCCCUCUGAUCCGAAUUGAGUAGUCGAAGCUUCUGUCUGACAGCAAUUAGAAUUAGUCCGGGCUAAGGUCCUGGUUCCCAUCCCUAAAGUUUCCUGUCACAUCAAAUGUUUAGACACUAAUUAAAAUUAUUAAACAUAAACUGUUUACAAAACCUAUUGCACAGAUGGAGGCUAAUUCGCGAGACGAAUCUAUUAAACCUAAUUAAUUCAUGAUUUGACAAUAUGCUGCUACAGUAACCAUUUGCUAAUGAUGAAUUAAAUAAGUUUAAUAGAUUCGUCUGGUGAAUUAGCCUCCAUCUGUAUAAUUAAUUUUAUAAUUAACUCAUAUUUAGUCCUUCUUAUUAGCUUCGAAGAUUUGAUGUGAUACGGACAUUUAGCUUAAGGAACGACACCCCCUAGUUGCCAGCGCGCGCGGGCACUUUUCGAUUUGAUGGCUGAUGCCUUCCUGUUUCCUUAGGGUCGUUUAAUGUGCCGUACUACAUGAUGCAGGCUGAUCUAAUGCUUUAGGGGGUGCUUGGAUACAAGGUACUAAAUUUCAGGAGGGUCAUAUCGGAUGUUCGGAUAUUAAUUAGGAAGACUAAACAUGAGCUAAUUAUAAAACUAACUGCAGAACCCCUAUACUAAUUUGCGAGACGAAUCUAUUAAGUCUAAUUAAUCCAUCAUUAACAAAUAGUUACUGUAGCACCACAUUGUCAAAUCAUGGACUAAUUAAGCUUAAUAGAUUCGUCUCGCGAAUUAGACUCCAUCUGUACAAUUAGUUUUGUAAUUAGAUUAAUAUUUAAUCUUCUAAUUAGUAUCUAAACAUCUGAUGUGACAUGUACUAAAGUUUAGGACGCCGAUCCAAACAAGCCCUUAUUCAGUUUUUUUUUUUGAAAAGGUUUUAUUCAGAUUUUGACCAGCUUUGUUCACGGCAUCCAGGAAGCAACACAGCACACGCACCAUUCGUCCAUUCCUGUUGAAAGGUUCCAAACUCCAGCUCCCGCUCGUGUGUCUCUUUUAUCAAUGGAGAGUGACAUUGUGACAAUAUAAUCAUUUGUCGACGCUGGUUUUGACUAUCACAGGCUUCUUAUUAGGUGUUCAUGCGAAGACGACGUCCUGGAUAUACUUUUUAUUUGCUACUCAUCAAAUUGGACACUCGUUUCGUGUUACAGAAUUACUAAGCAUAUAGUACAAUCUUAGGUAGUAGUACCACACUGCAAACAGUACACUUGUUGUCGUGUAGGAAGCAGGUAAGGUGAAGAUUUUAUGUCAUAUAUAUGCAGUAAGCUGUAAGCUUUUGAGUAAUCAGAGGGGGAUCGGUAUCAGGGAGUCGGUAACCACUCUUGUCCGAAUGACUCGGCACUCACGUGGCGUGUUGCUGUACCUUUCAGUGCUGGGUAGCAGAUUUUAAACCUGAGAAGAGUUGGAAAGUGACCGGGCUAACAUGCUUAGAUCACAAACAGCACGGUUGGAUUAAUUAGCGAUACAUGGAUAUAUAGGGCCAUGGGAGGCAGCCUGCUUCAAUCAAAGUCUUUCAUGAUUAUGUGCGCGCGGCUGGUGAACUUUAAAAGUUUGGUCAUUUCUACGGGUAUCUAAUCUGAAGUCUGGACUAUGCAAGCAACACGAGAUUGUCUUGGGGAAGUACUUUUCGUAGCCAAUACCAGGAUUUUACUAGGUUUGUACUUUGUAAGUUCACAAAGCUAUGUUUUGACAACUUGAAAAAUCCAAAAGUGCAUUCUUUUGCUAAGAGCUGAGAUUGGUAUUUUUUUACUCAUUUUAAAGACUUGGUUAACGGGGGUUAAUGAUUUAUGACAACAUUAAUGCGCAUUGGUCCCCCUGAGAGCUGAGAAAAGCAUGCUGAUCUUUGUAGCCCUCAGACAUUAUUUGGGAAUGAAGACAGGCAUGCCAAGUUGAUGAUGGGCAAGAAAAGUACGUGGCCUGCAGACACUGCACGCAUGUGUAGGCAAGCAGACAAGGACGGGAGGGAGCCCCAUCAAUUGCAAAAGCUUGCAAAAUUUGGGGUUCUCCUGCGGAAAGAGCCAUGCCAAAGGACAUGCGGUCCGAAGGUCACGAGGAAAUCGUCAUUGGUGCACCGGUGGGACAGGCAACGCCUCAUCAAAACCUGCAUUAUACUAACAAGUUCAAUAGACCCAAGAGUGCUGCAAAAGUUUCGGGUCCCUGGAUUGCCGGGCAGGAUGACGGCAUUCCAAUCAACUUGCACGAUUGAGGCACGCCCAGCAGUUGAAAACUCGAUCGUCAACGGCUCGGGACAGCAAGUAAGCAUUAGUUUCUCUUAUCUUUUCGUGCACUGCUGCUACGACCUACGAGUGCAUGCACGUACCCCAGUACAGACCAGCAAGGGCAUGUUUGAUUGAGUUGCUUAUUUUUAGUUCAGCUAUUUGGAUACCCUUGCUUAUAAGCAUUGAAUGAGAUGGAUAUUGUCAUGUUUGCCUCUAAUUAUUGACAGAGAGGGAGAGCAACCAGGCAUUCAAUGAGAGCAAGAGGUGUAAAGUGCAUCUUUUAGUCCCCACAAGCAACAUAGUUGCUUAUGUGCUAAAAAUAAGCAGCCCCAUAAGCAACCCAAUAAGCAAUGAUGAUUGGUUUCAUAAGCAAAUAAGUUGCUUAUUUUAAGUUGCUUAUGCAUAAGCAACUUAAACCAAAUAGGCCCUAAAGAGGCAACACCACCACCGUGGCCUUGUUUAGUUCCCAAAUUGGGAGUGGCAAAGUUUGCAUUUUGCCAUAAAUGCGCAACUGUAGUAUUUCGUUUGUAUUUGUGAAUUAUUGUCCAAACAUUGACUAAUUAGGAUCAAAAGAUUCAUCUCGCAAGUACAACAAAACUGUGCAAUUAAUUUUUGAUUUCGUCUACAUUUAGUACUCCAUGCAUGUACCGCAAGUUUGAUGUGAUGGGAAUUUUUUUUUUAUAAUGUCAAAGUUGGAAUUUUGGGGAACUAAACAGACCCCGAGUCAAACAAGCACGGCUUUGUCAACCGAGAUGACCGCUGAGCUGCUUCAAUCAAUUAUUCCUGAUGAUAAGCAUGAACAGGGAGAAUUUGGAGGCAGCACAGCUUCAGUGCUUCACAGGAGACCCAAGUGGAAUGCCAACAGCCCAGCAUUGAAAAGGAGACGGCCAUCGUCUCAUCCGCCACGGUGGUCCCGUGCGUGAGGCCGGAGUGAAGUGGAGCCAUUCCAUACGCCACCACGACGAGGAACGCCACACAGGUGUGUGUAAGGGCGCAGGACAAGGAGGCACCACCCAUCACCUCGCCCCCACUUGCUCGGAUAAGCGUGCUCCUCCCUCCCUCCUCCAGUCCUCCUCGGCGCACGCCUUGGCCGCCCGCCACCCGCAACACCAGCUGCCUGCGAGACACACCACACGCUCAGCACGGGAGAAGACGACACGAGCACGGAAAACACGCACACGCUUCCGUGACCCAUCCGCACACUGUAUAAAUGGAAUAAUCUCCGAUACAUCACAUGAGGCCGGUGCCGGUCUGGUCCUAGUCUCCCAGGCAUAACACGGGUGCACGCCUAGUCACCAAAGCGCAUGCUUCGCCAGGGCAGCGGAGCGGCCGGGCGGCAAAGGAAAGGAGCGCGGGAUAAAAAGGAGAGCUGUAUGGGACAAAAGGGGAAGGCCUAGAAAGGAACAGCGAGCAACCAGCCCGGGGCGCCCCCAGCAGGACAAGAGCCAAGGCUCAUUUCGCGAGCUCUUGCCGGCCGCUUCCACUUGGCCAUUUCCCACCUGGGUUUCGGUCUUCUGGAGCUCUCGGGCUGCAAGGUUUGUCGCACCUCUUCUUAUCUCCUGGCAACUUCUCUGCUGAUGAUAGUAGAAGAGUUCUUGUUCAUUCCGUUUGCUGGUGUAACUUGCAAGAAGUUGCCGGUUGUUGUUUCCAUGCCUGAAACAGCUUUGGCAUGACUUGGUUUCAACUGUGACUGACCAUUUUCAAGCUUUGCUCGGAUGAAAAGCAGCAUAUCAGCACUUCUCUUUUUCCUAAUGCAUUUGCCAAUUGCCAGGAGUAGGUUCCGUUUCGUGUUUCGCUUCUGUUGAAAACAAAGAUUUAAUAGUAUUGUCUUCUUGCUAGAAUAAGCAAGUUGCAUGUUCCAUUUUCCUUGCCUUGAGUGAGCUCAUCUUGAUGUUAAGCCCCCCUCCUUUUCCGGUGCUUUGUCUUUUGGAUGUUCGCUUUGACCUCACCACACGCUUCGCUGUUUUGUCACGUACUCGCUUUCUCUGGCCUAAGUUGAGUGUACAACUAAACUUCCAGGGAGUCGCACACCUCUCAUUGCCUAAUACUAUAAUUUUAGGAGGGUUGUUGUUUCGACUCUUGGAGCCUCUGAAUCAGCUCACGAAGAACCAGCCCAAUGGGAGACUCCGAAGGAAGAGAGACACUUCCACGGCUGCUAGAUCUUAUCCCUGAUGGGAAAGAAUGGAAGGUGAGGGAAGCACAAGGUGAAGGAAGAUCAAGAAACACAGGCUUUGUGAGCGAGGAGGACAGGAAGCUAGAGCUGAAACUCAGCCUUCCUGGUCUCGUAGAAGAAGAGACAGCAACUGUGUCAAGACAUGAAGGGAUACAGCGAGAGAGGCCAGCUCUCUCUCUUUGUUGCUUCCAUGAACCCUCAAAGCCGACAACAAACACUACUACAACUGGGACAAAGAGGGUGUUCUUAGACACCAUUGAGGUCAAAACAGAAGGUAACUAGCAGCUUAGCAGUAUUCUUGUCUUGUGCUCUUGUUUAUUAGAGAUGAAAAACACAGAAACAAACAAUAUAACCACCAUACUAGAAAUCUUAUUUUGUUCUGAUGUUCAAAGGUUGUAGUAAUUAUCUUUUAUUCUGUUGUGUGAAGGUUGUGAUGAGCAGAAGCAGCAGGCCAGAGCUGGGUGUGGGAACGAACUAGCACUGGAGCAAAAGAUUGUAGUGGUGAGUGAGAGAAAAAAAGGAUGCUGCCCACCACCAUCACAUGCCCCUCCCGCAGCAUCUGUGCGCAACAGACCAAAGGCCCAGGGAAGGUAAUGAUAGCCCUAGAUGUGGUUUUGCUUUCUUAAGGAUUUUAUUUCCCUGUCUAAAAGAUGUUCCCUUCAGUUUGUCAAAUCAGAGAAAAUUUAUCAUGUAUAAAGGUGGUCGACUUUUACUCAUCUACAAUUACCUUUUUCAAAUUAGUAUUUUUCUGGUCGUCGUUAUUGUAUCCCAGACUAGCAGUUUUGAUUCUUGAACUUUUUGGUAGAAAUUUAGUCCUUGAGCAUUUUUGUUCUGGCAUUCUUCUUAGCACAAUUGCAGUAUAAGUUGGAAGGGAAUAACAGCAUCAACCAUAGGACAUUUUAUAGAUAUUGAUACUAUAUUCAUCUUACAAUAGUUCACAGACAAAUUCACCCGUGCUCUAAUCUGAUGUAGAGGUGCUUCAGCUCCGGUGGUGGGUUGGCCUCCAAUUGGAUCCUUCAGGAAAAACCUUGCUAAUGGUAGUUCAUCCAAACAAUCCACUGGAUCACAAAAGGGUGAAGCUAGCAUGGAGGAGAAGCUCACCUGCAUUAAGAAUCAUCUCGUAAAAAUCAACAUGGAUGGGAUCCCCAUUGGAAGGAAAGUAAACCUUGCAGCCUAUGACAGCUACGAGAGGCUAUCAUUGGCUGUCAAAGAGCUUUUCCAAGGUUUUCUUGCAGGUACAAAAUCAAUAAUCAAUUCAAAUGAAACAAGUACUUUGAGUCAUUUUAGUGGUCAAUUUGUGCACCUUUACAUCACCAAGUUUUACUUUUCUUUCCUUUAACACUGCAGUAACCUAUGUUGCAGCUCAAAAGAAUCUAUCUAGUGCUGAGAAUGCACAGCUAGGAGCAGAUGAAAAAAUAUUUUCUCAAUUAUUGAACGGAUCUGGUGAAUAUACUCUAGUUUAUGAAGACAAUGAAGGAGACAAGAUGCUGGUGGGAGACGUGCCGUGGAAGUAAGCUUUCUUUGUUUUUCACAAUUCGACCAUACCCUAGCAACAUAAAAGAACACAUGAUAUGAUCAACACCUCCAACUCAGUAAACUUCAUUUUGCUUCACGUGCCUUCUCUAAAAUUGUGUCAUGACAUACUGUUUACACUACUUUGAAAUUGAAUUAUACAACUUGUACUUUAUUGCACAAUCUAAACUCUUUCUUCUGUAUAUAAUCCUUGCAGUGUAUUUGUCUCAACUGCUAAAAGGCUGAGGGUUUUGAGGAGCUCAGAGCUUUCCCAUGGUUUGGUAAGCACAAGGCCACCUCAAGUGGCGUGUGCAGAUUUCAGUUACAGGUUUGAUUACCCCAAACUAAGUAUGACCUUCGUUUCACUGCCUCCUCUUUUUUACAGAUUGGAGUGGCUCCUAGAAGAGUGCCAAAUUGCUGAAAGCCAACAAUGACAAUUCUAUCAUUUGAAACUAGAGGAAAUUGAAGCCGGCCCAUUCCGAUUUCGGGAUGACACCUAUUUUUUUUCCUUGUAGAGACUAACCUAAUGAGAUGAACUAGCAUAUUUCAGAUGCAUGGAAAGGCGCCAGCUACUUUGUAAAUUAUAGGCUACCACGUAAUUUAUUGUUGUAGGUAAUGUCCUAAUGCAAUUCUACAUGGUUUUGGCAUUGGACUUUUAAGACAGUUUGCAGAUGAAAGGCUUACCCAUGUAAAACUCCUUGUUGUGUGACAGAUUUGUAAUCAGUUCUUCUGUAACCCAACAAGCAAAUCUAAUGUCCAGACCACAAUCAUUAGAUGUGCUGUAGAGAACAGCAACAUGCUAUCAGCUAUCCACAUUGUUGACAUGGCAUCUACAGAGUGCAAUUUCAUGUGGAAUUUGCCUAUGAAUCUAGGAGACUAGGACACAAAAAAUGGAAAAAAGAAGAGCAAGGUACCAGUGACGAUGAACUAUGAAAGCAAAGCAUUUGCCAGUGCCUUCAUGCCUGUUGGUUGCCAAAUUGCCAAUAGUGAGGGACUGUUACUUCUACAUGAGUAUAUAACAUUAUCCAGGUCCAUUAAUAAUUACACGCACCCGAUGACACCAGCUGCCAAACCUGGAAAUUAUAUCCAAGCUGCCAUGGUAGCCUGGUGACUACACCCCAGGAUCUCUCAAAAAAGUCAAGAUAUAACAGCAGGUGGCACUGACUUUCUAGAUCGACAGAAACAACACACCAAAUGACACUGUUUACAAACAAUGUUUUAUGCCUAUAAAUCUUGUUGACUUCUGAAAAUUGAAAUAUCAACAGAGGAAGUUCCACUAUUUAUGUACAGUACAGUUGAAGACUUAUGUGCCAGGACCAAAGCAUGUACCUCAGACGUAUGAGUAGAAUCCAACAGGCUGUUUUAGCUGCUAUGAGGCUUAUUGAAAAUGGGGUCACAAGGCUUACCCGAAAAAUUAAAUGCAGAAAUAACAAUCAUAAGCUUGAACCACCUUCAGCCUCAAGCAUUAACAAGAAGUCAUUUGUCUUCUGCAGAUAGCUAACAUCUGAGUGAAAGGACAAAAUAUAAUUCGUGAUGACCCCCCCCCCCCCCCCCCCCCCCCACCCCAACCUCCCAGAGAAACUUCUUCUAGAGAGGAAUAUUCACCUCGAUGCUUUCAGGCCAACAAGUCUAGGAAUUGGGGACAAAGGAAAUGUCUUUGUCAUUGGACCAUCACUAAAUUCCAGACAGCAGGAAAAGUUGAAGAGACACGGUGGAUUACGAAAGAAUCUUAGGGCCUUUCGCAAUGUCCUAACAUAUCUUAAUCUCCACCACGUAUUGUAGUUAUUUUGCAAGCCCAGUUCUUUUGUGUCGGUGAAAUCCACAAAAGGUGCUCAGCCAACCCAGGUUGCAAAGUCAAAAUCAUAAGAGCACCUUCCUGUAGUGAAUCUUUAGUUCACCUCCACCAGUAGCUAUAGAUUUACACUAACAAAAGUAACCUGACAACCAAGAAAUCGUAUAGGAUAGAGAAGUGGAAAAUUCUGCAUAUUAUUGGCAUCAUAGGCUGCUCCUAGUCUCCAGGGAGCCCUUCAGGCCUUCAAAGAUGAGUCCCACCAAUGGCAAAUAGCUGGGGCCAAGGGGCUUACUGCCCUGGACCUAGGAAGGGUGGUGAUGUAGUGUUAAGUGAUUUAUCUUGGUCAGGUCUUAGCUGUGUUUCAUCUAUGCAAGAGUCUUGUCUAAAAAACCCUCAUCCCUCACUCUAGUCCAAGGUGUGGUGAUGAAUUUUGUAAUUGGACCAUCUAUUCUCUCUUAAUACAAAGAUACACAGCUCUCCUGCGUGUUCGAGAAAAACUGGCAUCAUAGGCAAUUAGAGAAGUCUAUAAGUUUAUUAUAAUUUAUAAAUCCCAAUGAUACACUGGCACAUAUGAACAUCUCAUAGACAGUAAGGUUUAGCACACAAGGCGAGUUUGUGUGACUAGUCUGUGAAGGAAGGUUUAGAGAAUUUCUACAAUGGUUAGCAUUGCAGCCUUGAUGUGCUUAAAUAGGACACGGCCAGGCUAAGAAGCAGAAGGCAUUUACAGGGACAGCUACCAUACUUAAGUGCUAUUGCGAGACAGCUAAUCUAGGUACUGAAAGCUAUAAAUUGUCCUGAAGGCCUGACUGAUUGUGAUCUGUACAAGGCUCUAAUUAGCCAGAUUCAUAUAUUCCAACAGUUUGAUUUCCUGCAUUUCCAGUUUAUAUAUCCCUCUUCUAAAAAAACUGCCAACUCAUAGUUUCAAUACAGUGGCUUGCCAUCCAAAACGAAUGGUCGGUACAUAGCUGCAACCCUGUCCAUAUGCAACCUAUUUCAGUUAACAGUGUGUUAUUAUCUAAUGCUCUUUCAUAGGAGAAGAAUCUAGCACCCAUAUAUACGAGGUCAUUGUUAUCAUUUUGCUAAGCAAGAACACUGUAAAGAACAUGUACAGAAGAUUGGUAGUUUAUUUAUCCAGCCAUGCACUAACUUCAUGACAUGUUCAUCAAGAGACACUAAGACUCGCAAUUCAAUCACAAGAGGAUAUGUACAAUAUUAAAGUAAGGGAAUGGUCCCACCAGUAAAUGCAACAUGUGUUGGCUCGAUGACUAGGAUGAAUUCAUUUAAACUGAAGACAUCGGAUAUUAAGAAAACAAGUAAAUGAGCAUAACACCACAUAAAGGAAAUGGUGCAAAGAUUAUUUUUCUUGCGCUGCACUAAAGAAGAAACAUUCCCUUACAGCACAAUUAGAGAUGAAAGUAAGUUUCGGGUUGACUCAUUGGCUCAUCUUAUAUUUUUUUUUUGAUUUAUCAACCAUGUGUACUAAAGGAGCUACAAAGUAAGUAGGUAGUUAAGUGGAGUGAGUCUUAGGUAGACCCAUCAGCACAAGUUCACACCAGCAUAAUAGCACAAAAGUAACAUCAUUACAGAAGAAGAAAAAACUGCCAGCAAAACUUAAAAGUUGCCAAAUUAGCGGUUCAAAAAUACAUUCAAAUUUGAAAGACACCACCUCUUGUACGUUCAAACUCAAUCCAACACAACUGCGACACAUAACCUAUAAAAUAAGAGCAGGGUGAAAAGAAUUGGAGGCUUCUUAAUCCUUACUCUUUUCUUCAAAUCCUUACAUGUGUUUGCUCGAACAAGUCAGAAUUAGAUUCCCACUUUAUCAAUGUGAAGAAACCAGCAUGCAGAAUAUUCUCAUUUCUUAUCUGAAAUGACCUAUCCUGUUUCCCGUGAAACAUUAGCUUUGUAUUUCUUAUCUUGUACAUGUUUCCUUCCCUCUAUAGUCAUGCAUGAUAUGUUAAAAUAUAGUAUAAGAGUGAUCUCUUAAUGAUAAAUAAGAACACUCAAAGUUUGACAAUUGAAAGUUCAGCUGUAUUCUUUCUCAUAGAUGCAAAUAUGUAACUAGCAUGCAUCAGUAAACCUCGAGUCAUAAGAAUGGACAGGCACUUCUAUAUCAUUCCAAAAGUGGCUACAGUUGUCCACGAACAGGUCAUAUAAAAAAAGUAAAAUAUAAGCAAGGGAAUAUGCAGGAUGAUUAAAUAAAUCUGCCUACAUAGUAUGUUUUAUAAACAAAAAAGUAAACACCCAAAACAGAUUUGAUGGCUCAAGCUACAGAUUACAGUACAGCACACUUGAAAAUUUCAGCAAUAGGCAGGAUCAGUAAUUUGAAGUCCAAAUGGCAAGGAUGAUAAUGCAGUGCGAGAUUCAAAAGAUCGAGCAGAAUACUUUUACCUUGUGCUAUGAUCAGGGAGCUGAUCCAGUAACAUAAAUGAACCUUAUUGCUGUUGGAAUACAGCCACAAAUAUGAUUUAAGAAAAAGAAGUGAUGAGAAAUUAGCAAUAAAUCAUCUCAGUUGAUUUCUUUUUUCCUACCAACAUAAGAUACAGAGUUACUGACCAGUGUAGAAUGCUAGUACAAAGCCCCCCUAAGGCACUAAGCCUGAUGAGAAUACAGAUAAUGUAUUUCUCAAAGAAUUGAGAAAUUAUCAAGACUAUCUAAGAAGUUCUAUAAUGAAAUAGAAGAAUUAAAGCAUGCAACAGAAAUUAUAGUCUUUAGCAGAAGCACUAAAUUGGGCAAUUGUAAUAACUUUGAUAUGCAUGGAUCACAAAGUAUCCUUACAUUUGAGCGACGCUAGAUGUAUCACUUACGGGGCAGGCAUGUUUUCCAGCCAGAUGAUAAAGCAAAACUCCUGCUGCGACACUAACAUUCAGACUCUCCACCGCAAGGAACGAUCUCAAAUCUUGAUUACUAGAAGAGCUAUCGCCUUCUUCCCCUUCAUCUGUGUCUGCAUCUGCUCCUUCAACAAAUGCACCAGCAUUUCCAGGAAUUCUGACCAGAUGUGUGCAGGAUCGCUCAACCAGGGGUCUCAAACCAGUACCUUCACUGCCCAAUACAAGAAUAGUUGGCACCCCUGUUUGAACUUCAGAAAGAGGUACAGCUUUGUUAGCAAUGGUACCACCAAGAACUCGCCACCCAUUUUCAGCUGAUGAAGACAAGAAAUGCAUCAUGUUUCUGCAGGAAAGCAGCUCGAUCAACUCAAGCGAGCCUGCACUAGCUUUGCUCACAACUCCACUCAAUGGAGCCGAAUUCUUAGCACACAGCACGACCCCCUCAGCACCAAAGUAGUAGGCAGACCUAAUUAUGGCUCCUAAAUUCUGAGGAUCCAUAACCUCAUCCAAGGCUAUCCAGACAGGUGCUUUUCCACCUUCCAACCUGACUGGAUCCAACUCCUUCAUAUUCACCAUUUCCAGGGGUGAUGCAUCAAGCACCAGGCCUUGGUGUGGCCGGUUAUCCACCACCAUGUUAAGGUCAUGCUUCGACGUCUCGAUGACCUUCAGACCAAUCUUCUCUGCCAUCCGCAGCACUUUCUCGACUGCCUUUUUAUCCUUCUUCUUCUUGUUACUCCCGCUCAAAUCCAUACCUUCCUGCAUAUACAAUGCAUAAAACUCCCUCCUCCCAGCCAUGAGCGCUGCAAGCACUGGCCCAACACCAUAAACCCCUUGCCCCACCAUCUUAGGCACCGUCGAUUCCCCUGCCUCCUUCCCCGUCUUCCUCCCCCAGUUCUCCUGGUUGUUCCACUGCCUCACAUGUGGCUUGUCAAACCUCUCCCUCCUAAACCUCUCCCCACGGGACCCUCCAUCCCUCCCCACAGCUUGCCGGUACCUGUCCUUAAUCCUUCCCCAUUUGGGAUUGUCAAUUGGCUCAUUCUCGUCACCAUCCUCCCUAAUCGCCACCUUGUUCGACCUCCUGUCGCCCGACACUUCGCUUUGCGUGUAUUGGUCGUCUCUUGAGAAGAACUUCUCCGCGGAGCUCUCCCACGAGGAGGAGCGGCCGGCGCUAGUCCUCGCAGCGGGGGCGCCGCUGUUGCCAGCUUCGGCAGCAAGCCAGGGAAGCGCCCUCCCGCCGCCAGCCGAUGCGGACCCAUCUGGGGCGGUGGAGAACGAAACCCUGCCUCCCAGCCCGAAGCGGGAGGGGUCGCCCGGGGAGGUUGCGGCCCUGGAGCUCGCACGGGCGGUGGAGGCCGGACGAGGCACGGGUGAUGAGGCCGGAUGCUUGGAGAGGUAGCCGGCGCGGAGGAGGCCGGCGAGGAGAAUGCGGCGAGGCGAGGACGCCGCCGCGAGGAGCGGGAAGGGGUGGGACUUGGAGAGGCCGGAGUGUAGCAUGGCGUCGGCGCGGCGGGGAGUAAGGGUUUUGGGGUACGGGUUGGGGCGGGGAGCGGGGGGUUUGGGUGGGCGGUGCGCGCCACUCGUUCGGCGAAAUGCCGCGGCGGGGAUGACGCCGCUGAGAAUGAGAUUAGAAAGAGUUGUUUUCCGUGGAAGUCCUUCAGGUUUUGCCGUUUAUUCGAAGGAGCCUUCAAGGAUUUGAUAGAGGAGCGACUAGCAACUUGCAAGUGGAACUUGUUAUUUUUUUUAAACCAAAUUGACAGUAGCUCUGCCUUUCAUUAAGGAAGGAAAUAAAGUUUUAGAGUCAUACAUAUCAUAAGCCAAAGACUUUGACUGUGAAAACCCCCCGACAACAAAAGUAAAAUACAUAGACAAUACAACAGAGAAAGACCCGAAGGAGGUUAAGACAACAUAGUGCAUGCCUUCUUUGUGUAACGUCUUCUUUUAUUCUGAAGUCAACCUACAUAGCUAGUAAAAGUUUUUAUUGAAAAAUAUGGCAAAUUCGCUCCUUCAAAAAUUUCCACCAACUUUAGAUGCCCAGUAGUUAAAGGAAUUUGAUAUUUGUGAAGCUUCCUAAGCUUAAAAUUCUCUUGUAUCCAACCAAUAUUAAAACACACCCAAUCUUUUUUCUCCUUCCAACUUGUUUUAUCUCCUCCCACAACAAGCUUCUACCUCGCGUUACCCCUGCACUUACAUCAAGUUGGCUAAUUUUUAAGUAAAGUUGUUUAUCAAGUCGCACCUUCUUGCCCCGACCAUCAAGUAGGGGUGGAGCCAAGAAUUAGCCAUCGGGGUCAGCAUGCAAGACCUUUGUGAGGGUCACGGGGUCAUCAGCUAGUAAACAGUACUGUUACCAUGAUGUUUGUCCAAGAUCGUCGACCGAUGAAAAAAGGCUCUAGCUCUGCCCCUGCCAUCAAGCAUCACUGGUACGAAAGUCGCUUCUCCUUACAUUCCCUCCAAAGCUUAAGGAUCAGAUACACAACAAUCCAAACCCUAAAACUUUAAUCUUGCCAAAAACACAAGCAUAGACAUAUACACUUAAUAAUUCAACAUGGGAUUAGCACUAAACUAGCUACAACAUUAGGGGUUCCUUCGGAAAACAACAACGUUGGGGCCUCACCCCCCCCCCCCACACACACACACAAAGGGGGGGCACGAGCACAAUCUCAAUCAUAAGUUGAGCUCCAAAAUUGAAGGAUAUAAAAAUGGAUGAGAUUGGGAAAAUUGGGUGGUGAUAUAGGAAGAAACGCCUAAUUGUAAUUUAGCUUUUCCUCAUGCAAAUUUAUGGAAAGAGUCGCUUCAAAUGUUCAAAUGUAACCCACUCACCCUUUAACGUUUCAAGUUCAACUGAACUUUAGGUAUAAUUUUGCAAACCAGCUUUAGUCUGGGCACUAAACUGAUAAGAAACAAAAGAUUUUUUUCAAGGGAAAUCAAUAUUUUAAAUAGCAAGAUAAAGCAUUUAGUGGCAUCCUUGGACCAGAGACCACAGGCCCAAACCUGGUUGUCGACAUGUGUAAAGGGGUGCAGUAUGUUAACGAAAUGAGUAAAAUACAUGAAUAGCCAUUGUACUUGUCUUCAUGUUUCAGUUUGACAAUUAUACUUAGAAAAGUGUAAAUCGUACCAUUAAACUUGCUUAACUACAUUGAUAAGGUCAUUAGAUCCUUAAUUGUAUUUGGGAUUAAAUUUGGUUGUCUGGUCAUCAAAUGUUGUCAAAUUGUGGUAUAUGUAGAAUUCUAUAGAACGGUUUACCUAUGGGAGCGCUGGUAUUGUUCAUUAUAUAUAGCCAUGAUAGGAUACAAGAAGCUCUUCAUGUAGGAGACGUGUACAUGAUAGAUACACCAAGGACUCUAAGUAUGUAUCACAAUUACGUAUACAACCCCCGCAAUCACAACUUGCAACACAGCUAGCCACUUGCAAGAUUGAGAUUGGAUCUAAACUUUUGUAACCGGCACACACAGGUUGAGCUUUGGUAAAACCAUCUGCAACCUGAUCAUUAGAGGAAAUAAUCCUGAUGCCCAACUUCUUCUGUGCAACACGUUCACGAAAAAAUUGGUAAUCCACCUCAGCGUUCAAGCAUGAAACACCAGAUUUGCCGAUAGAUAAGUUGCACCAAUGUUAUCACACCAUAAAAUAGGAGCCUUAGACUGAACGACACCCAACUCAUCAAGAAGAGACUAGACCCAAAUAACCUCAGUAGUAGCAUUGACUAGUGCUUUAUACUUAGCUUCCAUACUUGAACGAGAUUGGCACCAAGGAAGAUAGAAAAACCACCUGUGGACUUCCGAUCAUCAGAACAACCAGCUCAAUCCACAUCAGAAAAUACAUUGAUCGCUUGAGAAGAAGAACAUAUGAUCUUUAACCCGAGAUGAAGUGUCCCACUGGCAUAGCAAAGAAUCCUCUUAACAGCAGCAAAAUGAAUAGAAGUAGGACGAUGAAGAUACUAACAAACUUUGUUUACAGAAAACGCAAUGUCGGGUUGUGUAAGAGUAAGUUACUGAAGACCACCAACAAUACUGCGAUACCGUGUAGCAGCAGCAGCAUCUAGAAGAUCGCCAAACGCAACAUAGAGUUUCUUCAAAAUGGACAGAGGAGUAGGCACAUGUUUGCAGUCUUUUAAACCAGCCUUGAGUAACUAUUCUUUGGCAUAUUUGGCUUGUGUCAAUAUCAGAUCACCAGCGGCAAAAGACAAUACUUCAAUACCCAAAAAAUAAUGAAGAGGACCAAAAUCUUUGAGAGCAAAGUCGUCACGAAGAUGAUGUAACAGGCGGUCAAAAGUAGAAUCCCAAGAACUGACCACAAUAAUGUCGUCAACAUAAACAAGAAAAUAGACUGUCACGUCACCUUGCUUGAAAAAGAGCAGAGAUGUAUAUGCCUUGGAUCCCUAAAAGCCAAGUGUUUGCAAUUUGCUACUCAAGCGAGAAUACCAUGCUCGCGGAGCCUGUUUAAGGUUAUAAAGAGACUUGUCAAGUUUGCAUACAUAAUUUGCUCGAGUAGUAUCUUCAUAACCAGGAGCUUGCUUCAUGUAAACGUCCUCCUCCAGAACACCUUGCAAGAACGCGUUCUGAACAUCUAAUUGAUGAAUGCUCCACUUAUUUGACACAACCAAGGAGAGCACAAGAUGAAUAGUUGCCGCUUUGAAAACAUGACUGAAAGUGUCUUCAUAAUUCAAGCCAUACCGUUGUUUGAAGCCUUUCGCAACAAGUCUUGCUUUAUAGCGAUCAAUACUGCCAUCAGUACCUCUUUUGACCUUGUAGAACCACUUGCAAUCAAUAAUAUUAUGAGAAGGAUGGGAGGGAACAAGGUGCCAAGUAUUGUUCCACAUAAGAGCAUCAUAUUCAGUAUCCCUCGUUGUUUUCCAAUCAUUGGAACCAAGAGCCUCACGCAAAGAAGUUGGUUCAGAAGCUUCAGUAAGUAAGCCAUAGUGCACCGUACCAUCUGUAAGUGUUUUAGGCUUAUGAAUGUUGUUCUGCAGUCGCAUCUGGGGUCGAAUCGGUGCAUGGAGAUGUCAUACCAGACCUACAGGUGAGGAAGGCAGACGCCUGGAGCUGGAAGAAGGCACAAACAUAUCCAGUGCAGAAGAUUCAGCAGUUGGUACAGCAGAUCCAGGGGAAGGAGGCGGUCCAGGGGGAAUUGGUGCAAAAGAUCCAAGGACCGUCGCUGUCAUAGGUACGGACGCCAUAGGAGCAUUUUCGGCCGCAACAGUUGUCAUCGUAGGAGUGGUAGAGGGCGAAUCAGCCUCGACCGGUGUAGCUGUCAGAGCAGGCGGGGCAGUAGGCGUAUCCGCACCAGAUUCAGCGCCCAAAUCAACCUCGAUGGAGGUACCAGACUCGUCUGGUAGCCCAGAACGACAAGAGGGGCAAAAAAAAGGAAGGGGCACCACCAACGGUACCAAAUUUGAAGAUGAAACUGCAGAAACCGGCAACAACUCAUCUAGCUCGGGUAGAGCAUUAGCAAUGUUAGGGAAACUACGAUGCAUAUCCCCAGUCAAGUGAUACGGUAAAAGAAGAAUCUCUUCACGAAGACAUUUCCUGGCAUUAGGGUGUAGCUCAAGAAAGGGGAAAAUGUUUUCAUCAAAAACAACAUCACGAGAAAUAUAGACUCAUCCAAAUGAGAUAUCAAGGCACUUGUAGCCCUUGUGAAGUUGACUAUAUCCAAGAAAAGCACAUCGUUUUGAAUGAAAUUCAAGCUUAUGUUUGUUGUAUGGGCGAAUAUUUGGCCAACACGCACACCCGAACACACGAAGAGAUGAAAAUUUUGGUUGCUCAUCAAAAAGACAUGUUAGGGGAAUAGAGAAGUCAAUGACUCGACUAGGAAGACGAUUGAUGAUAUAAGUCACAGUCAAGAAAGCUUCAUCCUAGAAUUUGAGAGGCAUGGAUGUAUGAGCAAGGAGAGCAAGACCAACUUCGGCGAUAUGAUGAUGUUUGCACUCAGCGGAACCAUUUUGUUCAUGGGCAUGAGGACAAAAAACAUGGUGAGCAAUUCCAAUUUUUUGAAAGGAGUUAAGUUUUUGAUAUUCACCAUCCCAGUCAAUUUGCAUUGUUUUAUUUUUUUCUAUUAAAUUGAUGUUCAACUAGUUGUUGAAAGUUGAGGAACACUUGAAACACAUCAGAUCGAUUUUUAAGAAGAAAAAUCCAUGUAAAUUUAAUGAAAUCAUCAAUAAAGCUUACAUAGUAUUGAUAUUGCCCGACUGACUUGGGUGCAGGACCCCAUACAUUCGAAAAAACUAAUUGCAGUGGAAAAGAAGAAAGACUUUCUAACAUAGGGUAAAGCAAGUGAUGACUCUUAGCUUGUUGACAAGCAUCACAAACAAACUCACUUGAGUCUUUUUUAAACGACACAUUAUGAUCUCUAAGAAUAUGACUAACUAUGGGAGUGGAAGGAUGUCCUAGGCGAUGAUGCUACCGUGAUGACGAUGGUGUGGUAACAUGCUGAACUUAAGAGGCGCAAGGUAUAGGGUAGAGCCCAUCUUGACAUCUAUCAUGAAGAAGAGGGGUCUUUGUCGGGGAUAGAUCCCCAGUACCCGCAACGAAGUAAGAAGACGGACUCCUACUAGGAUUCCUUGUAAUCCUACUAGGACCAUACCAUGUAAUCUUACUAGGAUCCCUACCUUGUAACCGACUAGUAAUCCCGCUCCCUAAGUAUAUAAAGGAAGGCAGGGGUCCCUAGAUCGGUAGGCGAAGACCUCAUAGAACCACAGCAGAGGACCAAAUCUUCAAUCAAUACAAUACAACCAACACACAGGACGUAAUGUAUUACGCGACAUAAGCAGCCCAAACCUAUCUAAAUCGUGCAUUCGAGUUCACCUUCGAGUUCCUGAUCUUCGGCAAGCCUCACACAUAAAACACUACCUCGGGUACCCUCUCGGUAGGUUGCUGGGUCUAAACACCGACAGCUAGCGCUCCAGGUAGGGGUGAUAGUCGAGAUCAUCAGGCAAGCUUGAAAAACCUGUUCAUCAAUAUCAAUCUAUUCAGCGCGGCGAGGUUGUUUUGUUUCGACCAAUCAACAACUCGACGAGUUCCUGCGUCAAUUCCAAGCCUGAUUCUAUUAUGUUACAAAGCGGAGUCGCUGAGUUGGAGAUCGAAGCGGACAAAACUACCCCAUCACCAGUAAUUCACCGUGGUGGUCAUCGUCCGAAAAAAAUCGUACCGCGUGCGGAGCAAUUCCUCAUAAAUACCAGCUGUCGGUGUUCGCUGCUGCCAUCUCCGAGUCGAAUUGAACGAUGUGCAAGGAGCUGGCGUUGCAAUCUCAGUUAAUUGCCUCCAGUUGCCAAGUUCGAAGCGGUGAAGAGAUUCCGAAGGCAUCAAAGCUAAGCAUUAAAAUCAAGAAACAGUCAACGCGGUCAACGGGUCCUGGAAGUUAAAUUGGGGGGAAAUUGCUACCUACACACAAAGAUGUACUAGAGGAGACCUUCGAUCAUGCGGUAACGCCAACAAUCGGCAACACCAGCUGCAUCUACUCGUCGAUGGCUACCUUGACUACUCGUCUCGACUAGAAAUUAUUCGAGGACGGACAUCACACCAUCGACAACUAAUCGGAAUCGACUUUGACUAACUUCUUCAACAACCGUCACGGCUUCAUCGACAGCUGCCACGGCUUCAUCGACAAUCAUCUACGAAUUAAGCUAAGUCACUUUUUAAUUAUUCCAUAUAAUUUUUUCGGCUUGUUUUCCUGGGCAACGCGCCAAGUAAUUUUUUGUGUACGCCUCUCGAUAAAAAUUACUCUCCAAAGCUACAAUUUACCAAUUAUUCCUGAAGCACGUUAACCAACAAUCACGGGCUUGAUACACCGAAUUACAGAGACUAUAGCCACAGGUUUUGUGGAUUGAGUUCCGAAGGCUCCGCCAACAGGCUUGGUACAUCGAAUUUCGAAGGCUGCGGCUACGAGUUUGGUGCACUGAGUGCUGGAAGCUCGCAUCAACUACACUCUAAAGAGGCACAAAUCCUAUGCGCGGCAACACGCGCUCUCCUCGCCAAAAAGGUAGAAAAGUCUUAACGACUACUUUACGCGCAAUCGCGCAGUCUUUUUGUCGCAAUGGCGACUAUUUAUUUUUAAAUGUCUUCUCUUAGCGGUCACUAAUCUCCUCAAGCAGAACAUGCCUUAAUUCGUGAAAGCCUCGGAUGUUCUGUCGUGCCUAAAUGCUAGGACGCGAGACAAAGAUUUUUUGUAGUAGCAGUGUCAGUACGCGUACACGAGAUAAAAAUCUCACACGCAGUGGCAAUGGCUAAACAGGGACUGAGAGCCUAAAUGUAAUAGAGUAACUACUCGAGAAAAAUAUGGCCGAAACAAGAGCAUGACACACAACAUUUACACUAUAUUCAUCACUGAAUAAAUUUUAGUACUUCCAAAUUUUACAAAUAUGCUACAUAAUGUAUGAAUUUCUUUUUUCAGAUCAAGUUUCGACGAUGACUCUCUAGGACGCUCAGCGUACUUAUAAUGGCUUUGCUAGCUCCCAGGCUGGGGGCUAAGCGCCAAUUAUUACUCAGAAUACCGGUAGCUCCGCUAGCUCUCAAACUCGGGGGCUAAGUGCCAAUAACUACUUGACAUGAUUUUUUCAAGAUGAAAGAAGGAGAUUCAUGAUUUUAUUGACUCUCAACCUGAUUCUUCGAUUUAACCUAAGGCUCGGGACUACUCCACAUGGAGUGCGACUUCCGCCGCCCUCCAUAUCACAUUCCAAAGAUGAAGAUUACAAAAUCAAGAUGACAAGGGCUUGAGCACACCAUAGCCUCAUGGCAGUUUUGAGAAACUUUGAAGAUUCAGCUAGACAAAGUACUCGAAGAGCACCAAAACUACUCGGUGAGGAUCUGAAAAGUACUCAAGGCUGCUGGAUUCGACUAUGAAGCGCUCGGGAGGCUUGUCAGGGAUAGAUCCCCCGUACCUGCAAGGAAGGAAGAAGACGAACUCCUACUAAGAUUUCUAUGUGAUCCUACUAUGACCAUACCAUGUAAUCCUACUAGGACUCCUACCUUGUAACCGACUAGUAAUCCGGCCCCCUGAGUAUAUAAAGAAGGGCAGGGGUCCCUAGAUCAGUAGGUGAAGACCUCAUAGAACCACAACAGAUGACCAAAAUCUUCAAUCAAUACAAUCCAACCAACACAUAGGAUGUAGGGUAUUACGCGACAUAAGCGGCCCGAACCUGUCUAAAUCGUGUGUUCAAGUUCACCUUCGAGUUCCUAGUCUUCGGCGAGCCCCACGCAUAAAACACUACCUGUGGUACCCCCUCGGUAGGUUGCCGAGUCUAAACAUCGACGGUCUUUCGUGGCCAAAUCCUUAACACAAAAGAAGGAAGGAUCAAACUCAAGAAAGACAUCAUUAUCGGUAGUAAAUUGAUGGACGUAAAUCAGAUUUUUCGUGGCAGCAGGGACAUGCAGAACAUUGUGAAAGGAAAAAUCACAACUGGGAGUAUGAAAAAUAGUUUCACCAACAUGAUUGAUGCUCAUACCUUUGCUAUUGGCUGCAUGGAUCUGCUCUUGGCCAUUGUACUGCUCCCGUGCCAUAAGCUGCUCAAGCGAGUUGGUAAUAUGAUCUGUGGAGCCGGAGUCAAAGUACCAAUUUGCAUCAAUGCCAUAGGAUGGAGUAGCAGCAGAUGCAGACUUCGGCGUUCCUGCCUUCAUUGGUUUCUGGUCCCCAUCACGAGGAGGAACAUAGCGCUUAUUGAAAUGAUACCAGCACUCAUGAACGGUAUGGCCAAACAUUUCACAAAGUUGGCAGAUUGGCCCCUCAUCAGAGUCGGAGGAGUUGGACAGCCCCAUAUUGCGACCAUGAAAAGGAUUAGGACCCCCACGACCAGAUCCUCCAGUGCGACCAUUGCCUCGUCCACGAGCAGGAGGACGACCGCGGCCACGGAACAUAGUAUUUGCAGAUGAGUAGAACCGGCCCUCAUCAGCACGCUGUUGAUUCAGUCUUGCUUCAAAGGAUAAUAAGUCAGCAUAAAGAUCACUAAGGCUGAUAGAAUCUUUAGUAGACUUUGAGGAAACAAAGGGAUUGAAUCUGAGUUCAAUCCAUUGAGGAUAUAUUCGAUGAGAUUAUCAUCAUCAAUGGUCUUGCCCCGGCUGCUGCCAUCUCAUUAGCAAGGGCCUUCAUCUUGAUAUAAUAAGCAGAUGCCGAGGAAUCACCUUUCUUCUCCCUAGCUAAUUGGAACGGAUCUGCAGAAUCUUGGCACGAGAUUGCGACGAGAACACCUGAUUAAUCGCCGACCAGACUUGAGCUGCAUGUUCCAAUGAGGAAACUUGGACAAAGACUUCCUUGGUCAUUGAGGACAAGAGAUAUGCAAGAAGUUGCUGAUCAUUAGAGAUCCAAGAGACAUACGCAGGGUUAUCAACUUCUUCGGUAGACUUGUCCAGUUUUUUCCACACGAAGUAUCGCCAGAGGUUGAGCAAUGGAUCCAUCUAGGAAGCCAAUGAGGCGUGACCCACGAAUUGCGGGUAGAACUUGUGCUCACCACACAAGGAAAUUGUCACGGGUAAGCUUCUCCGAGACAUGGAUGUGGAACAUUGUUGAAGCCGCCAUCGAGCUUGAAGAUGACAUGAUCGUUGUCGACGGAAAAAAAAUGAGUACUCUCAACUAGAUGCACUCUUGAUGGAGGAGGUGGCUCUUAUACCAUGUAGCAUUGUAUGGAACGGCUUACCCAUAGGGGCGCCGGUAUUGUUCAUUAUAUAGGCCAAGGAAAGUCCUAGCCAUGAUAGGAUACAAGAAGCUCUCCAUGUAGGAGACGUGUACAUGAUAGAUACACCAAGAAGGACUCUAAGUCCGUAUCCUAUACAAUUAAGUCUACAGUAUGCACAUAGCGUUUCCAAUUUUUUCUCACCAUGUAUAAUUAACAAAUGCUUACAUGCAGAAGAUAGUAAACACGCUCGAAGCUAGAUGGCCAGCUAAUUUCAUUGCUCAUGUUUUAUGGAUCUUUAAUAUUAAUUGUUGGCAACUUCAUCCAGUAGUCCAAGAUUACUACGGAAUUUGUGUUCGGCAAGAUGGUCGAAGGUGAGAACACCCUCAAGCAAGGCUCGUUCGCGCAUAAGGAUUUAGUCAGGUUCAUACCCCCGAGUAGGUGAGCUUCACCGACAAAGCAAGGUUGAGCUCCAGGCUCGUGGUGACAUAACAAACUGGAGUUUAUGAUUAGGAUAUAGUGCGUUGGGAGUGUUAGGAAAUUAAGCAACAUCUGUGUUCAAUCGUCACUUUAUUUUUGUGAUACGAACAAUGCACUCAGUAAAAAAGCAAUGGUGAGAUGUGUCUUAUUUGUUCAUCUUUUAGCAUGUGAAGAUGAGGUUUGGGUGAUUCUAUCAUCGUGUGAAUUGCCUUAGCUCUCCUUGUUCUUUACGUAGAUGAGUGAUUGCUCUCUCUUCUGAAAUAGAAGGGGCUAUAGAUGAUUGUUAUAGUUGGAAGAGUCAAUAGAGAGGGAUGUAAAUACAAAAGAGAAAGUGAAGUGAAAAAUGUUUAUUGUGAUUUGACCAUUGUCAUUUACACAUACAAAUAUAAAUAUGUAGAAUUAUGGGGUCCAUGGCCGUAUUGACACAGUCGAACGAGUUUAGUGACCACGAUUUACACUUCUAUGAGUAUAAUGGCCAAAGUGAAAUAUAGAGACAAGUACAAUGGUCAUGUAUGCAUUUUACUCUAAUGAAAUCAAGGAAGGAUUCUGUUGUGGCUGGUUUCCAGUGGGCAUAUGAAGAAGGUGCACUGGUUGAAGAGAACAUGCGCGGCAUUUGCUUUGGGGUAUUUGAUGUUGUUCUCCAUUCGGAUGCUAUUCAUAGAGGCGGAGGACACAUUAUUCCGACAGCCAGGAGGGUCAUUUAUGCUUCUCAGCUCACUGUCAAGCCAAGGCUUCUUGAGCCUGUGUACUUGGUGGAGAUUUAAUUCCCAGAGGAGAGGGCAUGUGAUUGAGGAGAUUCAGAAGCCUGAGACUCCACUGUACAACAUUAAGGCUUACCUCCCUGUUAUUGAGUCCUUUGGUUGCACAAGCUCCCUAAGGGCUGCAACCUCUGGCCAGGCAUUCCCUAGUGUCUUUCACCACUGGGAAAUGCUGUCUGCUGAUCCUCUGGAACCUGGUACACAGACAACUAAUCUUGUCUUGGACAUCUACAGGAGGAAGGGUAUGAAGGAACAGAUCACACUUCUCUCUGAAUAUGUAAUAUUUGAUCAUGUGUACUUAUAGCCUGUAUUUCUUAUGGUUUUCACAUAAAUUAUUAUAUCACCAUAUGCUACUUGGUGAUAUUGUAUCUAUCAUGAUAUAAUGAUAUUUUGAAGGUAUUUCUGUGGACAAUUAUUCUCUUUUGCUUAAUAUAAUUCUGUUCAUCCUUGUUUGAAUAUGCUGUUUUUUCUAUGUUCUGCCAGGCCACCUAUUACAUGGUGGUUAAAUUCUUCCCCUCACUGACAAUCUCUCCUGACCUGUGCUAUGCUAUAUAUGCUUACUGGAUGCCCACAACAUUUGAUAGCAGUUUUUGCUAUAUAUGCAGUUCUAUAUCGUCUCAUCGUCUGGAUUCUUGUAUUUGGUUCCCAUUUGCAGUUACUUUUUCUUAUCUGACUGCUUUGGAUUGAUUCUGCUUUUAUUCAAUGUUCCUUUUUGUUUUUUUAGAAUUAAAGGUACUCAGCCCCUAUCCAUCUGCAUUAGCAUCAACACAAGGUUAAACGCCGUUUCACAGUUCUUACAACGCGCCACCCUUGCCAAACUCAAAAUACAAGUACUCGCACAGUACUCCAACAACCAAUGUUCCUUUUUGUGUGUCUCUGUGUUCUUUCCAUUCCGUUUAUGCUACAUAGGUUUACAUCUUUACAUGGAACACUUGUGGUGAAGCAAUAAUCCACAAACCAUUACAAGGUUAUAGCAUCGACAGUGCUUUUGUCCACAGUGCCCUCUGCUCCUCCUCCUCCUCCUCUUGAGAAGGUCAGACGGUGACAUGGUGUUAGUUGACUACCAUUGCAUGAUGUUGGUUCUGGUUCUCAUCAAUCAUGUAAUACUAACUACAUGAGAUCCACAACCGCCGGUGCAAGCUUUCGACCUUCAAGAAUAAAGAUCCUCGGGACUACAACAGCAAUAUGAUUCGGUAAAUGUCCAUUAACGAAAUCAUACUUUGUCGUCUGCUGAUAGCAUUUUAUUAUCUGGAUGUUUAUCUGAAUUGGACUCUUAACCGAUUUUUGCUAGAUGCUCUUUAGCUCACAUGAUGCAUCAACAGAAGAACCAGGGCAUCGGUGAGGACUAAGGAAAGGACAGAGGAGGCUUACAAAUUAGUGCUUCAAUAGCACAUUUCAUCAGCAGCAUCAAACAGUCGAGGUACAUGAUAUGAUAAUAAAGCAAGGAUUCAGCAACCUCAGGGUGAGUACCAUGAAACUGCAACCAUGCUGAAUGUAGACUAUAUAUCUGGUAUUUUCAUUACCAUAGGUCCAUAGCUGAACAAGUAAGCUAAGCGAGGCAACACCUCAUUGUUUGCAGAAUCUUAUUUGAACUCGUACCCGCUGUAAACAAGUAAGCUGAGCAAGCAUCCAAGCCGCACAAGUUCUUGCACAGUUGCAAAGUACACAAGUGACAAGUGAAAAAUGUAAAACUCAGGCCACCAAGAUCCACCUCAAGCUGCAUACUUGCAUCAAGCAAAGCUUCCCACGAGCGACAAGUUCACCAGAGCUGAAGCCGCGAGCUUUUCACUCAGGCUUCUUCUCGAGGCUGGUGUUGUUCAGCCGCUCGAUGGCCAGUAUCAGCGCCUGUGUACCGAGCCCGCCCUCGCCGUGCGCCAUCAGCGACACGUACAGCUGUUGCGCGAGCGCGAGCCCCGGCAGCGACAGCCCCAUGGCCUGGCAUUCCGACAGGCAGAUGCCGAGGUCCUUGACGAAGUGCCGGACGUAGAAGCCAGCCGCCAUGUCCCGCUCCAGGAUCCGCUUCCCGUACAGCUCCAGCGACUUGGACCCCGCGGCGCCGGUGGAGAUGGCCUCCAGCCACUUGGCCACGUCCAGCCCGGCCUUGUGCGCGUACACCAUGCCCUCCACGAGUCCCACCAUGGUGGACGCGAUGGCGAUCUGGUUGCCCAGCUUCGCGCGCUGCCCCGCGCCGGGCCCGCCCAUGUACAGCGCGUUCCCCAUGAGCUUGAAGAGCGGCGCCAGGCGGGCGACGACGGCGGCGUCCCCGCCCGCGAAGAUGGAGAGCGUGGCGUUGCGGGCCCCGCGGUCGCCGCCGGAGACGGGGGCGUCGACGGCCGAGCAGCCGCCGGCGGCAGCGGCCGCGGCUAUCUCGGCGGCGAGGGUGGGGUCGGAGGUGGUCAUGUCGACGAGGACACCGCCCGGGGCGAGGCCGGCGAGGGCGCCCGCGGACGGAUCGAGGGCGGUGGAGCGGACGUCGGAGGGGAAGCCAACCAUGAGGAAGAUGACAUCGGCAGCCGCGGCGGCCGCGCGUGGGCUGUCCGCGAGGCUGGCGCCGUGGGAGACGAGGCCCUGAGCCUUGGAGGCCGUGCGGUUGAAGACGGUGAGCGCGUAGCCGGCGGAGAGGAGGUGGCCGGCCAUGGACUGGCCCAUGACGCCCGUCCCCACCCAGGCCACGCGGGUGGUGUCCGGAGAGAUCGGACAAUCCGAGACGUUCGCUCCCGUGGCUGACGACGACAUAGCUGCUGCAGCGGCGGCGGCGGUAGCGGCAAGCGGGAAGGGCGGACGGCGGUGAGUGAGGGAACGGGAGAUGCCGGCGAGCAUUUGGGGGCGGAGUAGCUGCCUGAUAUGCCCGUUCCUAUGCAGGUAAAUUGUCGCAAAUGCCCUCUGGUGUCGCGUUGCAGUAGCCGAUAAGGCGAUAAGGCGUCCAAGCGUAAGGUGACCCUUGGAUAUGGGCUAGGUCCAUUCAACCCAAACAGCAGCUCUAUUCCUGGGCCGAAUGGUAGCCCAAGAGGCCGACAGUGAGCUCACGGGUGACGAACCGGGAUUCCAAUGCAGCUUACAUGUUCUCAGCUUAUUAUUCUCUUGUUACAUUUGAGGAAUUCACAGAACCAGAAAACAAGCCAGGCUAAGAAUUGAUAGAUAUCUCCUUUGCUAUGUCCGAAGGCCUCGUCCACUCAAAACAACCUAUACCCAUAAAUCAAUGUGUUAGUAACUCAACCAAUAUUUUUCCACACAAGUGCAAGAGUUGUGCACGUGGAAUACCUGCAGUUUCAGAGGUGGACCCGUUGGAUCUACAAAUAAAGAACGAUCAUCUGGAGGGAACUCUUGAUUAGUAAAGUUUCUCUCUCCUUUAGCAACAAGAGCAUCCCUGACAGCCCUUUCAACAGACAGCCUACGCUGGUUGACUUCGUCUUGUGUUUCAAACCGGAGCAAAGGAGUCAAUGUCAACAGCUACAGCAUCAUGUACCGGCCGUUUCCUACCACUUGAGUACCGCCCAUCCCAUUCGACAUCCCCUUGAUCAUAUAGCUCGUAAGCCUCUUCACUUUCCCAAUCAUCCACCUAGAUGAAACAGUAAAUUAGGAAAUCACAUUCAGUUUCAUAUUCCCUCCCAAUUCAGGACAUCACAAAACACUGAAAGUACAUAAGUUCUAGGUAAAAUCAAUACCCUUGCAGAAUAGCUUCCAUGCCAAGCAUCACCAGCUCCAAGGUCAAAAAAGCCAUGCUCGACAGGUGAAAUGGCUGUAUGCAAUGCAGCAACCUCAUCUUCACUGAGGCAUCUUCCCCAUAGAAAAGCAUCCAUGAUCUGCAUCUUUGAGUCUGAACCUUCACUAUCUGACCUACCAAAGGCAUCUAAGUCUAUGGGUGGCCGAGCACCAACCCAAUAUGUUCCAGGAAACGAUAAGCAGCCUUCUUCAAACACAAGCAAUCGUUUCGCAGACUUGUAUACCACUGGGUUGACAAGAACAAUUUCCUCUCCUCCCCCUUCAUUAUAGCUGGAUUGAAUACCACAAGCUGCACAUUCACUCCCACUUGUGGUGCUGAGAGACCAAUGCCAUCAGUCCUGUACGAAAAACAACUAUUUAAUGAACCAGUAUAGGUCCUAAUAAGUUUGGCAUAGUUCUAUCUCGGAAAAGCAGGCAUGCCUAUAGUGGAUAUUUUGCUCACAUUUGAAACAUGCCUAUUGCCUAGUGCAAUCGGCUUUUAUUUCAUCAAGCUUGUACAAAUCUAAGAACUACAAAAACGAAUUCAACACUUCUUCACACAAACAAAUCCCACCUCAACAAAACAGGUCACAAGAAGGAUUUCAUGAAAAUAAACACUAACUAAAGUCAACUAUUGCAUGUAUGCAACCAUGCUAGGCACACAUAUUUCUUUAAAACAGCAACACGUCGAAUCGGUGCCUAUUAGCAUGAUACCCUCUUGCACAUUCCGUUGUCAGCUUGGAUGUUCCUAAUGGGUAGGCUGAACUGCGUGUGGGCAUAGGUGCAGAAGGUGGUAAUAUGCGUGGUGAUUUCGGACUUGUGAGCCAGGGGAAAAGUCCAACGGAAGUGCGUAAAGCUCAGGAUCUCUUGACGCCAGCAUCCUAACUGCCAGCAAACCUGCAUUUUCAGCACUCCCAAUAGCAACAGUCGCAACAGGAAUACCUUUUGGCAUCUGUGGAAGUGGAAAUAAUAUCAACAAUCAACUUCAUCCAUAAUAAAUAAGUGGUGAAAAAUAGAGGACAACCAUGUACAAAGAUGGUGACAAAACCAAUCAUUCCAUAGAACUAAAUAAUUAAUAGUAAAUUAACUAAAAGUUGUGAUUCAUUUAUCUGGGAGCUCUGGUAUGCUGUUAUUAGCAAAAAAACAUGCGAACACCCUUAGGUGGUUAUCAUUCAAGUAGCGAUGAAUGUCAUUUGCGCUAGUGAGGCCCUGGUGAGCACCUAACUGCACAAUGUCAAACAUCACUCGCUAAACACUGCAAUAAAAGUAAAUGGUGCUGUUCGUAUGAAGUCUACAAAAGAAAGUAUCAGGCUUGAAAACUUUAAUGCCUAUAAUUAUGAGGUUAAGUCCAACCAGACAAGCAUGUUUCAGAAUGCAACAGCCAACAUUCUAUGCUUGCAUCCAAACACAAAAUUUGGGGCGGUGUUGUGAAAUGAGAAAUGAGAAACUAAAACCCCCAAUGAUCUGCUCUUAGGAAAAAAUCAGGCAAUAAGAAAUGCAAACAAAAAGAAUCUGAACGUAUAAGAGUGGGCGCUGAAAAACAGCUACAAUUAUCAAAUCUCUACGGCAUUUACUUCAAUUUGAAUCUUAAAUGAAAGAACUGUUAGCACACUAACUUGCACAAUAGAUAGGAGGGAAUCAAGUCCAAGAAGUGACUGAGUCUUGAUGGGUACUCUGAAUACUGGAAGAGAAGUCAAUGAGUCUUGAUGGGUAAACAGUUUAAUCCAAAUAAGAAGUGCAGUUUUAAGAAUCCAAAGAAGAAACCUAAAUAAAAUACUUGUCUACUUAGGGCCUGUUUGGCGAUAAGUGUUAAAGUUUAACACCCAUCACAUCGGAUGUUUGAUGCUAAUUAGGAGUAUUAAACAUAGAUUAAUUAUAAAACUAAUUGUACAGAUGGAGUGUAAUUCGUAAGACGAAUCUAUUAAGCCUAAUUAGUCCAUGAUUUGACAAUGUGGUGCUACAGUAACCAUUUGCUAAUGAUGGAUUAAUUAGGCUUAAUAGAUUCGUCUCGCGAAUUAGCAAAGGGGUCUGCAAUUAGUUUUAUAAUUAGCUCAUAUUUAGUUCUCCUAAUUAGCAUCCGAACAUCCGAUGUGACACUGUUAAAGUUUAACACCUCGUAUCCAAACACCCCCUUACAAGCAACAACAGAAGAUAGCUCCUCUUUGUUUUGGGCAACAGCAUUGCCUCGACCAUCAUAUGCUAACCUCUUGCUUUUUACCAUUAGAGGAUAGCCAAACCUUUCCCCUGCUUCCUCUAUACUGUGUAAAGUAUCUACCUGCAAAUCAAAACUAUGAAAUUAUCUAGUGACAGUCGCAACUCCAAUAAUAUUAACUGGUUAGGAGUUUGUGCAUUACUUCCAUGAAGUCAGGCAAAGGGAUCCCAAAUUUUGAGAAAUGAUUUUUCUGCCUGUAUCUGUCCUGCAAUUGAGUGUCAGUGCACAAGAACUAUCAGUAAAUCAAACUGCAUGUUCAGAUAAUGAAGUUGUUGAAAAGGGUAUUCCAGGAGAAAUAAUCUACUGAACAAGAACUGAACUUACAACUAAACAAAGUAUACAACUGAUUCUGCAGGUUCAAGAGAUUGAACCAUAGAUAAUUUGCAAGAGAAGCAUAUCAAAAAUCAGUUGAAUGUGCAGCUGCAAUUAGAUCUUUCAUCCCCGGUGAGCUAGAUGCAGCACUUCAUGAAUUUGCGUUUAAAUUUCAAAGCAGUAAAAAUGAACAGAUGGUUGGCACAAGCAGGAAAAGUUUGCCUGAAUAAUCAUUAUCGUGGAGGCUUUAGGCUCGCAGUCGACACCCUGUUUUUCUAGCUUCUCAAGUGUGACGGCAUCAACAUGUUCAAUCUCCACUAUUAGGACCCCACACCUAUCAGAAUUAAAAAGGAUGAAAUCACACCAGACCACCAACAUUGCAUAGAUACGACCUCCAAACAAGCGCAAUAGGAUUGCAAAUUCACCUACCUCUUGGCAAACUCCCGGACCGUGUCACCGUCGUUGAAGCUCCCCACGACGUGCUCGUGGCAAACAGAGCUGGCCGGGCAGUCCUGAAGGGGGUCCAGGAUGACAAUCAUAAUCCCCAUCUGGCUCGCGGCCUGGCAGAGCAUCUUCCCCAGCUGGCCUGAGAAUUCCCCUAGUGAACGGAGGAAUUUUGGAGGAGGAGGCGGUGGCGGCUUACCUGUGGCGAAGUCGUCAUCCUCGGCUGGCGGGGUGGCGGCGGUGGAGGAGCUUAAGCUGCGGUGGAGGAUCAUCGAUGGUCGCAGGGUCUUCAGGCAUGUGGUGUGUGUGUAUCACGGAUCGGAACGCGCGAGGAACACCUUGGAGAACAAACCUGCUGUGACGACUCGCUGGCCGGGGCGGACGACAAAACGGACGAGUUGAAGGCGGCGGGGGUGUCCAGGAAGCUGGGCGUGGUCGGGUUCUGCUACGGCGGCGGCCGCCUCGUGGAGGCGCUAGCGCGCGACGCCGAGGGCUGCUUCAGCAUGGGGAUCUGCUUCUACGGUUCCCGGAUGGACGCGUCACUGGGCGACCGGAUCGCGGUGCCCAUGCUGUUCGUGUGCGGCAAUGGCGACCCGCUGUGCCCCGAGGAGACGGUGUGAGAGCUGGACUUCUGUUUAUAUUAGAUCAGAAAAUACCAAAUCAAAGAACUUCUUGAUGAGUACGAAUCAAGUUCGAGGUCUUGUUGGUUACGACAGUACCUUGGGGGGAGCGCGGUGAUGUCGGCGUCGUGGAGGUGAAACUUAGCGGCGCAGAACCAGCGAUCCCUGUCAAGCCGCUGUUCGUGUCCGCUUCUUUCGCUCACUGGUAACCGCCUGCGAACAGCCAGCCAUGGCUGUCGCAAGGCUGGUGGCGGCGACUCCAUUCCCCGUGGCCGCGUCGCGGAUCCGGGCGGCCGCGUCCCGCGUGGCGCCGCGGCUGGCGUUCGCGCCCCUCGCGGUGCGCGGGGCCGCGCGCGCGCGUGGCGGCGGACGACGAUGAGGACACGCCGGCGGCGGCACCGGCGGCGAGGAGAAGGUGGACGUCGGUGAAGCGGACACGGAGGCGGAGGCCGCGCAGCUGGCAAUGGCGGCGCGCGCGGCGCUGAAGCAGUCGGAGCGGCGGACGUACCUGGUGGCGGCCCACCGCUCCGAGCACGGAGGCGGAGGCCAUGCGGCUGGCGAUGGCGGCGCGCGCGGCGCGGAAGCAGUCGAGCGGCGGAUGUACCUGGUGGCGGCCCACCGCUCCGAGCCGUCGGGGGUGCUGGUGGUGAUCGACGCGGCAGAGCCGGCACGGAGCGAGGCGAGGCAGAGGACCAGGGGAAGCAGAGCAAGCGGGCAGCAAGGCCUGUCCAUGUCGAAGAUCCGGGCGUGGUCUGCGCCAAGCGAGUGCGCAUCGUCGCACUGUGGAGUCGUCGCACUGUGGCCGAGGGUUCCACGAGAGGAAAACGGUGACGUUGCGAUUGGGAGACAAAGCCGAUGGUGGUGCGACUGCAAGACGAAGGAACGCACGGAAGAGAUACGGAGACACGGACGGAUGGAUGCCUCCAGGGACUUUUUAGAAAAAAAUGACAUGUGCUCUACACAGAACUGCGGGUUGAUUAUCAAAAACUUGAAGGGGUUUUUCAUAAAAUUACCACGACGGUUGAAGGAUUGAAAGAAACAUCCCUCUUUAAUAUUAGGUAUAGAUAGAUAUAGAUAUAGAUAUAGAUAUAGAUAUAGAUAUAGAUUUGGAUGCAGCGGUUAAAAUUUAGCACAUGUCGCACCAGAUGUUUGAUACUAAUUAGAAGUAUUAAAUAUAAUCUAAUUAGAAAACUAAUUAUAUAGAUGAAGUCUAAUUUGCGAGACGAAUCUAUUAAGUCUAAUUAGUCCAUGAUUUGAUAAUAUGGUGCUACGGUAGCCAUUUGCUAAUGAUGAUUUAAUUAGGCUUAAUAGAUUCGUCUCGCGAAUUAGACUCCGUUUAUACAAUUAGUUUUGUAAUUAGCUUAUAUUUAGUCCUCCUAAUUAGCAUCCGAACAUCCGAUGUGACCCUGCUAAAAUUUAGCGGCUCCUAUCCAAACAGUCCCUUAGUAAGUCCGGACUAAAGUUUCGAUCACAUCGAAUAUUUAGAUACUAAUUAAUUACAAAAUCAAUUGCAUGGAUGAAAGCUAAUUUGCGAGACGAAUCUAUUAAGCCUAAUUAGUUCGUGAUUUGACAAUGCGAUGCUACAUUAAACAUGUGAUAAGCAUGAAUUAAUUAGGCUUAAUAAAUUCGUCUCGCGAAUUAGCCACCAUCUGUGUAAUUAGUUUUAUAAUUAACUCAUGUUUAGUUCUCCUAAUUAGCCUCCGAAGAUUCGAUGUAACAUGGACUGGACUUUACCUCAAUGAUCCAAACACCCCCUUAGUUCGCUUCCGAUGUUGAAGAUUUGUACGGUAAAAUUGGUCCGUUGGAUGCACCUCCACAACCUUACCCUAAUCUCCACUGCCACCUGUGGCUCCUCCUUGUCGGCGCUGCUUCCUAUCCUCGCAGCGCCGCUGCUGGGUGUUCCACGACCACCGCGCCCUGUAGUGUCGUCGUCGCACGCAGUCACACACAAUCCCAAGCGCAGCCGUCCCAUGCCGUCGUGCUGCUAUCCACGGCCACUGCACCCUGUUGUGCCGUCGCUUGCCGUGCUUGUUGCCCCGCGUGCUGCCACCGCUCGCCGCGCCGAUGUCCGCAGCCCUGCGCAACUGUGCCUCUGCGCCUGUCACCCCACGUGUUGCCGCCGCGCGUCGAGAGAUGCUCCGCGCCUACAUGCUCGGGAGAAGAUGCUCCGCGCCUACCUGCUCUGGAGAAGGGAGACAAAAAUAUUGAUGUGUGUAACGUGUACGUAGAAAUGUUGAAUGCAUUAUUUUCAAAUGUUGAAAUAUAGUAUAUAAAAUGUUGAAUGUAGUAUCACUCUACAAAAUGUCAAACUAUGUUUGAAAAAUGUUGAAAAUAGUAAUUUUAAAUGUUGAUCUAACUUUUAGGUAUUGUUGAAUCUAAAAUAAUACUUCUAUUUGCGUCUAAACGGGCUUUAAAGCCACGGAACUUAUCCAGCUUCCACAAGUGAGCCCCCGUGACGAACGGCCCAGAAGCCGCCCGCCACGCAGCCGGCUCGACUAAACCGGAUCGCCAGGUGCGUCAACUCCGCCGCUAUAAAUACCCUCAGAGGGCGGCCGCUAGGGUUUUAGUGCUUCUCUCCCGGCGGCGCCUCCACAUCUCGUCUCUCAGAUCGGGAGGCGAAACCCAGGUGACUGACCUCAUCCUCUUUCCCCCACCCUCCGUCUCUGGUUGCUAUAGCUAAGUUCAUCCAUGCGAUGUCCUGCUAGCUGAUUAGUAUUUCUACUAGUGGAGUUCGAGUCGUUUUGGUUCCAUUCAGUAGUGCUUGUGUUGAUUGGAUUGAAUCGGAGGACUCGAAGUGGUUUGCUGCUCGAAUCGCAAGUUUGUUGGGCUAAUCUCGAUGCAAUUUAUGUCAAUUCGUUGUUUUAGUGGUCCUUGGCAGUUCUCUCUGUGACAGGUCCGUCCGAUCUGUAGAGAUGCGGUGGAAUCCUGGUUUACUCAAAACGGUUCUAGAUUCCUCUGUUCUUCCCUUAUUUUUUGUUUACGUUAGGAGCCUAUGAAGUGGAUAUGCUCGGAUCCUUUUCUGAAACUCAUCUGUUUACUCAGAUCUGCUGGUAGCUCACAGUUCCAGGGUAGUUACGUUGAUGGUCUAGUUUUGGUAGUUUCAUGUUCUAUUUCUGUCCAUUUUUGUGAUGUUCAGUAUGUUAAAAUACUAUCUGUGCUUCUGAAUAUCUUGUUAUAUGAAUUCAUUGGACAAACUAUGCAUUCCUUUUGGCAUCUUAAAUAUUUUCCUGAAGGUUAGAAUCGACUUCGAAAUGUUUGUCUAAAUUAAUCUUCUGGUGUUUCCCUAUGCCAGUCUGUUAAUAUGUCUGUAUUAUAGUGUUUUGUUUGAAGUGGUAAUGUACAUGGUGCACCCUGCAGUUUUUCAUGUCUAAUAUUGGAUCUUCUUGUUUGCUGUAUGUAUUAAGGAUUAGUUUCACUUCUAAUAGCUUACUGCUGAUGCUUUCUUGUUUGUGUAAUAUGCUGUGUAAUCAUGUUGACCCUGAGGUUUGUAAGAAUUCCUCUUAUUUGAUUAUUGCAUGGAUUAGUGUCCUGAAGGAUAUGGCUCCUUUGUACAAUUAAGAUAAUUCACUUUUUUUUUCUCAACUUUUAUAUGCUUACUAGCCCAUUAGGUUGUGUAAACAUUAGAGUGCUUUAGCCUGGUAAAGAUGAGUUAAGCAUUUUAAAUAAAUUUUUGGAUUUGGUUGAUAUCAUCCUUAACACCUGCAUUUAAACAAUUUGUCUCUUUUGAUCCUGACUAUUACAGUGGGUGUUACUUUCUUUAGUCAUUCUGUGGUAUCAAAGUUUCUGGUGUAGUUGUGUAAUUAUGGUUUUGGUUGGAUUCUUACUAGUAUUUUCUACCUUUAAACAGCAGGAAAUUAUAUACAUAUUUGUAGUGUGAUCUUCAUAAGAAGUCAAGAUGGUGAAGUUCACAGCGGAAGAGCUCCGUGCCAUCAUGGACAAAAAGAACAACAUUCGUAAUAUGUCCGUUAUUGCUCAUGUGGACCACGGUAUGUUAAGAACAGUGUUUAAUUAAAUGUUAUGCAUACCUGUUCCAUUUUUCAGGCUUUUCAAUUUUAGCAAUUGUUUUUUUUUUCAGUAUUAAAUCUCUGAAUUGUUCUUGCCAGUGAAUGCGAUUCAUGCUGCGUUAGCUAUCACAGACCUAUUUUACAUAUGUAGAAAUAUUCAUUUCAUGUUGGAAAUAGGCUUAUUGUUCUUUUGUAAUUAAUGUAUUGGUUUAUCUCUAGAUAUUGCAGUGUAUAGUAUCUGUUUACUAUGUGUUUUAUAUUGGGAUGUAUUGUUGUCUUUGUUAACUUGUGAGAGGUUGUCUAUCCCUAAUGUUGUACUAUUCUUGAUGCAUCUUCGGACUGACUUUUAAGUUCCACACUAUAGUCUUACAUCUCAUUAAUUCUUUGCAGGCAAGUCUACCCUUACAGAUUCCCUUGUGGCAGCUGCUGGGAUUAUUGCCCAGGAAGUUGCUGGUGAUGUCCGCAUGACUGAUACACGUGCAGAUGAAGCAGAGCGUGGUAUUACAAUCAAAUCCACCGGUAUUUCUCUGUACUAUGAGAUGACUGAUGAGUCACUGAAGAGUUACAAGGGUGAGAGAGAUGGUAACCAGUACUUGAUCAACCUUAUCGACUCACCUGGGCACGUUGAUUUUUCUUCGGAAGUCACAGCUGCCCUUCGUAUCACCGAUGGUGCUCUAGUGGUGGUUGACUGUAUUGAAGGUGUCUGUGUGCAAACUGAAACUGUGCUCCGCCAGGCUCUUGGUGAGAGGAUUAGGCCAGUGCUUACUGUGAACAAGAUGGACAGGUGUUUCCUUGAGCUUCAGGUUGAGGGUGAGGAAGCCUACCAGACUUUCUCCCGUGUCAUUGAGAAUGCCAAUGUCAUUAUGGCAACAUAUGAAGAUAAGCUCCUUGGUGAUGUCCAAGUCUACCCGGAGAAGGGAACUGUUGCUUUCUCUGCUGGUCUGCACGGCUGGGCCUUUACCCUCACCAACUUUGCCAAGAUGUAUGCUUCGAAGUUUGGAGUUGAUGAAACUAAGAUGAUGGAGAGGCUCUGGGGUGAGAACUUCUUUGACCCAGCCACAAAGAAGUGGACCACCAAGAACACAGGCUCUGCUACCUGCAAGAGAGGAUUUGUUCAGUUCUGCUAUGAGCCAAUCAAGCAAAUCAUUAACACCUGCAUGAAUGACCAGAAGGAUAAGUUGUGGCCCAUGCUUCAAAAGCUUAAUGUUACCAUGAAGUCUGAUGAGAAGGAAUUGGUUGGCAAGGCUUUGAUGAAGCGUGUUAUGCAAACUUGGCUUCCAGCUAGUACUGCACUGCUUGAGAUGAUGAUAUUCCACCUUCCUUCCCCAUCAAAGGCACAAAAGUAUCGUGUGGAGAACUUGUACGAGGGACCCCUUGAUGAUAUCUAUGCUACUGCUAUCAGGAACUGUGAUCCGGAGGGUCCUCUUAUGCUGUAUGUUUCUAAGAUGAUUCCAGCAUCUGACAAGGGCAGGUUCUUCGCCUUUGGUCGUGUCUUCUCUGGGAAGGUUGCUACUGGUAUGAAGGUUAGGAUCAUGGGUCCCAACUAUGUCCCUGGCCAGAAGAAGGAUCUGUACGUCAAGAGUGUCCAGCGUACUGUUAUCUGGAUGGGAAAGAAACAAGAGUCUGUUGAGGAUGUUCCUUGUGGUAACACUGUUGCUAUGGUUGGUCUGGAUCAGUUCAUCACGAAGAAUGCUACACUCACCAAUGAGAAGGAGGUUGAUGCAUGCCCAAUCAGAGCAAUGAAGUUCUCUGUCUCCCCUGUUGUGCGCGUUGCUGUUCAGUGCAAGGUUGCCUCUGACCUACCCAAGCUCGUUGAAGGUUUGAAGCGUCUGGCAAAGUCUGAUCCUAUGGUCCUCUGUACAAUUGAAGAAUCUGGUGAGCAUAUUAUUGCUGGAGCUGGUGAGCUUCACCUUGAGAUUUGCCUGAAGGAUCUGCAGGAAGACUUCAUGGGUGGUGCUGAAAUUAUUGUUUCUCCUCCUGUUGUCUCUUUCCGUGAAACUGUUCUUGAGAAAUCCUGCCGAACAGUCAUGAGCAAGUCCCCCAACAAGCACAACCGUCUUUACAUGGAAGCCCGUCCCUUGGAAGAGGGUCUCCCUGAGGCUAUUGAUGAGGGCCGCAUUGGUCCACGUGAUGAUCCCAAGGUUCGCUCCAAGAUCCUCUCUGAGGAGUUUGGUUGGGACAAGGAUCUUGCCAAGAAGAUUUGGUGCUUUGGACCUGAGACCACUGGCCCGAACAUGGUUGUUGAUAUGUGUAAGGGAGUGCAGUACCUCAAUGAAAUCAAGGAUUCUGUUGUGGCUGGCUUCCAGUGGGCCUCAAAGGAGGGUGCACUGGCUGAGGAGAACAUGCGUGGCAUCUGCUUUGAGGUCUGUGAUGUUGUUCUUCAUGCUGAUGCAAUUCACAGGGGUGGUGGCCAGGUCAUUCCAACUGCCAGGAGGGUUAUUUAUGCUUCUCAGCUCACUGCCAAGCCAAGGCUGCUCGAGCCAGUUUACCUUGUGGAGAUCCAGGCCCCAGAAAAUGCACUUGGUGGUAUCUAUGGUGUUCUGAACCAGAAGAGAGGGCACGUGUUUGAGGAGAUGCAGAGGCCUGGUACCCCGCUCUACAACAUCAAGGCUUACCUCCCUGUCAUCGAGUCCUUUGGGUUCUCCAGCCAACUGAGGGCUGCAACCUCUGGCCAGGCGUUCCCUCAGUGUGUGUUUGACCACUGGGACAUGAUGGGCUCUGAUCCUCUGGAGGCCGGCUCCCAGGCUGCUCAGCUGGUGUUGGAUAUCCGCAAGAGGAAGGGUCUCAAGGAGCAGAUGACCCCUCUUUCUGAGUUUGAGGACAAGCUCUAAAUUUUGGUGGUUUGUGCUGCUGUUACCCAUGCUGGUUUCAUGGCCAAUUCGUCUACUGUAACUGGAACUACUUUCAUGUUUCAUUUCCUUUAGUUGUCAGAUGCAUCUGUUUUUGAACAUCAUUGGCCAUAUGGCAUUGUGCUGCUAAGACUGUAUUUUGUUAUCCGGUUGUGAUGUAACAGAUGAAAUAGAGUUCAUAUCUGUGGUUUAAGUGGUAGUAUUUGCGGUAUAAUGCUUGUUUCUACUGCCUUCUGAAAGCCUUUCUUUUGCCUAACGGUAGAGCGGAUUAACUAAGGGUGUUGUAUCAUUUGAUUCAUUUGAUCCUUCAUCAAGGAUGAAGCCAUCUCCUCAUGGGAACACAUUAUUCUACUAUUAGAAGCGAAGAUGUAACAAAUUAGUUGAAAGAGGAGCGUUGAAAGAGGAGCGAACCAUACUUUACUAUAUGGUAAGUAGCAAAUUAGUUACAAGUAGCAAAUUAGUUGAACUUUAGGAUCAUGCACGUUGAACCUUGUUAUCUAGGAUCAUCCAUGGAUCAUGCACGUUGAACCUUGCUAACUAGGAUCAUGCACGUUGACCCUUGUUAUCUAGGAUCAUCCAUGGAUCAUACACGUUGAACUUUGCUAUCUAGGAUUAUCCAUGUAUGCAUCAUGUAGUGCAUCUGUGCAUGCAAUAUUCUGUUAUCUAGGAUCAUCCAUGGAUCAUACACGUUGAACUUUGCUAUCUAGGAUUAUCCAUGUAUACAUCAUGUAGUGCAUCUGUGCAUGCAAUAUUCUGCCCUUAGCUUGGUUUUACUGCCGAUAGCUAUAUAGUGCAUUUAAAUGCUUUUCUUUUGCCCACAGCCCCAGAGGUAGAGAGGACUAACUGUUUCUGUUGCUUUUUUUUUUUACGGUCUACGGGAGAGAGUGUGUGUGUGUGUUGGGGGUGGGAGCGCCCCCACCUGAUUUUCAUUUCAUUGAGGGUCUGUUUCAGGCCAAACGCUGUGUAGAUCAAAAGGAGAUAGAGAGAGGCAGUGUACAUCUGGUUUUGUGAUUGUUUUACAUCGAAGCAAAGACAGUGCACCAGGAGUCGGUUAUCACGCGAUCCUCUAUGCGAAACCGCUCGCGCCAAAGUCGGGCUUCGUCUCGGCAUGCCGACCAGAAGCGUUGUUGAGAUGGAGCGCAGCGCUGGAACACUGGGUCAUUCCGGUGCUUCCAUAACACCCACGGCAGAAGGAGUUUUUUCUUGCUUUGCCUUUAGCUUGGCUUUAAUCCUGUUAGCUAUGCCUAUGUAGAGCAUUUGGUCCUUCGAAUUUUAAAUCGAUGUUGAUUUUGAUUGCAUGCCGUCAUUUUGGGUUGGUUCCAACUAUGUUUUUAAUAUCAGUCGUUCUGAAGGUUACUCUGUUGACACUUGAUUGCAUAACCGUUUGCUAGUUUUGCGUGCAUCCGCGUGCUGGUUCGUCUCAUCAAGAACUAGCCGUUGCUCAAAACUCUGGCUUUCAGGCAUGGCCGCAACAGCCUGGAGGAUGUGUUGCUGUUCUGUAGCUGUAGUGUGCGUCUGUGCUAGUGGAUGCAGGGAGCCAGCGACCUAAAAGGAAUCGUGUAUUAGUGGAUGCAGGACAUCGGCCGUGGCGGCCUGGGGGAGACGACCACGCUCGACAUGAACGGCAGUAAGUUCAAUGGCACGAUCCCGGCGUCGCUUACCGGCCUAUGGAGCCUCCAGUAUCUAGAUGUGAGCGGCAACCGCUUCACCGGCACCAUCCCAGCGUUGCUAUCUGGACUCCGGAACCUCCAGCUUCUCGGCCUGAAUGACAACCUCUUCACCGGCACCAUCCCGGCGGACCUCGGCGAGCUGGCGAGCCUUCACAUGCUGUAUCUGGCAAACAACCAGUUCGAUGCAGGCCAGCUGCCGUCGUCGUUCAAGAACCUGACCAACCUGGUCAGCCUCUGGGCGUCGCAGUGCAACCUCGUCGGAGAGUUCCCGAACUUUCUUUGGAGCCUGAAGGAGCUGCAACUAUUGAAUCUGUACACGAACAACCUCACCGGCAACUUGGUGGUUGAUGGCCUUGUUGCGAGGAACUUGACAGUAAUCGACGUCUCGGAGAACAAGAUCACUGGAGUUAUCCCGAGUGUUUGGGAGCUUGGAGAACCUCAGAGACUUGAACUUCUUCAUGAACAACUUCUCCAGCGAGAUACCAGCCAGCAUCGGCCGGUUGCCCUCACUGACGAGGUUGAGGCUCCACACCAACAUGCUUAACGGCACGCUCCCACCGGAGCUCGGAAAGCAAUCGCCGGGCUUGAAUUAUGUUGAGGUUGAUUACAAUGAGCUCACCGCCGAGAUCCCGGAAGGGCUGUGCACUGGAGACAACCUCCAGCACCUCACCGCCAAGAGCAACCAAUUGAACGGCUCCAUCCCAGCAGGCCUUGCCAACUGCGCCACUCUUGGAACCCUGUCGCUGGACAACAACCAACUCUCUGGCGACGUACCAGAGGCUCUGUGGACGGCGACGAAGCUUUACCAGAGGCUCUUCCGGCCACGGUGCAUCUCAACCUUUCGACGAUACUCAUAGGGAACAACCAAUUUGGUGGCAACAUUCCGGCUGCACUAGCUGCGCUCCAGGUGUUCACCGCCGAGAACAACCGGUUUUCUGGUGCGAUACCGGCGAGUCUUGGCGACGGCAUGCCGCUGCUGCAAAGACUGAACUUAUCCGGUAACCAACUGUCCGACGGGAUCCCCAGAAGCGUUGCUAAGCUAAGCCAGCUGACGGAAAUGGACCUGAGCAGGAAUCAGCUCACCGGAGGCAUACCGGUAGAGCUCGGCGCCAUGCCGGUGUUAAGUGUCCUUAACCUGUCGUCGAACAAGCUCUCCGGCAACGUGCCGCAGGCGCUUGCGAAGCCGACACUCACCGCCCUAACCUGUCCUCGAACCAUCAGACCGGCCAGGUCCCGGCCGGGUUCGCCACCGCGGUCUACGACACCAGCUUCCUCAACAACCCCGGCCUCUGCACCGCCGCUUGGGGACCUGGCUACCUCACGGGCGUACGCUCCUGCGCCGGUGGAUCACAAGACGGCGGUUCCUCCGGAGGCGUGUCGCACGCCCUGCGCAGGGGAACCUCGCCGUGGCGUUCGCCUUCUUCGUCGUCCGCGACAUCAAGAAACGGCGGCGCGUCGCGGAGCAAGACAACUGGAAGAUCACGCCUUUCGUCAAAGAUCUGGGAUUCGGUGAGGCACCCAUACUCCGGGGGCUGACGGAGGAGAACCUCGUCGGGCGCGGGGGAUCGGGGCGCGUGUACCGCGUCGCCUACACCAACCGGCUUAACGGCCGAGCCGGCGCGGUGGCCGUAAAGCAAAUACGGACCGCCGGGAAGCUCGACCAGAAGCUGGAACGCGAAUUCGCGUCAGAGGCUGGCAUCAUCGGCAACCUCCGGCACAACAACAUCGUCAAGCUCUUGUGUUGCCGCUCCAGCGCCGAGUCCAAGCUCCUCGUGUACGACUAUGGACAACGGCAUCCUGGACAGGUGGCUCCACGGCGACGCCCUCGUCGCCGGCGGGCGCCCCAUGGCGAGGGCGCGGUCCGCGCGGCGCGAGCCGCUGGACUGGCCGGCGAGGCUCAGGGUGGCCGUCGACGCCGCGCAGGGGCUGUGCUACAUGCACCACGAGUACGAGCCGCCCAUCGUCCACCGCGACGUCAAGACGAGCAACAUCCUGCUGGACUCGGAGUUCCGGGCCAAGAUCGCCGACUUCGGGCUGGCCACAGGAUGCUGCUGCAGGCCGGGGCGCCGGAAACGAUGUCCGCCGUCGCUGGCUCGUUCGGCUACAUGGCUCCUGGUAAGGAUUCGAACUUGCUGCUUUCAGUGAAUUUCUGUCCCAUUUCUACAAAUGCCACGUGUUCUCGUGUUGCCGGACCUUAGAUUGGGCCUUUUGAUGCUUAUCUGCAGAGUGUGCUUACACCAAGAAGGUGAACGAGAAGGUAGACAGCUUCGGUGUCAUUCUCCUGGAGCUCACCACCGGAAAGGAGGCCAACAACGGCGGCGAGCACGGCUGCCUGGCGGACUGGGCACGGCGCCACUACCAAUCAGGAGGGAGCAUCGCCGACGCCACAGACAAGAGCAUCAGAUACGACGGGUACUCUGACGAGAUCCAGGUUGUCUUCAGGCUCGGCGUGCUCUGCACCGCCGAUAUGCCGUCGUCGCGGCCAACCAUGAACGACGUGCUGCAGAUCUUGGUCAAGUGCAGCGAGCAGACGUACCACAAGGGCAAGACGGAGCGUGGCCCAGAGUAUGAGGUGGCUCUUCUACCCAAACGCGGCAGUCGCCGGAAACAGCUUUCAAACGGCUCGGGGAUUUACAUCGAAGAGAAGAUGACAGCAUUGUCUGAAGAAAGGAACUGACCACUGCAUAUGCCAGUAAGCAGCUUGUGACAUCGUCAGUGAACUGCUUGCUAUAGUGAUACUUCACAUUUUAGCAGAGUACAGCGGAGAAUUAUGCCUCUAAUCUUUUUUUUUCUGAGGAGCUAAGUAUCUUUAUAUUAAAAAGAGAAUAUAAAUAGAAAAAAUCAGUCCAUUGGAAGCAACCACUCUAGCUCACCUAGGAGAAUAGAGAGAUUGCAUAAACAAGCGAAGAAAAAACCGUCACCAGACCUUGACCCUGCACGGCUGGACUAGGGACAUGCAUAGUAUAGAGCAGGGCUUGUGGUUAGCCAAACCGUUCUGUGUAUUGAUACUGCAAAUCUGUAUUAAAUCACACACACAUUAUACGUUCCGACAGAAGAACUAGCAAACAUUACGAUUAUACUCCCUCCGUUCUUAAAUAUAUAACGCUAUUGACUUUUUCAUUUGUUUGACUAUUCAUCUUUUCUACAAAUAUUUUUGCAAAUAGAUAAAUCUACGAGUUAAAUCUAAAGUACAUUUCACAAUAGUCAUAAUGAUACACAUUUUACUUUAGUUAACUAACUCAUUCAAUAGAUAUUGAUGGUCAAAGUUGGAGUAAAAAGCCAACAGCAUCAUAUAUUUAAGAAUGGAGGGAGUAAUUUAUUUCUGAAAUAAAGGCAGGAGAUGGAGCUCUGCUUAUCCAUUCAGAAAUUAGUACGAUUGAAUGAUUUUGUCUCCUUCCAGUUUUUAUUGUAAAACACAGAAUAUUACACGGAUAGGCACUGAUUGUUAUCCGGAAGAAAAUGAAUUUUUAUAUUUCAAAAGAAAAGGCCCAAUUUGCACCCUCUAGCUAGCACGAUAAUCCAAUUUUCAGCUAAACUGACCAUGGGCCGGCCCAAAGGCACAGGAAUUUGGCCCGGUCUAGGCAUGGCGGCCGUCGUGCUCGUGCUAACCCGACCCACACCAUGGGCCGUGCUUGGGCCGUUGCCUCAGCCCACGUACUGGUCCGGCACGGCCUGCCCAUUUGGCCCGUCGGGAUUAAGUGGGCGGCCCAUCCUAUUAAGGCCCACUCGACCGCAUAUAAAACCCCCCACCCCCAAACGGCCAAACCCUACCUUCCUCUUCGUGUCCCGCGCCCUUCGCCGCCGUCACCUCCCCCGCGCCCUUCGCCGCCUCUCGCGCCCGCCGGCCGCUCACGCCCUCCGCCGCUUCCCCCCGCCGCCUCCCUCACGCCCUCCGCCGCAUCCUCCCACCGCCUCCCUCGUGCCCUCCGCCACCUCCCGCGCCCGCCGGCCUCUCGCUCCCCUGCCACCUCCCCCGCGGCCCUCUGCCGCCUCCUACACCCGCCGGUCCCUUGCCGCAAUUGGGGAAGAUGGUGGCCUGCACGGCGGCGCGCGCAAACGUCCUGUCGUCCCUCGGCGGUGGGAGCUGCGGCACGAGUGGGCGCCUGGGCAGAUCCGGGAAAGGUCUAUGGGCGCCCUGACGACGAGGUGGUCGAAGUCAUCGGGGCUAUCGAACUCGACGACGACAGGCGCUACGGGCGUAUGAGCAGAGGAAGGGUGAAUUCUGUGCCGCAGGCUGGCACGAGCACGGUGAGGCCGUUAAGGCCUGCCAGGCCAGCGUGCCAGCACGGCCCACCUAAGAAGGCUGCGGGUCAUGCCUGGACCGCUCCUUCGGCACAUGGGCCGGCACGGCCUGGCACUAUUACCGUGCAAGCCUAACCGUGCCGGGCCUAACCGUGCCAGGCCAAAUCGUGCUCGUGCCAGGCCGGGUUGGGCUACCUGUUUGGCCAUCUAUACAUCCAACGGUUGAAACCAGAUAAAUUUUAUCCUUUAGCUGGUUUCAAAGAUGUUUUUUUGUUUUAUUAGACAUUUAAAAAAAAUCUGAUUUAAUCUUGUUGGGGGGAAAUAUUAACGAUCCCCUAAAUACCACUUAAAGGAGCAGACGCGAAGGCCCGGGCCCACCUAAGCAUAAUCAAAACUCCGCCUCGCCCGACCGCGGCCUCAGGGUCAGGAACGCCCGACCCCCCUCCACGAGGUUUCCGCCUCGUCCGACUGCGGCCCCAGGGUCGAAGGCGCCCGAUCCCUCGCCACAAGGUUCCGCCUCGUCCGACCCCAAGCGCAGGGGUCGGGCUCGCUGGGGCCCCCAGGGCAGGCAUCCCCCUCGGAUGUGGACCAGGUGGGCAAGAUAAACAAAUCUUGCGGGUCCCCCCCCCCAUCGGCCUCGUCAUAAAUGCGCUGCGGGCCUGGCAGAGGGAGGAAUGACCACGCUCCUCACACAACCCGCCGCAAGUACCCAUGCACGACCAUACUGUACAAGCUACAGCGCUGGCGGCUCACUCCCAUUCGCCGCAGGGUACUCAUGGCCUGCGCCGACCGGAGCGGAGGAGAGACUCGCCUGUCCUCGAGCCCCGCGCACCCUCGGGUCCCGUGCGCCUGGCAUCUAGGAUGUGACGCCCUCUCUCCAGGAGCCAUCAUCAGAAUGGCAGCAUCCACCGUCCUCCCCAACGGACACCGGGAUAACGACGAAACGCCCUCAUCAUAACCCGACGCCUACGGAUGCCGAAGGAGCUAUCUGUAGGGUGCAACGACAGUUGGCGCACGGCCGCCUCCCCCUCCGGCAUGCACGCCGGCGCUCGCCAGGAGCCGGCGGAGGCGUCGGGCGUCUAGGAACUUGUUCCUCCCAUCCUGCCGUAUUUUUUACCGUACUACGUUCACAUUUUACGGUCCUCUUCGCCCGAUCCCAACUGUAACUCUGGCCACUCCCCUUGCGAUAUAAAAGGAGGAACACAGGGCCGGAGGGGGGGAUCGGCUUCUUCCCCCUCAAGCCACAGCAUGCUAGUACGCUCCCUGAGAACAUAGGCUCAAAGAGACUUGGGACCAGUCCCUCUCUCGUCGGUCUGUAACCCCUACUACAGAACCCCGCGUGGGCAAUACGAGCAUCCACGAUACUGGACGUAGGGCUCCCUUUGCUCGAACCAGUCUAAUCCGUGUCUCCCACGCCACCAUCUGAGGCCUUACGCGCAUAAAAGAAAUUUACUAGUCUAAGUCUUGAUCCGCCAAUCUUGACAACGACAGUUGGCGCGCUAGGUAGGGGACCUUUGCGCAUACCCUCCCAGCCUCAGAUGGCCAAUUACGAUAGUAGCUUUGCUCCGGGCUCCCUGAUCCGAUUCGGGAGCCUGGACUUCCUCGCCACCGGGGAAGGGAUCAAGCUGAUCCCUGUCCUCAUCCUGCCCGCUCGCCCGCCUGCCCCCGGCCCCGCCGCCGGGACAGCGGUGAGCGGCCGCUCGCAUACCGGAAGGACCUCGCCAGGGGGACGGCCCUUCGGGCUACGCAAUGCCACGGGGGCCUACGGACGCCUCCUAGCGCGGUCCAUGACCGCGUCGCCCGCGAGCAACGAGCUCGUAGGUGCGACAAGGACGAUCUCCGACACCGGCUCCAGCAGCGGGAGCCCCCACCCCUCGCGUGAGUGCCUCGUGGUCGACGAGCACUCUGAGGGAUCCAACAGCAACGAUGCCGAGGAGAGACAAAGGGCUGCCCCUCGCGCGCCGCGGCUAUGACCGGAGCCUUACCAAGGGCACCAGAGUGCUCUCAGCAACGAGAGGCGCGCGCGGGCGCCCGCCAAGAAGUCGAGCACCCCCACCACGAGGGAGGAGCGCGACAACGGGCGCGAGACGUCCAGCGACGCAUCUGCGCGGAUGAAGAGCGUCCGCAGCUUUUCGCCCGCGCCAGCCAAAACGUCGCAGCCGCGGCGGUGUUGCUCCGACAGCUCCCCGAACCAGCGAUGCCCGAGGAGCGACGGGCACGCCAAGAGAUGCGCGACCUGCUCGAAUGCGCCGCCGUCCAGCAGGCGGAAAGCUCCGCGUCCCGGCGACGCGGGCAGAAUGCCAGCAGGGCGACGCCCGACGCGCCCCCGGAAAGGCGGGGGGAAUCAGUCCAUCUACCCCCUCCUGGGGCGAAUCAGGCCGCGUCCGCCCGACGGACUCCACCACCCGCGGGAGGCGAGGCUCGAUCCGUCCACCAGCGCGUCGGCCUCGUCCGCGACGCCCGCGACACCCUAAACGCGCGGAGACGCUCCCGCGCGGACAGGGAGGACGGGGUAGAUCGAGGCUACCACGUCCACCGUGGCGGGCGCUACGACAGCGGGGAAGACCGCAGCCUGAGCCCCGGUCCGGCUGGGCCCCGGGCCUUCUGUGCGCGCAUCCUGAACGCGCCUUUUCCGCCGCGCUUCAGGCAACCCAUGAGUAUAGCCAAAUACUCAGGGGAGACGAAUCCUGGAGUGUGGCUCAGCGAUUACCGGCUUGCAUGUCAAGCCGGCGGGGCGGAUGAUGACCUGUUUAUCAUCCGCAACCUACCCCUCUUCCUAGCCGACUCAACGCGAGCUUGGCUAGAACAUAUCCCUUCGGGACGAGUUCGCAACUGGAAUGACCUGAAGGAGGUUUUCAUAGGGAACUUCCAGGGCACGUACACACGCCCCGACAAUUCCUGGGACCUCCGGAGCUGUCGUCAGGGGGCGGACGAGUCCCUCCGAGAUUAUAGCCGGCGCUUCUCCAGGAAGCGCACCGAGCUCUCCAACGUCGCGGACGCCGAUGUCAUAGGAGCUUUCCUAGCAGGAACCUCCUGCCGGCCCCUCGUCCACGAGCUGGGGUGCCGAGGCCCGCGAACCACGGAGGAGCUCCUCAAUAUCGCCACUAGUUACGCCUCGGGCGAAGAGGCCGUUGGAGCAAUCUUCGACCGCUCCAAAGGCAAGGCGAAACGGGAGGAGGUUGCUGGCGAAGGCACCUCCAACCGCCAGCAGAAGAAGAAGGGCAAGUUACGGCGCGAGGCCCCCCUCGUGGCCGCAGCUGAGCGCAAGCGAGGGCCGCCGCCCCCCGAGGGCGCUCCCGGCUUCUUCGACAAGUUGCUUGAGGGACCGUGCCCGAACCACGAGUUCCCCGUGAAGCACGCCUACAAAGACUGCAACCUCAUGAAGAGAUACUUCAUGGGCAAUUCGGUGAAAGGCGACCGGAAGCGGAAGCCCGAUGAGGAAAAGAAGGGCGACGAAGAGAAGGAAGACGGCUUCCCCAAGGUGGACGGCUGCUUCAUGAUCUUCGGGGGCUCUGCGGCAUACGACACCAAGCGCCAGUAGAAGCUGGAGCGCCGGGAGGUCUACGCGGCCGAGCCAGCGACUCCGGCCUUCCUGGACUGGUCAGGGCCGGCCAUCACCUUCGACAGGACCGACCACCCUGGACGCGUCCGGCACCCGGGGCGUUACCCUCUCGUCGUCGACCCCAUCGUCGGCACGACGCGCCUCACCAAGGUGCUCAUGGACGGAGGCAGCAGCCUCAACAUCCUCUACGCCGAGACCCUCGACGCUAUGGGGAUCGACCGUUCCCGCCUCCAUCCCAGCAAGGCGCAUUUCCAUGGCGUCGUGCCAGGGAAGCAGGCGAUGCCUCUCGGGCAAAUCGACCUGCGCGUUACGUUCGGGACCCCUUCCAACUACAGGAAGGAGGUCCUCACAUUCGAGGUGGUGGGGUUCCGCGGAACCUACCACGCCAUCUUGGGACGGCCUUGCUACGCAAAGUUCAUGGCUAUCCCCAACUACACCUACCUCAAGCUCAAGCUGCCGGGGCCCAACGGGGUCAUCACCGUCGGCACGACCUUUCAGAAGGCGUACGAGUGCGACGUAGAGUGCUGCGAGUACGCCGCGGCCAUCACCGUCACGAGCGAUUCGGCAGUCCAGCUUGCGGAGGCCACCGAGGACCGGCCCGACUCCAGGCAGCCGAACAUCUCCUUCGAGCCCGCUGAAGGUAUCAAGGAGGUCCCCCUUGAUCCCGGUUGUUCCAACGGAGGAGUCGUGCGGAUCAGCGCGGCCCUAUCCCCCAAAUAGGAAAGCGCGCUCGUUGACUUCCUCCGCGCGAACAGCGACGUCUUCGCGUGGAAGCCAUCGGACAUGCCAGGCAUUCCGAGGGAAGUCGCCGAGCACUCCUUGAACAUCAGGGCCGGUUCCAAGCCAGUAAAGCAAGGAUUGCGCCGUUUCGACGAGGAAAGGCGCAAGGCCAUCGGCGAAGAGCUCCAGAAGCUUCUGGCGGCCGGGUUCAUCAAGGAAGUGCACCACCCCGAGUGGCUAGCUAAUCCUGUCCUUGUACCAAAAAAGAAUGGGAAAUGGAGGAUGUGUGUCGAUUAUAACGGUCUCAACAAAGCGUGUCCAAAGGACCCGUUUCCUUUGCCACGCAUAGAUCAAAUAGUCGACUCAACUGCCGGGUGCGAGACCCUCAGCUUCCUCGACGCAUAUUCCGGCUACCAUCAGAUCGCGAUGAAAGAGGCCGACCAGCUCGCUACCUCCUUCAUCACCCCCUUCGGUCCCUACUGCUACGUUAAGAUGCCAUUCGGCCUCAAAAACGUGGGGGCUACCUUCCAGCGAUGCAUGCUGUAGUGCUUCGGAGACCUCAUUGGGCGGACCGUUGAGGCCUACGUUGACGACAUCGUCGUAAAAUCCCGGAGGGGCGACCAGCUCGUUCCCGUCCUUGAACUAGCCUUCGAGAGGCUGAGGGAUAAGCGUAUUAAGCUCAAUCCCAAGAAAUGUGUGUUCGGAGUCCCAAGGGGCAUGCUGUUAGGCUUCAUCGUCUCCGUGCGCGUCAUCGAAGCAAACCCGGAGAAGAUAGCGGCCAUUAGAGACAUGGGGCCGAUCCGGAACAUAAAGGGAGUUCAGCGCAUCAUGGGAUGCUUGGCAGCUCUAAGCCGCUUCAUCUCGCGCCUCGGCGAGCGAGGGCUUCCUUUCUAUCGGCUCCUGAAGAAGACUGACCGUUUCGAAUGGACCAGCGAGGCCCAGGAGGCACUUGACCGACUCAAGGACCUCCUGACGAAGGCCCCGAUCCUAGUCCCGCCUACCGACGGCGAGUCCCUCCUGCUCUACGUCGCGGCGACCACCCAGGUGGUUAGCGCGGCCUUGGUGGUGGAACGAGAAGAGGAAGGACACGCUCUCAAGGUGCAACGCCCGGUGUAUUUCAUCAGCGAAGUCUUGUCCGAGUCCAAGACACGUUACCCGCAGAUCCAGAAGCUCGUCUACGCCAUCCUUAUCACAAAGAGGAAGCUGCGCCACUACUUCACCUCCCACCCGGUAACAGUCAUUUCGUCAUUCCCGUUAGGCGAAGUAAUCCGGAACCCAAAUGCUACAGGGAGAAUCGCGAAGUGGGCGCUUGAGCUCAUGGACCAGGGUAUCACCUACGUCCCCCGCACCGCCAUCAAGUCCUAGGCACUCGCCGACUUCGUGGCAGAGUGGACGGAGAUUCAAACGCCAUCGGCGCCAGAGAAGCAGGAGUAUUGGACAAUGUACUUCGACGGGUCACUGAUGAGGGCCCGCGCCGGAGCGGGUCUCGUUUUCGUCUCUCCCUUGGGCAUGCGCAUCAGGUACAUGAUCCACCUUCAUUUUCCUGCAUCUAAUAAUGUCGCCGAGUACGAAGCCCUCCUCAACGGACUCCGCAUCGCCAUCGAGCUGGGCAUCCGUCGGCUGGACAUCCGGGGCGAUUCCCAGUUGGUCGUCGAACAAGUCAUGAAGGAGUGGAGCUGCCACGACCCCAAAAUGGCAGCCUACUGCAACGAGGUCCGUAAGCUCGAAGACAAAUUCGACGAGCUAGAGCUCAACCACGUCGCAAGGCGCUUCAACGAAGCCGCCGACGAGCUGGCGAAGGCGGCAUCCGAAUGAAUGCUCGUCCCCGACGGCGUCUUCGUUAGCGACCAGUUGAAGCCCUCAAUCCGUUACCCAGAACUGCAGGGGUCGGCGAAGCACCCCCGGCCCUGGGAUCGGGACCCGAGUCAGGGGAGGUCGGCAGCGCGCCACCUGUCCGAGACCCGAGCACCAGCCCCGAGGGGGUCGACAACGCUUUGCCCAACUCGGCCCCGGGAGCCGAUCCGUCCGACCCCGGGGUCAUGGAAAUCACGGCAGAUUCCGCGGCGGGUGCCGACCCCCCGAUCGAUUGGAGAGCCCCAUACAUCGACUACCUCGUCCGCGACACGCUCCCGGCAGACAAAACGGAGGCCCGUAGGAUCGCGCGCCGCGCCAAAUCCUUCGCCAUCAUCGACCAGGAGCUCUACAAGAAAAGCCACACUGGAAUCCUCCAGCGCUGCAUCUCGAUCGAACAGGGAAAGGCGCUGAUCAAGGAUAUCCACGCCGGAGCCUGUGGUCACCACGCCGCGCCAAGGACCCUCGUUGGUAACGCCUUCCGACAAGGUUUUUACUGGCCGACCGCGGUCGCGGACGCUACCCAGGUAGUCCGCACCUGUGAAGGAUGCCAGUUCUUUGCCCGCCAGACUCACCUGCCCGCGCAGGCGUUGCAGACCAUCCCCAUCACGUGGCCAUUUGCGGUUUGGGGGCUAGAUCUCGUCGGACCCUUCAAGAAGGCACCCGGGGGCUUCACCCAUCUGCUCGUCGCCAUCGACAAGUUCUCCAAAUGGAUCGAGGCAAGACCGGUGGCGCAAAUCAGGUCCGAGCAGGUGGUCCAGUUCUUCACCGACAUCAUCCACCGCUUCGGGAUCCCGAAUUCCAUCAUCACCGACAACGGCACACAGUUCACUGGGAAGAGAUUCCUCCAGUUCUGCGACGACCACCACAUCCGAGUGGAUUGGGCGGCCGUGGCACACCCCCGCACGAACGGGAAAGUCGAGCGAGCCAAUGGCAUGAUACUCCAGGGUCUCAAGCCAUGGAUCUUCGACCGCCUUAAAAAAUUCGACGGACGGUGGGUUGCGGAGCUUCCCGCAGUCCUUUGGAGCCUGAGGACGACCCCCAGCCGGGCGACGGGCUUCACCCCGUUCUUCAUGAUCUACGGGUCAGAGGCCAUUUUGCCCACCGAUCUAGAGUACAGAUCGCCAAGGGUCAAGGCAUACGACGAACAGGGAAACCAGGCAUCAUUCGAGGACGCGCAAGAUCAACUCGAUGAAGCGCGAGACGUAGCUCUACUGCACUCGGCUAAGUACCAGCAGGCCCUACGGCGUUACCACAGCCGCAAGGUGCAAGGCUGAGCCUUCAACGUCGACGACUUGGUGCUCCGCCUCGUCCAAGACAACAGGGGUCGGCACAAGUUGACUCCCCCAUGGGAAGGCCCGUUCAUCGUCGUACAAGUUCUACGGCUGGGCACCUACAAGCUGGCAACUCCCGACGGGCAGGUUUUCAGCAACGCCUGGAACAUAGAACAGCUAAGGUGCUUUUACCCAUAGCUUUUAUUUCCAAGCCCUGCAUAAAACUUGUCUUCAAUUCCGAUAUUUCCUUUAAGCUCAGGGGUAUCCGACCCUGGCCUCGUUCCAGGGCCGCAUACCCCUCGGGGGCUACCAGUUUUGCUCCUCUGCGAAAAAAAAGAAACCCCGAGCCGUCUCGGUUCAGGCCUUUUCCUUUAAGCUCAGGGGUAUCCGACCCUAGCCUCGCUCCAGGAUCGCAUACCCCUCGGGGGCUAUCAGAGGUUCCGACCCCAGCCGCUCGGCCCUAUCUAAAAGAAACAUUUUUUCUUUUCAAACCGAACACUCCCUUUCUAGACCUUUGGGCGCAAAAAAGAGAAGGAUGCGCGAACGGUGCUCAGGCAAGUUUGAUCGGACUGCGAAAAAACCUACGCCCCAGCGGCUACGGCACCUUCGCUCAUCAAAACUUAAUGACGCACCCGACAACGCAUUCUAAACUUUCAAGCCCAAAGGAACAGCAAAGGGGAUCGGGAUCUUUCGCACAACGAAGUCAUAAACAAGCCUGUAUGGCCAUCACAAAAUAAGUUCGAAACUAACAUAAUUACAUUUUGGGCACAAGCCCGGUACAGUUAACUUGACGAGGGGUCGGCAGGAGGGAUGACCUCAUCUUCCAGGAGCUUCGCGAGGGCCUCCGCCGGCGCGGACACCGCUGCAUCAAUCCCGUCCAGCUCAGCUUCGGUGUAAUCAGCGGCGUACCCUUCACUCAUCCCGGCAAAGUUGAUGCCAGAAUAAUGGGAGCCGAAGACCCCGAAGGCUCGCCGCAUGCCGACGUGAAGCGCGUCCAUGGCGAUCUCGCGACGUCGACGGCGUACCCCAAGGACACGAGCCGGCAGAGAGCUCGACCCCUCCUCCGGAACUACGCCAAAGUCGUCACAGACGACGCGGACCGCAUCCCGCAAGGCGCCGUGCUCGCCGUGCUCCGCGUCGAGCAAACCCUUCAGCUUGGCGAUUUCGCCUGCAGGAACCACCCAGAAAAGCCCACCAAGUCAAGAACAGAACACAAAAUGUCACGGGAACGCGGGAACGGAAAAAAAAAGCCUCACCGUCGGCCCAGGCCUUCAACUCGCGCUCCCGGUCGGCUCCUUGAGACACGGCGGACUGGAGUCCCUGCACUUGCGAGCGAAGGCGACCAGUCUCCGCGCUAAGGGCUUCACGCUCCCCCCUCAGCUGUGCAAGCUCCCCGGCAUCACGACGGGCCCUCUCAGCGGCAGCUUGAAGCUCCUCGGCGUCGCGGCGGACCCUCUCAGCGACAGCUUGGAACUCCUCGUGGUCGAGGCGGGCUUUCUCGAUGACGGCUUGGAGCUUGGCCUCCGAUCACCGCGCCUCCUCCAACGCCGCCCCCUCACGCCUUUGCAGGUCCCGAAUGACCCCCUGGGCGGCAGUGACUUGCAGGGACAGGUCCCUGGUGCGCUCCCUCUCCGCGUUGAAGCGCUCCCAGAGACCCUGCUGCAGCCGAAGGAAAUCAGAUUUCCCCCGACUGCCCUCUUGGAGGGCCUGCAAAGCAACGUGCCAUUAGAAAAAAAAAAGCAAAAGGGAGGUGCUGAUCACCAACAGUAGGAGCAACAUACCUGGCUGCCAGGGAGGACGGUGUUACCCAGAACCCCCAACGCCGAAGACAGAGCCGCCUCAACGUGGGCAAGGCCGCCCUGCAUCGCCUGCCACUUGUGCCACUCAGUGGCGUCGUCCAGCGUGAAGAGAUGCCUCGGCGGGUCAUCGCGGGAUGACCAGCGAAGGACAGACCCCCUCCACGCCCUGGGAACGGAGGGAGCCGAGGCCGAGGCAGGGGCCGAUCCUGACGCUGCCGUCAAGGUCGGCACCAUUGCACUAGAAGCCGCCGAGUUUACUGACGGCCCCGGCACCUGCACGCUCGUCGCCGCCGAGGCCGCCGGCGGUAUCCCAGUGGGCCCCUCCGCCUCCGCCGCCGGAGCCACUCCCGCGGGGGUAAUUGGGGCGGAGGCCCCCGCCUCCGUCACCGUUGCCUCCGCCGCCGCGCUUUCGGGGGCAGGCGUUCCCUCCGCCACCGAUCCCGCCGCGGCUGCGGGGGCAUCCGCCCUACCUCCCGUCGCCGCCGUCUCCUCUGCCUCGUCGGCGUCGAAGUCGAUCACCUUCCCGGCCUGAGAACCCGGGGGGAUCGUGCCCUGCGCUGUAGGGGCGACUGGGGGGACCGAAGGCGGAGUAGGGUCCGCUCCCCCUCCCACGGCUGACACCGCCGUCGCUCCGCCGGCCGCCACCACAGGGGCCGCCUCCGCGGAGGGGUCCGCGGCCUCACCAGGGACCCCGCCGCUCGCCGCGGGCGGGACCGCGGUCCGCCCCCCAGAGGAGGUUGACAACCGCAACGCCUUCUUAGGCACCAGCUGCAGGGCAAGGCCACGAGGGGCGGCGCUGCAUAUCGACAAACAGACGUCAGCACAAACGAGCGUGAGAAGAGGAGAGGAACGAGGCGCAAGGAAGGCCAACUUACGUCCUUGAAGCACAAGGGCGGCGCGCGCGCUUCGACUCAGAGCCCGACGCCGACCCCGGGGCAUCUGGCAGCGGCCGCUUGUCGCCACUUCGCUGCUCUCCAGUCGCGGGCACGGCGGUGGAGGCAGUCUCUGCAGAUCUCCGAGGAGCACCCUGAGCGGACUCCUGGGGAGCGCCCCGCGCCGGCUCUGAAGUGGCGGCGGGGGCAGGCUCCGAGGACCCCCGAGGGGCGCUCCGCGCCAGCUUUGGGAAGGAGCCCCGUGUCGACCCCUGGGGGGCACCCUUCACCGACCCCUGGGGAGCGUCCCGCGCCCGCUCCUGGGAGGCACCCCGCGCCGGCCCCUGGGGGGCGUUCCGCGUCGACUCCUGGGGGGCGUCUCGUGCCGGCUCCGAAGCGGCGGCGGGGGCAGGCUCCGAAGACCCCCGAGGGGCGCUCCGUAUCGACCCCUGGGGGGCACCCCUUGCCGACCCCUGGGGAGCGUCCCGCGCUCGCUCUUGGGACACGCCCCGCGUCGGCCCCUGGGGGGCGUCCCGCGUCGUCUCCUGGGGACACGCUGUACUGGCCCCUGGGGCGCAGCCCCAGGGCCUGGUGGAGCCGAAGCCCGGGCGGGCGCCUCCUCCACUUCACCUCCCGCGGCCGUCCGCGGGGGUGCCUCACGAAUGGCGAGGGCGCCCGAUCGGAAGGAGGAAAUCAGCUCCUCCUCAUCAUCAUCUUCCUCAUCUUCAUCCUCUUCAUCAUCGUCGUCAUCAUCGUCGUCGUCGUCAUCGAACACGACCGACCCCCUCCGCCGCCGUUGGAACUCCUUAGCGGCCUUCUUCCUCUUCUUCGCCAUCUCGAUGUCCUUCCGGCGCUUCUGCGCCUCGGCGAGGAGACGGUUGUGCGUCCGCCGCUCAACAUCUUCCGGCACCGGCGGGAGCGAGUGCGCGACCCGGGUUAGCGGACCCUACAAACGCAAAGCAGCUCCACGUCAGAGUGACAAUCGCAAGACACGAAGAAAGGAGGAGGACGCCCCAACUCCUUACCAGAUCUAUGAGCCCGCAUCCGGGCGCAUCGGCGGGUGCCCGGGAAUCGGGUACUCGACGUCCUUGUCCUCCAGCGCCUCCCGAAUCCGUUGCCGGAUCUCGGAAGCGACGAGCGCACCCGUCGCCAAGGCGGUGCCCUCGGUCGGCGCGUCGGGGGUCAUGGCGGCAAGCGGUCGGAUUCAGAGCAUCAGUGGCGCCACCCGUCGGGUGUGGUACGCUCCGAUGACCCCGGCGCCGGUGAGCCCGUCCCGCUUCAGCCGCUCGAUGGCCUGCAGCAGGUCGAAGAACCGCUUCUUGUCCUUCUCCACUGGCCCGUACGCCCACACCUCCGGCGCCGCGUCGAUGGUACGGCCGGUGAAAGCCGGCAGGGGGGAGUUCGGGUAGUUCUUCACAUAGAACCACUGGUUGUGCCACCCCUUGUGGGACGCCGAGGUCUUCAUCGUCAUGUUCUCCUUGGAGCGGGUAUGACGAAGGUGGAUCCCGGCGCACCCGAUCGGCACCGGAGGUGACCGCUGCUGGCUCCCUCGCUUCUCCGUCUUCUGGUACAGGCUCACUGUGAAAAAGUAUUUCCACAGCGAGAAGUGGGGCUCAAUGCCUAGGAAUCCCUCGCACAGGGCGACGAACGCCGCAAUGUGCUGGAUCCCAUUGGGUUUGAGGUGCUGGAGCUCGAGCCCAUAGUAGUGGAGGAGCCCCCGAAAGAAGCGGCUCGAGGGAGAGGCGAACCCCCGCUCAUGGAAGUGAGCGAAGGAGACGAUGUAGCCAGAGAGAGGCUCCGGCACCUGCUCCGGGCCCGACAGCAACCACUCAGCCGCCUCCGUCUUCUCGCAGAGGAGGCCUUUUCGCACCAGGCCCUCGGCGCGCGAGGAGGUGAAAUGGGAGAUCCCCCAGGAACCCAUCGCCGGAGGAGGGAGAUCAACGGAGGUGAGAAGAAAGGGCACGGCUUGGAGCAAAGGAAACGAAGCGGGCACGGACAAACUGAACGCUAGGCUGGAGGGCGGAAAGGCUCGAAUGCAGAAGGCGGGCGGAACCGGCGCGGCGGGCUCCCGUUUUUAUAGGAAAGGUACGGGAGAAGCCAAAUCGACGCCCCGGCCGCCAUAAAUGCGGCGCCAGGUACGCCCCUGCCACGCCCGUUUCCUUUUCGAAAACCGCGCGCACGGCCGGCCGCGAAAACAUCCUAUCCUCCUCGAUUCGCGGGAUGGCGCUUCCCAUAACUCCACCUCCCGGAAGGCACGACGUCCCCCACGUUCGGCCCAGACGUCACGACCGCUCCGUUCUGGCCCAAGGCCCACCGAAAGGUAAGAAAGGGAUACGGGGCUGAAAACGCCCCUACGGCCCAUUACGGUCCAGAGGUUCGAAGGCUGGCCCACCGCGGGAUCGACAGCUGCCUCAGGAUAUCUCCCGAGCAAGGGGUGAGAAGGGACGGGUCCACUAGCGGCCAACACCCAGGCAAGCGAAAGCCAAGGGCGUCCCGACCUCACGUUCGAGUCCCGUCCGGUAUAAAGUUCAUGGUUUUUCCACGGGGAAAGGCAACGAGCCCCCGGAUUCGGCCGAACGGACCCGGGAACUAUAUGAACUGGCCGGCGGGAAAUUGUAGUACGCCACCAGCUUGGCCCGAGCCGGACCCCCCCGAACGGGGACCGGGACUCCACUCGAACCUACCUGUUCGCAGCUCAAAGCGAGCACCACGGUUCGUCCAACUAGGAUAACGUGGCACGGCUCAACCCCUCCGUCCUAGCGAACGGACGCUUGAGGGGCAACGACCAAAAGUCGACCUGGCCUCCCGACCGGUCUCCCGCAACGAGCAGGGGCUCGGGGGCUAGCAUCGCAACCAACGACCAUGCGUAUGGUCACGAUUCCCAGGCUCCCCGGCCAAACCGGGAUGAAGCAAGCGCACCAUAAACAAAAUCCACGGAGAAACGGCGAAAGAAGCCUCCGGAGGAGCACUUUUUGCUCCACCACAGGCUCGGGGGCUACUGUUGGGGGGAAAUAUUAACGAUCCCCUAAAUACCGCUUAAAGGAGCAGACGCGAAGGCCCGGGCCCACCUAAGCAUAAUCAAAACUCCGCCUCGCCCGACCGCGGCCUCAGGGUCAGGAACGCCCGACUCCCCUCCACGAGGUUUCCGCCUCGUCCGACUACGGCCCCAGGGUCGGAGGCGCCCGACCCCUCGCCACAAGGUUCCGCCUCGUCCGACCCCAAGCGCAAGGGUCGGGCUCGCUGGGGCCCCCAGGGCAGGCAUCCCCCUCGGAUGCGGACCAGGUGGGCAAGGUAAACAAAUGCUGCGGGUCCCUCCCCCGUCGGGCUCAUCAUAAAUGCGCCGCAGGCCUGGCAGAGGGAGGAAUGACCGUGCUCCUCACACAACCCGCCGCAAGUACCCAUGCACGACCAUACUCUACAAGCUACAGCGCUGGCGGCUCACUCCCAUUCGCCGCAGGGUACUCAUGGCCUGCGCCGACCGGAGCGGAGGAGAGACUCGCCUGUCCUCGGGCCCCGCGCACCCUCGGGUCCCGUGCGCCUGGCAGCUAGGAUGUGACGCCCUCUCUCCAGGAGCCAUCAUCAGAACGGCAGCAUCCACCGUCCUCCCCAACGGACACCGGGAUAACGACGAAACGCCCUCAUCAUAACCCGACGCCGACGGAUGCCGAAGGAGCUAUCUGUAGGGUGCGACGACAGUUGGCGCACGGCCGCCUCCCCCUCCGGCAUGCACGCCGGCGCUCGCCAGGAGCCGGCGGAGGCGUCGGGCGUCUAGGAACUUGUUCCUCCCAUCCUGCCGUAUUUUUUACCGUACUACGUUCACAUUUUACGGUCCUCUUCGCCCGAUCCCAACUGUAACUCUGGCCACUCCCCUUGCGAUAUAAAAGGAGGAAGACAGGGCCGGAGGGGGGAUCGGCUUCUUCCCCCUCAAGCCACAGCACGCUAGUACGCUCCCUGAGAACAUAGGCACAAAGAGACUUGGGACCAGUCCCUCUCUCGUCGGUCUGUAACCCCUACUACAGAACUCCGCGUGGGUAAUACGAGCAUUCACGAUACUGGACGUAGGGCUCCCUUUGCCCGAACCAGUCUAAUUCGUGUCUCCCACGCCACCAUCUGAGGCCUUACGCGCAUAAAAGAAAUUUACUAGUCUAAGUCUUGAUCCGCCAAUCUUGACAACGACAAAUCUAAAAAUCCAUAACUAAUUAAUUUUAAAUCAUAAAAGUUUGAAACUAUUACCCAUCAUCUUUUUCUAGAAUGUUACCUUUUAUGUUGGUUUUUUUGAGUUAUUUGCAUAUUAUUGUCCCCAUCUCUAGUGUUUUAUUGCUUGUAGUCAAACCUACUAUUUAUUUAUUGUUGUUUUGCAUUGUAUGAUUAUUGGAUGCUAUGCGAUACAAAGAUAAUUGUUCAACAACCAUAUGCAUCAUGAAGAAAUUUCCGGAUACGAUUGAUAUUAGUACAUUAUUAACUUCUUAUCAAGAAAUAUCAAUGAAGUGUUUUAUAUGAAUAUUUUUAAUGCACCUUGAGUUUUUGGAUAACCUUUUUCAUAAAAGUUAAUUAGAUGCAUUCUUAACUAAAUAAGCCAUUUGGUAAUUUUUCAAAAAUGUUUAUUUAGGUAACAGAAAAUUUAUUUAUUUAUUCUGGAAAAAGUUUUUUUUUAACGAAGUUAGCAAGGAAAGCACCUACCUAUUCUUUAAUUGUUAUUUUAGAUCCGUUUAAUUCGCUCCCACGAGAAGUUGAAUAUAGACCUGCAGGAUGUUACUCAGGUGCUCUAACCACUAGACUAGAGUCCCUUUCGCUUCUGAAAAAGGUUUUACAAAAAUCUUUUCCCUAUUAUCUUUUGUUAAGUCUGGGAUGUUGCCGCACGUGGGAAAGAAAGAACGGGAAACAUAGACCGAGACCGCUGCUGCGCCGCCACCAUGCUUCGCCGUUGGAGGGUUAGGGUUCGGGGUUUCGGGUUAUGGGUCAUCGAUGGCGCGGCUAUCUCCGAUGUGGCUGGGAUAUAUGGGAGGUUGACGGUGGCUAGGUAGCAGGCGGUGGUGGCGGGUUGUGUGCGGGAUGGCGGGACACCACCAGUUCCGAUUUGUGGAAGACAAUAGGUGGCCUCUAGAGGCAGCGGGGGAAUCUUGGUGAGCUUCCCGCGCGGGGCUGGGUUAGGGCGGCGAAGGAUGGUGGCGGUGGAUGUGGCAGCGCGAGCCGCCGGAGAUGAUGGAGGAUGGCGGCGCGGGCGCGAGCAAAGGAGGACAGUGCGAUGGUGAUCGAGGGUUGCGACCGGCGACGCCGGAUGCAGUGGCGAGAGCCGUCGGAGCUAGAGGAGGAGGGCAGCGCGGGGGCAUGGGCGUGCGCGCUCCUGGGCUGCCAUCACUGAAGGUGACAUUGGUGAUUUUUGUCACCUUCUGUGAUAUAUAGAUAUAGACAUGCUCUAGAUAGAGGACUCCUUGGAGAGACCCCGAGAAUGGAGAUGGGCAUUUGGAGCUCUUCCAAAAUAAGGAAUCUAGAGGACUUGCUAGAAUGCAUUUUUUUUGACUUGGUCCAUUGGAGUUGUUCUAAGCCAACAACUAUUAGCAUCCUUUUAGAUAACUCUGUUAAUCUGAAAUACAACAGUUUCCUACUUUAUGUAUAAUGAGUGUCAUUGCGUCACUACGUACGAGGUCUACUUUAUGGCGGAUCUGAAGGUGUGUUUGGUUGGGAUGUGGCUUUUGGAAAAGCUACUGUGAGCUGUGGGCUGUGAAAAAGUAGCGGGGAGAAAGCAGCUGUGGGAAAAGCAGAAGACCGUUUGGUUAGAGCAGCUACGAAACUGUAGGUUGUGUAAGAAAUACCUGUAAUGCCCCUAAAGGUCUGCGGGUGUGUUUACAUGCAAAUUGCUCAUAACAAAAUAAUGUGUUCACUAAUUCACAUGUAAAUGACUAUUUUAGAAAGGAAAAAAAAUAAAUUUUAUAUGUUCUUCAUCCAUAUAAGUGAUUGGUCCACAUAAAUAGAACAAUAUCCAUCAAAAGGUUUAUACAAUGAUGUCAUCUCUCAACAUUACUGUCCUCCUCUCGCACUAACCAAAGCAUCAACUAUCCUAGCAUGAAUGAUAUUCAUGGUAUCCUCAUUCUCCAUAUCGUCACUCUCAUCUCCUUGUGUUUGUCUCGUGCCACUUGUAUAUUGUACCAAGUACUCCUACAAAACCGAGUUAGUAAGGUACAUAAUAAUACACGUAUUUCUAACUUGAUGAAGGAAUCAUGUAUACCUUUAGGAGGCACGAGAAAUAUGUCUCAAAGCAUUGUCGAGAAAAUUGAAAGAAAAGAUGAUGAACAAAGGAGGGUCAAUUCUUGUUGCUCUUUGGACUAGAGGAUUGACGAUGAUCAUUGCAGUCCUAACAAUUCUCUUGUUGCAGAACAGAGUAGCAACUUCUGAGUAGCAUAUGAUUCUUACAUCUUCCAGGCGAGGUGGCUAGUGUGCUGGAUGAAGUUGAGGUCCCUUGGCAACCUGGCAAACGCCUCCGUCAUGUCUGCAGGCAAAAUUUCCAAAAAAAACAAGAAGAUUUCAACACCACCAACAAAGCAAGCAUGUAAUCACCUGAUUAAUCAAUCAGCAAACAAUUCACAACUAGCAAUCUGUAGAAAUUAGCACGCCAUUACCGUCCUGGGUGAUGAGCGGGUAGUCGGAUGCGUUGAGGUUGACGAACCAGUCCCAGCGGCGGUGAAGGCGGAGCAGCAACGCGACGGCGUGCAGCGUGGUGGUGAGCAUGGUGGGGCCCCGGUAGGUGACGAGGUUGGGCCUGCCGACGAUCCACACGUUGCCCGCGAUCGCGUACACACCCCACCUGGACAUGAGCUCUGCCAGCCGGCAGUGCUCCUCCCCUGGACCGCAGGUAGUUGUUGGCCGGGUGGUACAGUGCCGCCAGCAGCCGCAUCGUGCGGCCCACUUCCCCUGAGGAUGCCGAGAUAAGGUAUGCGAACGAGAUCGGGUACCGCGGCGCCUCGCCGGCGGCACCGUCGAAGGCGGCCAACGAUGAGAGUGUUGACGUCGGUUUUUGACACGUGUCAGGGUCGACGUCAAGAGGAGAAGAAAGUGGCUGAUGCGGUUAAACAAGAAGCUAUGGCUAGAGAAAUCAGUCAGUAAAGCUAUAGUGUUUCAGCCGAUUAGCUAAUGAGAUAGAUGAAGACUGGCCGAUUGGAAGCUAGAAAAGCUCGGCCGAUAUGGGCCUAAAUGGGCCAAGGUGGUAACAAGAUGAAGAUAGGAUUGGCCCAUAGAGGAUUGGAUGGUGUUCGACUCCGAUACAAGUUGUAUCCGUAUGUAAAUAUUUGUUGCUUUGAAUAAGAAAUAGAAUAUUGAGUCAUAGUCGGUUAGGAAACGAGUUGUAACAGGGUAUAAAUAGGUGCCCCGUGAGGCUGGCAAAAACAUCAACAAACAUCAAUACAAAUCUACUUUUUCAUGCAACUUUACUUUCAUGUCGGCGACUUUGCCAAACCCUUUUCUUUUCACGAGUUCGUGUGAGUUGGCAGGGCUGCAUCAACGUGAUCUCCGAGCAAUUUGUAAGUUCCGCGUUUCGAGUAAUAUAUAAGCUUUAACUUUGGGCGUAUCGCUGUUGUUUUGUUUAGAUUUAUUCACUAGUUAUCGAUAUUUGCUAGAAUUAUAGGUUUUAUUCUCCGGUGGAAAGAUUGUGCCUUUGCCUGUAUUUCUCUUGCACUAAACUCAGGCGAUACCUAUUAUCGGCGGAAUGUGUGGUCGCGUGUAAAGUUGAUGUUGUCAAGUAUAUGUUAUCACUGCCGAUCUUGAAGGGAAGGAUUGGAAAAUGUAUUCUGGCACUCUCAGAAUUCGAUCUCAGGUACGAAUCGGCCAAGGCCGUCAAGGGUCAGGUAAGGCUGAUUUCGUCACCCAACACUGUGGAUCAGAAAUUACUGUCGUUGAGCCGGCUCCAUGGACUCUGUACUUCGAUGGAUAUUCGUGUGGGAUUGGAUCAGGAAUCGACAUAAUUCUUAUAUCGCCUCGGGGGGCAAGUUAUGAGUUCUCUCUGCCGAUUGAGGCUUCCGCUACUAAUAAUCAAGCAGAAAAUCGGGCUGUCUUAAAGGGCAUCCAAUUAUUGAGGGAGGUCAAGGCUGACGUGGUAGAAAUAUUUGGGGAUUCCAUGAUUAUCGUGGAUCAGUUGAUUGCAAAGUGUGAGUGCAAGGAUGAUAUUCUAAGGAUUUAUUAUGAGGAAUGCCUCCGGUUGCUCAAAGAAUUCAAGACCGUAACUAUUGAACAUAUCCCUAGGGAUUACAAUGAGGAAGCCAAUAGACUUGCCCAGCACGCUUCUGGCUACUGGCCGAUUCAUGGCGCUUUCGCUCUAGAGCUGGCGGCCGACAACUGGAGGAAGGAGAUCGCCGAUUAUUUAAAGGAUCCAUCCAAGAAAGUUGAUCGGCAGAUACGCUUCCAAGCCACAAAGUAUGUGUUACUUGAAGAUGAAUUGUUUUAUCGGACGAUUGAUGGAGUGUUUCUCAAGUGCCUUAGCAUUGAGGAAGCAAAGAUUUUGAUGGGUGAGAUUCAUGAAGGUCUAUGUGGGACCCAUCAAUCGGCUUUCAAGAUGAAGUCGAUGAUUAGAAACAAUGGGUAUUACUAGCUGACAGUACUUGAAGAUUGUUUCAAAUAUUAUAAAGGCUGUCAGGAUUGUCAAAAAUUUGGCAACGUGCAACGAGCCCCGGCCUCGGCUAUGAACCCGAUAUUAAAGCUGUGGCCAUUUAGAGGCUGGGUAAUUGAUCUCAUCGGUUAGAUCUAUCUGCCGUCAAGCAAAGGGCAUAAGUUCAUAUUGGUGGCGAUUGACUACUUCACCAAGUGGGUUGAGGCGGUUCCUUUGAAUGUUGUGAUGUCGGCCAACAUGAUCGAAUUCAUGAAGGAGCACAUCAUUUAUCGAUUUGGUAUUCCUCAGACCAUCAUGAUUGAUCAGGGGUCAAUGUUUACCUCAGGGAGUUCGAGGAGUUCACUGCCAGUAUGGGAUUAAGCUGUUGAAUUCUUCUCCGUAUUACGCUCAGGCCAAUGGUGUGACGACCCCGGUUAAAUCUUUCGAGUUAAUCUUAAUACGAGCCCCAAAAUUCCUCUGUCUCAGUUUUUCCCGAGCAGGAGUGCUCCACUCCAGUUCCUGUUCCUGACCCGUGAAGACUCUAACUCACCCCGCCAGUUCCUUUUAAGUCUCAACAACAGUGUCCCUUUCAAUCUUGAACAGAGGAAAGACCGAGACUGACGGAUGGACCCGCAAUCUUUUCCCCGGAUCUCCCGAGGCAUACGCACUCGAGCGGCCUGCACCGCUUCAGAGCUCCCCCGCCGCGUGGCUCAACUUCUCCGACGCCCGCCGCUUCACCCAAUCGCCGGCCGGGACAGGAUAGAUUCUCACGCCCUCCUCCCCAAUCGCAGCGGAAGCCCCUCUGCAACCCUUUCUGCUGCGCCUCGUCUCGCUCGCGCCCUCGCCGGCCGCGCCUUGGUGCUCCGACACCGCUGUGGCAGAGCUUUGCCGCUUGCUGCAUCCAAACUACCUCGCAGCUCACGCCCGUCAUCAUCUCACUGGAUCCCCGACUGCAAGGCCCGAUGCCUUCCGACUUUUCCACCGCCUCUACACAGUCGCGCUCGCCUGCGCAGCCGCAGCCUGCCUAUCUUUUCACCGGUUGCAACCUCGCUUGUAGCGCCGUUCUCCCUGUCACACCCAUCAGAUCCGCCGCAUGACGACGCCCGCCUCCGCCAAACCUCAACUACCGGCAAAACCGCGCCUGCGCCGCCUUGUCUCCCGUGCCCAAUAGCCAAGGACCCUAUCUCCGAAAUCCUGUUCCGCCGCCCAUCGACGCCCAGUCGCCGCCAUGGCAGCGCACUCCAUCCUUUUCUUCCGGUCUUCGUGCUACUCCAACUCCCUCUCUCUUUCGCGCAGCUAUAAAAAGGAAUGCCAGAGCCCUACUGGAGAUCCCUUCACCAUCGUUGCCUCGCCGCCUUGUUCCUGAGCGCCGCCACCUAAGUUCUUGAGGAACUCUCAUCUUCGCUCAACACCCGCCCCUCCCAAUCCACCAAGCCGCCUGCUCCUCCACGCUAUGCUAGAGCUUCCUUGUUGCUCACAAGAAGCUCCGCCGCCGCCGGAGCACCGCCGGACAUAGCCGCCACCAAAGCCUUAGUGCUUAAGACCUUCCGCCCAAGUCUACUCCUUCCCGACCCCAAAGCUUCACCUAUAAACCAAAGGUAAGCUGCCGACCCCUUACCGGUUCGCCCGACCCUACCUGUUCGCCUGACCCUACCUGUUCGCCCGACCCCUCUUUCCAUCUCGCCCGACCCUGUCUGUUAGCCGGCCCUUAUCUUCUUCGCCCGAGGACUCGGCUGUACUCUUUUCCUUGACCCGAGGGUAUCUGUGUAAGAUUUCGGGGACUUCUCUGUAAUAGCUUUGAGGACCCCAAACACAUUAAGGCUUAUGGGUCAGAUCAUAAGUUCUUCCAAUUCGACCCUUGGUCUUGUUCUCUAUCCACUGAAGCUUGAACCCCCACACUCUUUCCGUAGCUUUGCUACAAGUUUCUGGGCUAAGACUUGCGAGUGUUGCUGUUGAAAUAACCGUCUAGACACUAACUCCAGCAUUGCAUUCGUGUAGAGUUUCAUCUUGCUGACGGCGUCUACGAACUACACCCGGUGCCAGAAGACGGAGCUGUAGCUGAGCUACCAGUUCCAGAAGCCGAAGUCGCACCAGCUGAAGACCCGCUUCCCUCCCCUCCACUUGAAGGCAAGUCCCGGAGCAUGAACCCCAAAGUUUCCCAAACUUGCGCAUGCCUUCUUUCUCAUGUUUGUGCAUUUACGUAUAGGAGUUGUUUGCAACCUUAGAUGCAUGGUAUAGUUCCUUGAUCGGAACACUAGUUGUUGAAUCGAGUAGUUGCUAUGCUUAAAUAGGAAGUGGUAAAAGUCGAGUGAUUUCCUGUCACUCGCGAGUUAUAGGAGUUGGUUGUUCUCCUUCUGUUACAACUAUAAGGACGAUGGAUGGGGCAAGGUUUUGGUUAACUCUUUUGCUAGUCGGCUGAUCCCCCCGUCUGUCUAUGGAAUCUGUUAAGGCCCGAUAGUGGUGGUGUUCGUGAUCAAGUGUUUGAAAGUACUAAUCUCAUACCUAGUAUGGGAUGGGGAAGCCUAGUACCUGAUUGAACUAGGGCGUGGCUUAUACCCCUGCUGUCCCUGGAACGAGGUUCCCAUGGUGCAUCAUGUGGGUGCAAGUGCGGUCACAGUACGGUAGAGGCCGGGAUUGUGGAGCAUUGCAUGCCAAGGGAAGUUGGACCUGACACGUGCCUGGGAAUUGAUGGGGACGGCUGACACAGGAAGCGACCCUUGUGGUGCGCGGAUGUCGUGAGAUUAGGUUUGCCAUGCAUGGUUAAGAAACUCGAAGGAUUCGUCUGCCUCUCACAGUUUGAGACUGCUUGAUCGCUAUGCUACACUGAUUAAUGAAAGAGUCUGAUGAUGACAUGGUCUUGAUGAGUAGCUUAUAUACAUAAAGUUGGAUCUAUGUUUGCUUAGAGUAAGAUGCCAACGUAGACUGGUUAAUGAACUUAGAAUUUGAGCUAAAACUUGAAAGCAAGGACCUAACGUAGUAGCUUUUGGCAAACAAAACCCCUCAGCCAAAGAGCCUUGCAUGUCUAGACGUGGUGGAGUAGUUUUACCACCGGUCGGUUAAGUCUUGCUGAGCGUAGCAGCUCAACCUUGUUUGUGGCUUUCUUUUCAGGUGAAGUCGCAGCUCCUGAGUUUGCUUCCGUUGGCACUUGGCCGCCCCAGCUCCCUCCGGGUUGGACGGUUGAGUGGGAUCCUUCCUCGGACGGUGAGGAGAGGGAUCAUUGAUGUCCUGAUCGGCCUCAUUAGGGACAUCCGACCCUGGCGCUAGCUUCCGCUAAUUUAGCUUUCCGCUGCUUUUGAAUCUUGUAAAACUCUGAUUUUUGUUUUUAUGUUGAACUAAAUUGUCAAACUUGUUUAACUCAGUGGAUCUGUUGUAUUCUCUGAAACCGCUCACCUUCGUGUGAGUUUCGCUAAUCCGGUCCUGUAAGUGGUUUAAUCGGAGGAAAUCCGACGGCCCUUCGAGUUAACUUGACUAAGGCAUAAGUGUCGCGUGUCAGGCGACUUAACAAUGCUUUAAUCAAGGUAAUCCGAGGUGGUUCCACCACAAAUGGUCAGGCCAAGUCAUCAAAUAAGGGGGUUAUUAAACUGAUUAAAAGGAAGGUCAAAAAACAACCAAGACGGUGGCAUACAACGCCGAAUGAGUCCUUAUGGGCUUAUCGGAUGGCUUGCCGCGGUGCCACCAAGGUGUCCCCUUAUCAGUUAGUAUAUGUGCAUGAAGCAGUAUUACCUUGGGAGUUGAAGACUGGGUCUAGACGUGUGUCACUUCAGAAUCAGUUGUCGGUUGAUGACUAUUCCGCCCUCAUGAGGGGAGAAUUGGAAGAUUUGGCGAAUCAACAGCUAAGGGCUUUGAUCAGCAUUGAGGAAAAUAAGAAAAGAGUCACCAGGUGGUAUGACAAGAAGGUCAAGGUCAAAAGGUUUUCCCAAGGGGAUUUAGUCUGGAAGUUGGUUCUGCUGAUAGUAUGGAAAAUGGUCGCCCACUUGGGAAAGGCCAUAACGGAUUAGCCAAUGUGCUCUAGGCAAUGCAUACAUACUGGAGACUUUUGAGGAAGAAGAAUUUACAAGGGCCUUGAAUGGAAGAUAUUUGAAAAGAUACUACCCUAGUAUAUGUGUAGGCGCUUAGCCGAUGAUGUGGCAUAACGGGCUUUCACGGUCGACGCGUACUGAUUCGUGUUCAUAUAGCCGAUGCAAGGGGCAUCGCCUUAAGAUUGAAAGAGGCGAAAUAGUGUAUAUAUAACUAAACCGAUCAUUAUUCGGUACACCAACUAAAUAUAUGGCCGGCAUGAUACAAGUCGCCCUUAGAUAAAAAGUACCGACACAGUUAUGGGUUACAACGAUUUAACAACGUUUCAUGUGAGCUUUAUUCAUAUCGAUUUCUUUCUGAAGUCGAUCCAAUUCGAUCUGGAGUCGGGCGUUCUUCUCCUCUAGUUCUGCCAUGUCAUCUUCAACAGCAACUUGACAGGGUAACAGAUGGCUUCUUUCGACUGAUUGCCGUGGUUGCCUUCUAGAAGCUUUAGCCUCGAUGUCAUCCACAAUCCUCUUGAUAUUCACGGGGAGGUGAUCUCUGAGUUCCUCACGAUGAGUUUGGAUCAGGUCUUUGUCAGCCUGAGUGAGCGGUUCAUCGGAGUGGAGGAUCUCAAUGGCUCGUUCAAGAUCACGGCUGAGUCGGUUUGGCUACGAGAAGAAUUGAUGAUCAAUUGACAGAGGGAUUGGUCGAGAGAUAGGAGAUUGACUUCGUACCUGAUUGACAGAGGAGGAGGAGGCCAUCUUGGUCGCUCGAUCGAAGAUUUGUAAGCGCGCGCAAGGAAUGGUUGAGUGGGUGUUUUGCGAAUGCCUUCAGAAGGGAUGCGAAGGGUUUGUACUUAUAGAACAGAAUGGCAAUGGACAAAGGUCGGUAAAAGGAGGGCAUUUAAAGAAAGCGACCGUUGAGUCAUAAAAGCUACGUGAGGACUGUUCAGACUUGCAUUUCAGACAAAAACGCCAAAAGUAUCAACGUUACACAAGAUGUUCAAAGGCUGGUUGAGUUCGUUACAACUAUCCGAGGAGAUUGUUUAUGGUCUCAAUCGCUCGCAGGCGAACUUGGUUGGCCACCUCCAACACUCGCCGAUCAUCAUCGGCUGAUCCUAAGACUUCUGGCGCAUUGCGAUGAAGAUGGAUGGCCUCGUGAGUGAGGGAUUGUCUUUCUUGUUUAAAAUCAACGAUGGCGGUUGGAAGAUCUUCAAGUUUCUUUUCUUCGGUAGCGAUAGCCUUUACGACCAGUUCCAUCUCCUUGGUGAGCUCUGCUCUGCGCCAUUUGAGUUGGUCUAUUUCACUGAUGAUGCUUGGAUGAGAAGUCUCAUGGAGACCGAUCUACCGAUGUACGUGUUGUGCACGGUGCUUGUAGGACUCUUCUUCUUGACGCACCAUCUCCAAUUUAGCACGGUCAGCCAUGUGUCGCAAGGCUCUAAACACCGGGACCCGCAUGGUUUCGAUAUAUGCUGCGGGUGUGAGAACCUCUUCUGCGUCUUCUGGGACUUGGCCUUUGAUCUCGUUGAAAAUCCACCGUAUCAGUUUGGCAUCUUCCACCAAUCGACCGAUGUUUUCCUGAAGAAGGGUUCGCAUGUUUUGGAGCUUGGCACGGACAUCUUCUGGUAUUGAGCUCAGAGUUAUUUGGCGUGAUGCAACUUCUUCGUCAUCAGAGACCGCAAUUGCAGAGGAGAAGAGGCUUUUGUUUGGCGUGUCUUACUCCUGCAGGGAUGUGGGAAAGUGUUUUAGCCGAUAAAAGUAAAAAAUCGGCUGGUAGAUAUAGAAGGUUCUUACCUCCUUCAAACAAAUCUCUUCUGCUUGGGUUGGCAGAGUCGUUACUCCCACCUCAGAAGUUUGCGGAGGUAGCUCAUUAGAGGGGGAAGACUUGACAAUGAUCGGCUCUCUAGGCGUAGCUGAUAAUGUGCUUGGACCAGCCUCCUGGAAAAGGAACAAAGGAAUCAUUUUUGAGUAUAAAAUAAUACUGGAUCUAAGUAGAAGUCUCGGUUUUCUUACCUCUCGGACGCGCGCAGCCAACGGUAGCACCAGGGGAAUGACUGACGUAUCUGGAGCGUCCUGUGUCAAGAAUCGUCUGAUUUUAGUUAUCAGAACUGUGGAGACUAAGGGAAGAGCAUGUUCUUUACCUCAAUUUGAAGAUUUGUAGGUAACACAAUUUUAGCUUGAGAAUCGGCCAAUUAAGGAACAGUCUGCUCUAGGAUAGGUUGUACGGCCUGUUGAAAAGAAACAAAUUUAGUAUUGGUGAUACAUAUGAAGAAGUCAGAGCAGAAAGAUUACUCGUGUAGCUUUCACCAAGAGUAACACAAUCGCCGACCCAGCCUCUGAUGCUGCUAGGGGAUCAAUGUCCUGAAUUGCCGACAAUACAUCUGCUUGGAUUGGUGCGGCUGAGGGCUCGACCGAUGUUGCUGCCGAUUGGUGGGUUGUUCGAGUUGUCGUAGAUUCAGUACGAGCUCAUACCCUGCGACUCGUCUUCUUUGUGGUGGAUAUUUUGAGCUUAUGCUUCAAUCGGUUGGUGGCUAUGUCCUCCAUUGAUGGGGCGUGAUAGCCGAUGAGAGGGUACGGUGUGUACGGAUGAUGGGUCUGUAUCAGUCUGCCACUCUAACUGUGCGUUGGAGGCACUUGGCUAUCAACCUGUGCAGGGUAAAAGGAUAAUGAUAAGAAAGUUCUGCAACAUGUGAAAAUUAUUGGUAAGGAAUCGACAAAAAAGUAUUGUUACCUCUGCAUUCGGAUCAGUGUGAGCGGGGUCCAGUUGAUUGCAAUACACUGCAGGGGCCGCACAGGAAAGGUACUGUUUCCACUCGGCCCACCACAAUUUGAAUUGUUGAGUGGAGAAGGGGACCACCAGCCAAGCGCUCAGAUCGAUGGUGUCGGAAUCCGGUGUCAGAUUACACAAUCUGUUGUAUUCCAGUCCUUUUGAAAUCGGUUCUCAAAAUUUCACUCGGCCGACGAAGUGAAUCCGAUUGGUAUUUGUCCCAAGCCAAAUUGCCGAGCUGCUACCGACGGGUUAUAGAACUCAUAUGUUGGAGAGUCCUUGCCAGAGAAGAAAUUUGCCGGUAGAAUCCCAGGUUGAUCAGGGUGUCCAUGAUUCCUUCAUCGAAGGUAUCGGUAGCCUAGUCAAAACAGUCAGGAUUCUAAAAAGUUGGGUUCUCUCUCUGAUAUGGAUACCAAUUCGUCACCUCUUCUUUAAAGCUGUUGUAAAAGCAUCUAAAGUGCUCGGCUAUUCUUGAGGGGGCAAGCUUGCCGCCUGGGAAAGUGGAUACGGCUUCACUAAAGGAAGUACAGCGGCGUCUGGCCAAUGGGUCGGUUUCUGAUUUAACAUUAGGAAAGUCUUGGUCUCAAUCCGCUCCUUGAAGAUUUCGCUCAUAUAUAAGUUGAGCUAGAGAUUGACAAACCACCAAGGACCACCAGGAUUCCUGAUAGGUUCUCCAGAUGAUAGCUUCACGCCGAUGUGAUGCAGCAUGUAAUACACUGACCCUAGUAGAUGCUUUCCCAAAGGGACUGUGGCUCCUCUAACUAGUGCUUCGGCCAAAGCCUGUGUGUUGGAAGUAGGACUGGCUAAUUUACCACAGAAGACAUACCUUUCCUGCCACAUCAUCAAGAAGGUCGUGUGCUCUUUUUCUGUGUUGGGUCCGGUCCUCAUGUUCUUCUCAAUGUAGCCUUUCCAUGUGCUGAUGGCUUUCGUCUCCAGCCGAUGGGUGGGUUUGAUUAAGAAAUCGAAAGGUGAGUCGGUGGAGGAAACAUCGAGGCCAGUCAGCAUCAGAACAUCGGCCAGGGUUGGAGUCAUUGGCCCAUGGUCGAAAAGAAAUGCAUUGAGAGCAUCGGACCAAAAGUAAGAUGCCGCGAUGAGCAGAGAUUCUUUCUUUUCCAUAUGAGAUAGAGAUAAAUUUCUGCAAUGGCCGAUUUUUCGCUCAUCCCAGAAGACUCUGUUGGAAUUUGACAUUCUAAAAAACCAAUCUCUCCAUCCGGGGGUUUGAUUCGGCCAAGACUUGAAAGUGUUCGCCCAAUUGUCUAGUUCCAUGGUCGAUUGCUUAAAAGGGAUCCUGUGAGUUUCUAGUUUAAUCAGAUCGGUUGGGUUAGGAUCUCCCAUAGAGCCAAGAUCGAUGAAUCCAGGGGUGUUGGCCAUGGGAUGGUGAUUCUUUGCCUGAGUUCUUGAGCAAAUGCGAAGAAAGACUAAGAACAGAUCUAAAAUCGCGAAAAGAUGAGGAGAGCCUAGAAGACUUACCUCAGGAACGAAGGUCAUGGUAGCUAUGGGUGCCACCAUUGGAGCUUGGGAGUUGGUGCGGUCGGUGAAGGACGUGAGCAAGUCACUGGAGUGCGCUGGGAUGUGCCUAGAAGUGGCACGAGCAAGGUCGCUGGGGUGUGCCGGGAGAUGAUUCGCUGGAAAGGAAACCCUUUUCGCCCGGAGGAAGAUGAAGCGGCGGAAGAGAUGAGUAUCUGCACGAUGACUCGGGAGAAGGGUAAAUAUGAAAUUUUUACCACGCCGUCUGCGCUAAUUUCGAAAGGAGCGGUUGCCUACAGGUGCUCAGUUCGAAAAAAUGCAAUCAUCAAGGAGAAGAUUUCGGGAGCAAAGAGGGUUUUGCUGCAUUUAUUGUUGCGUCUUUUCUGAAAGAAGGAAUCAGAGUUGAGAAAAUUUCGGAGAAAAAGAUAUGUUUCACUAUGAAGCUGGGAGGCAUGUGUUGAUGCCAGUUUUUAACACGUGUCAGGGUCGGUGUCAAGAGGAGAAGAAAGUGGCCAAUGCGGUUAAACAAGAGGCCAUGGCUAGAGAAAUCGGUCAGUAAAGCUAUAGUGUUCUGACCGAUUAGCUGAUGAGAUAGAUGAAGACUCACCGAUUGGAAGCCAGAACGCUGGAUUUUGACACGUACUUGAAAUCGGUGUCAAAGAAGGAGAAAGGGGGGCCGAUGCGGCGGACUAGAAGCUACAGUUGGGAAUCGGCCGAUUGAAGCUACAAUGUUUCAGCCGAUUGGCGGAAGAAAUUGGUGGAGGCUGGCCGAUUGGGAGUCAAAGCAGUUUGGCCGGUUUGGGCCUAAGGUGGGCCAGGAUGAAUAUUUGCUGAAGAGACAGGCCCGUGGGAAAAUAAUAACCAACUCGAAUACGAGUCGUGUUUGUAACUAUUUGUUGUCGUUUGAAAUUAGAGAUAGAUUCUAGUCGGUUAGGAAAUCAGUUCCAACACGCUAUAACUAGCUACCUCGAGAGGCUUGUAAAAAAAACAACACAUCAAUCAAUACAAAAAAAAUUACUCUUUCCUCGUACUUUACUUUCAAGUCGGCGACUUCGCCAAAACCUUUUUCUUUCACGAGUUCGUACGGAUUGGCAGGGCUGGAUCUACAGGAUCUCCGGCCGAUUCUGUAAGUUCCACUUAUCGAGUAAUACUAAGCUUUAACUUCGGGCGCAUCGCUGUUAUUUUGUUUAGAUUUAUUCACCAGUUAUCGAUAUCAACUAGAGUCAUAGGUUUUACCUGUUAUUUUAGUUUUUAUCACCAAUUAUCCAUCUUGAGGUACGAACUGUCGGUUUUUAUUAUUCUUAUCCUUUAUCAUCACAUAGCCGAUUAGAUCUACUCCAAGUUUUGCUUCUGUAGUGUUGUUUAGGUUGCUGUAAAAGUUUUCCUUAUGAUUGCUACAUGAGUAUCGGCUGUCUUAUAGCCGGUCAUCUCUACGGUAAAUCGGCCGAUUCGCUGAUACGCUCUUCAAGACAGAUCGGAACUCUAGCCGAUCGAAACCCCUAGAAUUUAAUAUUCUUCUUUCCAUGUCAAUCAUUAGGUCAGAUUGACUGGCAUGCCGCGCGAACCGCACUAGGGCAAUAACUCGAACAGGAGCUAAGUAGAUUCUCCUGGGUCGUGUGUCCGACGCUGAGGGUCAUCGGCCAAUUUUCAGCACCAACACACUUUUGGCAUGCCCGGUGGGACCAAACAAGAUCCAACAUGUCGAAGGCUGCUGAGAUCUUUGAAGAUAACGUCCUUGAAGUCAUUGAAGAAAAUCUCAAGGACGAUCAGAAGGAGGAACUGGCGAGGGCUAUAGAAGAAUACAGGAAGACAUGCCUGCAAUCUUUCAUUCGUACCAGAAGCGGGGAGACAGUCAAGAAAGCUCCUCUCUCCACUUCCCGCCAAAUCACCGUCAUCGAGGACUCAGGGAAGAUGUCUGAGAUGAUUCAACAGUCCGUUUAUCAGGCUAUGAUUGACCAAUCCACGGUGAUGACCAACACUGUAUACAACGCCAUCAUCAGCUCCUUGGUUAGCGGCGUAGCUCAGGGGUAUCAGGGACUAGCGUAUGCUCCUCCCAUCGUGGCACCGAUCAGAGGCUUCUUAGCAGCGCCAAACGUGUGUCACUCGACUCCUCAACUAAUGCAGAUGCAACGUGGAGGGUACUACACUUCAAUGCCCCUGGGGUACAAUGGUGCAUCAUUCUAUCAAUCGCAAGAACCGUCUCAUCCUAUGCCAAUUUCAUCCAUACAAUCGCCGCUCUCAAACUCGGCGCCAUGGGGGGUAGCAGCAGCAACCGCCGGUCUGGAUCCGUCAACCAGUUAUGGAAAGUCUCCAGUCCAGGCGUUAUUCCAAUCGGCCGAGGCCGAUAGCCCCGCAAUACCAAACAACCACUUCAGAUAUCGGCAGGAGGACAGGCGCUCUAGAAACACUCAGGGUUGCGGCGUCGAUAAUAUUGUACGAUGAAGUGACAGAUACACUAUGUCAGCAGCCAUCGGCUACUCAGCCGACAACCCAGCCACAAUAUCUGCAGAACACUCCAGUUUAUCACCCGAUCAUGGAACCGCAAAUCCAACAGCACGUACCGAUUCCUCAGCCGGUCGUGCAUCAGCAGCAGGUUGAUUGGACCGCGAAGAUAGCAGAGGUAAUUCAAGAUCAGUUUGUGUUAAAAGCAAAAGUACAAACUUACAUGUACAAGACGCCAUACCCACUUGCCUACGAUCUGUUACCGUUCCCUCAUCGGUACAAAGUCCUUGACUUCACCAAGUUCUCGGGCCUAGACGACACGUUGACUGUCGAGCACGUUAAUAGGUUCAUCAUCCAGUGCAGGGAGGCUGCUACGCAAGAUGCUUUGAUGGUGCGCUUGUUCUCGUCAUCCCUAUCCGGAUCAGCCUUGCAGUGGUUCACUACACUGCCGCCCAACGCCAUCGUUACCUUGGCCGAUUUGGAAAAGCAAUUCCAUAAGUACUUCUAUGCGGGAAUCCACGAGAUGAAACUCUCAGACCUAACUAGCCUCAAGCAAAGAAGCGAUGAGUCGAUGGCCAGCUACAUACAGAGGUUUAGGAAAGUUAGGAACAAGUGCUACACCUUGGUCUGGACUGACACCCAACUAGCCGAUAUCACCUUCCAAGGACUCCUGCCACACAUCAAAGAGAAGUACGCCUCCCAGGAGUUCGAAAGCUUGAGCCAAAUCGUCCAUCGGCUGUCCGGCCAAGAGAUACACCCUUUCGACCAACGAAGGAACUUUCAAAAGAAGGUAGCUUAUGUGGAAGGGUCUGAAUCGGGAGAGAAGGCGGAAAUCGGCCUAGCAGAGUCGGUAAAAGGAAAAAAGCCGAUAUCAUGCCCGUUUGGAAAAAAGGAACCAGAAACAUUCGGCUUUGACACGUCAAAAGCCGACAAAGUCUUCGACUUGCUGCUUCAAGAGGGGCAGAUCAAACUUUCGCCUUACCACACCAUUCCGUCGGCCAAGCAGCUCAAAAAGAUGAAAUACUGCAAAUGGCACAAUACCACAUCCCAAGACAAAAAUGAGUGCAAGAUCUUCCGACAAUAGAUACAAUUAGCCAUUGAGCAAGGAAGACUCAAGUUCGAGGUUCCAGCAAAACCAGUGAAGCCGAUGAAGAUUGAUCAACAUCCCUUCCCCGCCAACAUGGUCAAUGUAGGAAGAAACGCACUCCAAACCAAAGUUUUGAUGUUAGAAUUGGCCAGGAGAAGCGGUGCAGUGGAUCCCAAAAAUCAGGCCACGAUCGGAGAUGUCAAAGGAAAAGGACGGAUGGAAGAAGAAGGUGAAGGAUCAGAAAGGCCACGUCGGCCUGUCACUUCCCAAGACUUACUCAGCAAGUAUCAGCAGCAGCGGGAAGAUUCAAGACGCCACGAAGAGAUGAUGCGCCGACACGAAGAUCACUGGAGGUGCCCGUUUUUCAUCCACUGCUGGGAGAAUAACCUUAGAUUACCGUCGGCUGAUAAUUGCCCUGAGUGCAACGGCCAGUAUCGCAGUGGUCGUCCGUUCAAUAGAUCACGCUCCAAGGAUCGAGGGCUAGAGCCAAUCAGCAGAAAGAGGCACGAGCAAGGAGAUCGGCGCGUUUCAGUGCGUGAUCGGCUGGGGGGUAGAGUUGACCAGCAUAAUCGGCUGGGGGGCAGAACCAGCGCACAUGAUCGGCUGGGGGGUAGAACCAGCGCACAUGAUCGGCUGGAAGAGAUAGCUGACGCCAAAGUCUCAGAUGAGAACCUCCUAGGGUGAGAAUCAGGCUGGGAGCGUGCAAAGCCGCCGAGUAAACCAGUAAACCCCAGAUGGUGCCCAGCCGGUUUGACUAAGUCCUUGAAACGGAGGGUCCAGCGUUUGCACCAAUGGGAGCAGCAAGAAGAAAAACAAAGGUAGGUGAUGGAUAACAAAGGGGACAGGUCUCGAGUAUGGCGUCCUAGAAGAAAAUCCGACGCAGGAGACUAAAAUCAUGAUUCGACAGCUGACUUCAGCAUGAUGUUCAUCUUGCCGAUGGAGUUCAUGCCUCCCGCCGACCGGGACAAUGCGAUAGAGAUAGAGGAGCAAAUGGCACAAUUGGCUCUGGAGCCAAUGACCGCCACUUUUGAGAAACCCGAGGAUUAAAAACGCCAACAUCUCAAGGCCCUGUUCCUCAAAGGACAUGUCAACGGACGACCAGUCACCAAGCUGUUGGUAGAUGGAGGCGCUGCUGUGAACAUCAUGCCCUAUGCUAUGUUCCGCAAAUUGGGCAAAGGUAAAGAAGAUCUAACAAAGACGGAUAUAAUGCUCAAGGAUUUCGAAGGCAACGUAUCUCCGGCCCGAGGGGCACUCUGCGUCGACCUCACCAUCGGGAGUAAGGCCCUACCCACUAUUUUCUUUGUUAUUAAUGGCAAAGGCUCCUACAACAUGUUGCUCGAGCGAGAUUGGAUCCACGCAAACUGCUGCAUCCUGUCUACGAUGCACCAAUGCCUUGUCCAAUGUGUCGGCGACAACAUCGAAGUAGUCAUCGCCGAUUCCACCUAUAGCGUUGCCACGGCCGACGCACAACAGUGGAGCUACGAUCACGUCAAAUUCAAAUAUGGUAGGGUUUGGGACACCAAUUUCCUAAAGGUGUCCGAUUUCGGUCUACAGCCAAUCCAAGCAGUCAGCUCUAAAGAAUCAAGUUAAAAUGGAUCAGUUCAUCUGAGAAGAUGGGAAGCUCGGGCACGGGUUUACGUCGGCCGAUUCAUUGGAGAUGGUGGACCUUGGAGAUGGCAACAAGCCAAAGCCGACGUAUAUUCGUGCUAGGUUAGAACCCGAGUAUAAGCAUGAAUUAAUGAGUCUUUUACGAGAAUUUAAAGAUUGCUUUGCUUGGGAGUAUCAUGAGAUGCCUGGUCUAGACCGGUCCAUCGUCGAACACCGGUUGCCUAUAAAACCAGGGCAUUGGCCGCAUCAGCAACCUGCACGACGUUGUAAUCCUAAAAUUUUACCUGAUAUAAAGGCCGAGAUUACAAGAUUAAUUGAAGCAGGGUUUAUUCGGCAAUGUCGCUAUGCCGAGUGGAUUUCCAAUAUUGUGCCCGUAUACAAGAAAAAUGGAAAGUUACGUGUGUGCAUUGACUUCAGGAAUGUUAAUCAGGCUAUGUCGAUGGAUGGAUAUCCGAUGCCGAUGGCUGAUGUUUUAAUAGACGCCACCGCAGGACACAAAGUCAUCACCUUCAUGGAUGGUAAUGCUGGGUACAAUCAGAUAUUAAUAGUCGAAUAAGAUAUUUCAAAGACGGCUUUCAGAUGCCCAGGCCACCUCGGUUUGUUCGAGUGGGUAGUAAUGAGUUUCGGUUUAAAAAAUGCUGGAGCUACGUACCAACGGGCUAUGAAUUAUAUAUUCCACAAGCUUAUUUGUGUCCUGGUGGAGAUCUACAUUGACGAUGUCGUGGUCAAAUCAAAAGGGUAUCAGGAACACCUGGCCGAUUUGCGAAAAGUGUUGGAAUGCACAAGAAAGCAUGGGUUGAAGAUGAAUCCAAACAAAGUGUGCCUUCGGCGUUUCGGCUGGACAGUUUCUGGGAUUCAUGAUUCACGAGCGAGGCAUCGAGAUCAAGCGAAAAAUUAUAGUUGCUAUCAACAAAGUCGUGGGCCCCCAGAAUAAGACUGAGCUACAGUACUUAAUCAGCAAGGUUAACUUCAUCCGACGGUUCAUAUCUAACUUGUUCGGGCGUAUUCAAGCUUUCACCCCUUUGUUGAAAUUAAAACCCGAUCAAGAAUUUGUAUAGGGUAAGGAAUAGCAGAAAACAUUAGAUGGCAUCAAACAAUACCUAGUCUCGCCACCAGUAUUGGUUCCGCCGCAGGCCAACAAGCCAUUCAAAUUAUACCUAUUGGCUGAUGAACGAGCUAUUGGGUUGGCGCUGGUCCAGGAAUGUGAAGGAAAAUAAAGAGUAAUCUAUUAUGUCAACAGAAGACUCCUGAACGUUGAAACUAGAUAUCCUCCGGUGGAACGGCUGUGCCUUUGUCUAUAUUUUUCAUGCACCAAACUCAGGCACUAUCUGUUAUCGGCAGAGUGCAUAGUCGUUUGCAAAGAUGAUGUGGUCAAGUACAUGUUGUCAUUGCCGAUUUUGAAAGGGAGGAUUGGAAAGUGGAUUCUAGCUCUCUCAGAGUUCGACCUGAGGUACGAAUCGGCCAAAGCUGUCAAGGGGCAAGUAAUGGCCGAUUUCGUGAUCCAGCACUGUGGACCAGAAAUUACUGUCGAACCAGCUCCGUGGACACUAUACUUUGAUGGGUCUGCGUGUGGGGCCGGAUCGGGAAUCGGCAUCAUCCUCAUAUCGUCUCGAGGGGCAAGUUAUGAUUUCUCUCUGCCGUUUGAGGCGUCCGCUACUAAUAAUCAAGCGGAGUAUCGGGUUGUUCUAAAAGGUAUCCAAUUAUUAAGAGAGGUCAAAGCUGACGUGAUGGAAAUUUUUGAGGAUUCCAUGCUCAUUGUAGAUCAAUUAACUGGAAAGUCUGAAUGCAAGGAUGAUAUCUUGAGGAUUUACUACGAAGAUUGCCUCAAGUUAUUGAAGGAGUUCAAGUCUUUGAUUAUUGAGCAUAUUCCCAGGAAUUACAACGAAGAAGCCAAUAGACUUGCCCAACAUCCUUCCGGGUAUCGGCUGUGUUGACGCCAGAUUUUGACACGAGUAAAAUCGGCGUUAGAAGUGGAAGAAAUUAGGAGAUGCGGCGAGAUACAAGGGCAACGAUUGGAAAUCGGCCGAUUGGUGCUACAGUCAAGGAUCGGUUGGUUGGUGCUGCAGUCAAGGAUCGGCCAAUAGAUGCUACAGACGAGGAUCGGCCGAUUGAUCCUUAGAGUUCCGCCUCGCACGACCCCUGGUUUGGGAUCGGACACGCCCGACCCUCCAAGGGAGGAUCUCCGCCUCGCCCGACCCCUGGUUUGGGAUCGGACGCGCCCGACCCUCCAAGGGAGGAUCUCCGCCUCGCCCGACCCCUGAGGUUUGGGAUCGAACGCGCCCGACCCUCCAAAGGAGGAUCUCCGCCUCGUCCGACCUUAGUUCCCAGGGUCGAAAUGAGUCUGAGCCCUCGAUAUGUGGGUCCUGAUCGGUUACCCCCCUUGCCAAAGAGGUGAUCGGCCGAUUAGGAGGUUGGAAUAGUUGGGCCGAUGUGGGCUCAAGAAGGAUUAUGAAGAUGAAGAGGGGGUCAGCCCAUGAAGCGCGUGAAAAUAGUACGAAUCGUACUUGUAAAUAUUCGUUUUCUGUUUAAAUUUAGGGAUAGAGUUCUAGUCGGAUAAGAAGUCGUUUGUACGGGGCUAUAAAUAGCCACCGUUGUAGAUCUGUAAUCAUCAUCAACUCAAUACAACAAACUACUAUUUCCUCGUACUUACUUUCAAGCAGGCGACUUUACCAACACUUUUUCUCCUUUUUCACGAGUUCGUACGGGUUGGCGGGGCUGCAUCAACUUGACCUCCGGCCGAUCUUGUAAGUUCCGUUUAUCGACUAAAUUCUAAGCUUUAACUUCGGGCGCAUCGCUGUCAUUUCGUUUAGAUUUAUUCAUCAGUUAUCGAUAUUUACUAGAAUUCUAGGUUUUACCUGUUGUUCUAGUUUUAUCACCAAUUAUCCAGCUAGGAAUCGGUAAAUUCGGCUUUCUUUAUACUUCUCUGUCUAAUCUAUUUAUUUUAGCCGAUUAGAUCUGUUCCUAGUGUUGCUACUGUAGCGUUGUUUAGAUUACUCUAGCAGUUUUCUUUAUAAACGUUACCUGGUAAUCGGUUGCACUAUAGCCGAUUUCCUUAUUACGGCAAAUCGGCCGAUUCGCUGAUAAGCUUUCUUGAGAUCGGAACCUUAGCUGAUCGCAACCUCUGGGAACUGACACGUUUAUUUCCUUGCCAAUCAACAGUUCAGAUUGGCUGGCUCGCCGCGCGAACCGUACCAGGGCAAUCACCCGAACAGGAGUUAAGCAGAUUCUCCCGGGUCGUGUGUCCGACGCUGGGAAUUCGGUCAGCUGAUUUCUAGUGCCAACACACUUUUGGCACGCCUAGUGGGGCCAAUACAACCGCCACCAUGUCGAAAGCUGCUGAAGUCUCCGAAGAUAACAUCAUCGAAGUGACAGAGGCAGAUCUCAGGGACGACCAGAAGGAAGAACUAGAGAGGCAGACAGCAUACUACCGGAAGACAUGUCUGCAGUCCUUCAGUCGCACCAGGAGCGAGGAGACUAUCAAAAAGGCUCCGUUUCCAACUCCCCGCCAGAUCACAAUCACCGAGGAUUCGGACAAGAUGUCCGAGAUGGUCCAGCAAUCCGUCUAUCAAGCUUUCAUUGAUCAAUCCCCGGUGCUUUCUAAUACGGUAUACAAUGCCGUCAUCAGCUCCUUGGCUAGUGGUGUAUCUCAAGGGUACCAGGGGCCGGCAUAUGUUCCGCUGAUUAUGGCUCCGAGCAAUGCGGCGACAUGAAGAUCACUGGCGAUGCCCGUUCUUCAUCCACUGUUGGGAAAGCAACCUUAGGUUGCCUUCGGCCGAUAAUUGCCCCGAGUGCAACGGCCCGUAUCGUAACAAUCGGCCGUUCAGCAGGUCUCGCUCCAGAGAUGGGAGAUCAGAGCCGAUCAGCAGGAACUGGCGCGACCAAGACAACCGGCGCCCUCCAGUACGUGAUCGGCUGGGGGGCAGAAGUGACCGGUAUGACCGGUCGGAAGGCAGGCGCAAUGAUGGGCCGGGGGCAGAUUUAAUCGACGUGACCGGCCAGAAAAUAGAGUCAGCGUCCACAGACGACUUGAAUAGAUGGCCGAUGCUCGGGUGUUAGAUGAGAACCCUUUAGGACGCGAACUAGAAUGGGAACGCGCCAGGCCACGAACCAAACCGGUGAACCCCAGGUGGUGCCCCGAUGGAUUGACCAAGUCUCAAAAACGAAGAAUCCAACGUCUCCGCCAGUGGGAACAGCAGGAAGAAGAGCAACAGUACACGACGGACGAGAAGAAAGGCAGGUCUUAGGUAUGGCGCCCCAAAAGAAACGACAGAGGAGGCGACAAAUCAGCAGGCGAUGAAUCGGCAGCCGAUAUCGACAUGGUCUUCAUACUGCCGAUGGAAUUCAUGACUCCUGCCGACCAACAGGACAUGUCAGCAAUAGAAGAGUAGAUGGCGCAAUUGGCUUUGGAGCCAAUGACAGCCACAUUCGAGAAGCCCGAAGAAGACAAACGGCAACACCUGAAAGCGUUGUUUCUUAAAGGGCAUGUCAACGGCCGACCCAUCACCAGAUUACUGGUAGACAGAGGGGCUGCAGUCAACAUCAUGCCGUACGCCAUGUUCCGGAAGCUAGGGAAGAGCAAUGAUGACCUGACCAAGACAGACAUGAUGCUCAAGGACUUCGAGGGCAACGUAUCCCCCGCUCACGGCGCUCUCUGCGUCGACCUCACCAUCGGCAGUAAGACCCUUCCUACUACUUUCUUUAUUAUUAAUGGCAAGGGGUCCUACAACAUGCUACUCGGCCGAGACUGGAUACAUGCAAAUUGCUGUAUCCCAUCUACAAUGCAUCAAUGCCUCGUAUAGUGGGUCGGCGACAACAUUGAGGUGGUCACCGCCGAUUCCGCAUACAGCAUCGCGGCAGCCGACACGCAACAGUGGAGCUGCGAAACCGUCAAGUGCAUAUCCGGGAGAGUAUGGGAUACUGACUUCUUGAAGGUGUCCGAUUUUGGCCUACAGCCGAUCCGAGCAGUCGGCUCUGAGGACUCAGAUUAAAUGGAUCAGUUCACCCGAGAAGAUGGGAAGCUGGGACAUGGGUUCACGUCGGCCGAUUCAUUAGAAAUGAUAGACUUAGGCGAUGGCACCAUACCAAGGCCGACAUAUAUUAGUGCAAAUUUAGAUCCGGAAUACAAAUGUAAACUGACAAGUUUGUUAAGAGAACUUAAGGAUUGCUUUGCUUGGGAAUAUCAUGAGAUGCCCGGAUUAGACCGAUCUAUCGUUGAACAUCGGUUACCCAUAAAGCCAGGGUAUCGGCCGUAUCAACAGCCUGCACGGCGGUGCAAUCCUAAAAUCCUACCGGACAUAAAGGCCAAAAUAACGCGGCUAAUCAAAGCAAAAUUUAUUCGGCAAUGCCGUUAUGCCGAAUGGAUCUCCAACAUUGUACCAGUAUAUAAGAAGAACGGAAAGUUACGCGUAUGCGUCGAUUUCAGGAACCUCAAUCAGGCCACACCAAUGGACGGAUACCCCAUGCCGACGGCUGAUGUACUGAUAGAUGCCGCCGCGGGACACAAGGUUAUUAGUUUCAUGGAUGGAAACGCUGGGUACAAUCAGAUACUUAUGGCCGAAGAAGACAUAUCUAAAACGGCCUUCAGAUGCCCGGGUCACCUUGGUUUAUUCGAGUGGGUGGUAAUGACUUUCGGCUUGAAAAAUGUCGGCGCUACGUAUCAGAGAGUCAUGAACUACAUAUUCCACAAACUUAUCGGCAUACUAGUAGAAAUCUACAUCGACGACGUCGUAGUCAAGUCAAAAGGACACCAGGAGCAUCUGGCCGAUUUACGACAGGUGUUGGAAUGCACUAAGAAACAUGGGCUGAAGAUGAACCCGAAUAAGUGUGCCUUCGGCGUAUCCGCCGGACAAUUCUUAGGAUUCAUGGUGCACGAGCGGGGAAUAGAAAUCAAUCAGAAGACUAUAGCGGCCAUCAACAAAAUUGUGGCCCCGCAGAAUAAAACUGAGCUGCAAUCUCUAAUCGACAAGAUGAAUUUCAUCAGGAGGUUCAUAUCUAAUUUGUCUGGGCGAAUCCAAGCCUUCACACCAUUAUUAAAGUUGAAGCCCGACCAGGAGUUCGUAUGGGGGGAAGAGCAACGCAAGGCAUUGGAAGAUAUCAAGCAGUACUUGGUCUCACCACCGGUAUUGGUCCCUCCUCAAACUGGUAAGCCGUUUAAACUAUAUUUAUCAGCCGAUGAACGAGCUAUUGGGUCGGCUCUGGUCCAGGAGUUCGAGGGAAAGGAACGAGUAAUUUAUUAUGUCAGUAGAAGACUUCUGGACGCCGAAACAAGGUAUCCUCCAGUGGAGCGGUUGUGCCUAUGCCUUUACUUCUCAUGUACCAAACUCAGGCACUAUUUGCUAUCAGCGGAAUGUGUGGUCGUAUGCAAGGACGACGUGGUAAAAUACAUGCUGUCACUGCCGAUUUUGAAAGGAUGGAUCGAAAAAUGGAUCUUGGCUUUGUCGGAGUUUGACCUUCGAUAUGAAUCGGCAAAAGCCGUUAAGGGUCAGGUCAUGGCCGAUUUCGUUGCCCAGCACUGCGGGCCAGAGGCUACCUUCGUAGAACCAGUACCUUGGACCUUAUACUUUGAUGGAUCGUCAUGUGGGGCCGGAUCAGGAAUCGGCAUCGUCCUCAUAUCGCCUCGGGGGGCAAGCUAUGAUUUCUCUCUACCGAUAGAAGCAUCCACCACUAACAAUCAAGCAGAGUACUGAGCUGUACUGAAGGGAUUACAAUUGCUAAGGGAAGUCAAAGCUGAUUCCGUCGAAAUUUUUGGGGAUUCCAUGCUUAUCGUGGAUCAGUUAACAGGGAAAUCCGAGUGCAAGGACGAUGUAUUGAGGAUUUAUUACGAAGAUUGCCUCCUGCUUCUGAAAGAAUUCAAGUCGGCAGUUAUCGAGCACAUCCCAAGGAAUCACAACGAGGAUGCCAACAAGCUCGCCCAACACGCAUCUGGGUAUCGGCCGAUUCAAGGCGCCUUGGCUCUAGAGCUCGCGGCCAAUGACUGGCGAAAGGAGAUUGCCGAUUACCUGAAAGAUCCGUCUAAGAAAGUGGAUCGGCGGGUAUGUUUUCAUGCUACCAAAUAUGUGCUACUGGAAGACGACUUGUUCUACCGAACAAUUGAUGGCGUCCUACUCAAGUGUCUAGGAACGGAGGAGGCUAAGACUCUGAUGGGAGAAAUCCAUGAAGGAGUGUGUGGAGCCCACCAAUCGGCACAUAAGAUGAAAUGGAUGAUUAGGAAUAAUGGGUAUUACUGGCCGACGAUCCUCGAAGAUUGCUUCAAAUAUUAUAAAGGAUGUCAGGAUUGUCAGAAAUUCGGGAAUGUCCAACGUGCGCCCGCAUCGGCCAUGAAUCCCAUUAUCAAACCAUGGCCGUUCAGAGGUUGGGGGAUAGACCUCAUCGGCCAAAUUUAUCCUCCGUCAAGCAAAGGGCACAAGUUCAUUCUGGUGGCCACUGAUUAUUUCACCAAGUGGGUGGAGGCAAUUCCGUUAAGGGCCGUGACAUCGGCUGCUAUGGUUGACUUCGUAAGAGACCAUAUCGUCUACCGUUUCGGCAUCCCCCAGACUAUCACGACCGAUCAAGGGACAAUGUUUACAUCAGGAGAAUUCGAGGAGUUCACAGCCGACAUGGGAAUCAAAUUAUUAAACUCCUCUCCGUAUUAUGCCCAAGCUAAUGGCCAGGUCGAAUCUUCCAACAAGGGGAUAAUUAAGUUAAUCAAGAGGAAGAUAGAGGAGCAGCCGAAAAAGUGGCAUCUAUGUCUGACUGAAGCUCUAUGGGCAUACAGGAUGGCUUGCCAUGGGGCCACUAAGAUGUCCCCUUAUCAGUUGGUGUACGGUCACGAGGCAGUACUACCAUGGGAGUUGAGGGCAGGAUCGAGACGCACUUCGCUCCAGGACCAGUUAGCGGCCGACGACUACUCCUCACUCAUGAAAAGGGAACUUGAUGACUUGGCUGGCCAACGAUUGAGAGCUUUGAUAAGCAUCAAAGAAAACAAGAAGAAAGUGGCCAGGUGGUAUGAUAAGAAAGUCAAAGUCAAACAAUUCUCUCCGGGGGACCUGGUAUGGAAGUUAGUGUUGCCGAUCGGGUCGAAAGAUCCUAAAUUCGGUAAGUGGUCCCCUACGUGGGAAGAGCCGUAUAAAAUCGGCAGAUGUGCUCCAGGAAACGCUUAUAUUCUGGAAACAAUCGAAGGAGAGAAGAGUUUACUAGGGCUUUGAACGGAAGAUACUUGAAAAGGUACUACCCUAGUAUAUGGGUCGGAGCAUAAGGAUCGACCAUGAUGAACAACACACAGCCAAUACAAAAGGAUUCGUCUAGAGAAAAAAACGUAAUCGUCCAAAUCGGCCGAUGUAUUUCAUUCGGUACGGACGGUGGGUUACACGGCCGACAAGGUACAAGUUGCCCUUAGAACAAAAAAAAAUUAAUCACGCUUUUUCUUAAGCUCUCUCUCAGCCCGACCUAGUUCUAUCAGAAGACGGAUGUACUCUUCUUUUAUCUCUUUCAUCGAAGCCUCCGCUUCGACUUGACGGGGGAGAGGGUGACUCCGGUCCAUGGCCGGGCGUGAUGUUCCUACUGCUGCAUCUUCAAGGACGAUUUGAUGAGGAAGCGGAUGACUUCUGUCGGCUUGAGGUCGCCGGUGGUCGUUGCUGUCCAGAAAGUCCCAGAUCCAUCGGAUGUCGGCAGGGACGUGCUCUUGGAGUUCGUCGCGAUGAGCUCUGAUUAAAUCCUUAUCUUCUUGCGACAACGGUUCAUCGGAGUGUACAAGUCCGAUGGCUCGUUCGAGUUCGGGGCUAAGGCGCCGUGGCUGCGGAAAGCAACAAUAUACAUAUAGCUGCCGAAAAGGUGAUUCCCUUCAGAAGAGCUAAACUAAGAAAGAGAAUGAAGGCAAAUCUUUUACCUGAUUAACGGAGGAAGAGGUAGAGGAUGGAGAAGACAUGACUGAAAGGCGCACCGACGUGAACAGGUCGAGGAAGAUGAAGCCGAGUUAGAAAGGUACUCUCGGAACGGUCACCUAGGCCGGUGUUUAUAGGAAAGGAAGGCAUGGAUGUUUGGUAAGACGCGUCCCAUCGGGAGUGUGAAAGGUAAUAAAUAAGGGGGCGUCGCGAAGGACGGUCAAAGGGAUCAUUAAAUGUUCGUACAAGAACUGCCAGCACUUUUACAGGUCACCCAGAAGGGCAUCGAUAGCUGCGAUCGCUCGACGCCGGAUCUGAUCGGCAGAGUCCAGGACCCGUUGGUCAUCCUCUGCCGAUCCGGGGACUUCUAACAUAUGGCGGUGGAGUUUGAGGGCCUCGUGAGCCAGAUGCUGCCUCUCUCGUUUCAGAUCGGCAAUGACAGAAGGGAGUUCCUGAAGCCUCUUCUCUUCGGCGUCUAUUGCUUUGGUCACCUGCUCCAUCUCCUUGGCAAGCUCUGCCCUUCGGCGUUUGAGGCGAUCUAUCGUGCCGACGAUCCCCGGGCGAGAGUCUUCCAGAAAGUGAAUCCGUUGAUGCACCUCUUGAGCUUGACGCUUGUACGUGUCUUCUUCUUCACGAGUUUUGGUCAACUUGACGCGAUCGGCCAUGUGGCGCAGGGCCCUAAAGACUGGAAUCCUCAUUGACUCGAUAUAUGCAGCUGGCGCCAAGGCCUCUUCCGCUUCUUCUGGUACUCGCCCGCUGACGUCACCAAAAAGUUGUUGAAUCAGCGAAGCGUCUUCUACCAAUCGGCCGAUGUCCUCUUGAAGAAGGGAUCGGAUGCUUGCGAGUUUGGCACGGACGUCAUCAGGAACGGAGCUCAAAGUGACCUGGCGAGAGGCGACUUCCUCAUCAUCGGAGAGUGCGACCGCAAACGAGAAAAGGCUGUUGUUGGGGGUGUCCUGUUCCUGAAAAAUAGUGAGUCAAGAAGAAGAACAAAUCAGCCGAUGAUGAUAGCAAAUCGGCUGAGUAAGGGUGAGAAAUCUCUUACCUCCUUGAAACGGAUUUCUUCAAACUGCGUUUGGGAGGCUGUUAUCCUCGAUUCAGGGGCUGGUACCAUUGGUUCGUCAGAAGCUGAAGACUCCACCAUGAUUGGUGCUUUGCUCGGGCCAGCUUCCCGAAAGAUGACCAUUGGUUGGUUAGGUGGGGCGCUAAGCGUACCGGUGACCUGUGUCAAAAGAUUGAAUAAGAAUAUUAUCCAAAUACUAGAAAAAUCGGUUGAAGAGUAGUAUACCUCGGCAGACGGAAGCGUGGGCGUGUUGAUGACCGAUUGGGUUGCUGCCGAUUGUUGUGAGUCCACAGAAGUGAUUUGUGUAGUCUAAAAUAAGAUGAGUCAGUAUAGAGAUGGCAAUCGGUAGGAUCAAACAACAAGUUUACCUGCAUGGCCUCCACCAGUAAUGAUGCAGCGGCCGCCCCAGCUUGCGUGACGACUUGAGUAUCUACUUCUCCAGCAGCUGGAAGGGGCAAUGUGGCCGAAGUUUCUGCCGAUGUGAUCGUAGGAGGGUCGGCCGGUUCUGUACGAGCUCGCACUCGGCGACUGGUCUUCUUGGUAACCUUCUUCUGCGCCUGCUUCGAUCGGCCGGCAAUCACAUCCACGGAAGGGGCAUCGUAGCCGAUAAGGGGGAAGAUGGUGUAUAGGUGAUGGUCCUCUAUCGGCCGGCCACUCCGACUGUGUGUUGGGGGAACGCAGUUUUCAGACUGAAGCAACAGCAAGAUGUUAGUGUACAUAUUUAACCGCAUUAAUAAAGGAAUGAAAAUCAGUUAGGGAAAAAAAAUACCUCGGUGUUCGGAUCGAUGUUGGCUGGAUCCAGGAGGUUGCAGUAUGUCGAUGCGGAGGCACAGAAUAGGUACUGUUUUCAUUCGGCCCACCAUAGCUUGAAUGGUUGGACAACAAAGGGGGCUACUAUCCAGUCAUUCAAGUCUAUGGUACUGGAGUCUGGUAUCCGGUCUCGCAGCCGACUAUAGUCAAGACCCUUGGUGAGCUCAUCUCUGAACUUUGCUCGGCCGACGAAGUAUGCCUGAAUCGGCAGUUGACCCAUGCCGAAUUGCCGAGCUGCAACGGAGGGAUUGUAGAAUUCAUAUGUAGGGGCAUCCUUUCCUGAGAAGAAGUUGGCCGGUAAGAUCCCCGGUUUAAUUAGUUCAUCUGUGAGAUCUUCGUCGAAUCAGCCGGUGGUUGAGUCGAAGCAAGAAGGGAGUUCAAAGAUUGGGUCAUCUCUCCAAUAAGGAAACCAGACGGUUGCAUCUUCAUUGAAGCCGUUAUAAAAACACUGGAAGUAUUCGGCCACCUUGGUAGCAGAGUACGAGCAACCAGAGAAGGCCGAUGCCGCUUCGCCGAAAGACAUACACCGGCGUCGGACAGUGAGAUUCUCUGCCGAUUCGACGCUGGGGAAUGUCAUGUGUUCCACUCGCUGCUGAGAGAUCUCGCUCAUGUACAAGUUCAGCCAUAAGUUAAUGAACCACCAGGGUCCACCUGGGUUUCCAAUUGGCUACCCUUGGGAUAGCUUGAUGCCGAUUUGGUGAAGCAUGUGGUAGGCUGCUCCCAGUAAGUGCUUUCCAAGAGGAACAGAAGUCCCUAUUGAUAAUGCUUCGGCCAGAGCUUGGGUAUUGGUAGAUGGACCAGCUGCUCUCCCACAGAAGAAGUGCUUCUCUAGCCACAUCAUCAGGAAGGCCGUGUGCUCUCUGUUGUCGACAGAUCCGGCCCUUUUGUUGCAUCUGAUGAAACCUUUCCACCUGCCGAUUCCCCUUGUGUCCAGCCGAUGUGAUGUUGCGGUUAUAAGGCGGAAAGGGGUGUCCGGGGAAGAAAUAUCCAGGCCGGUCAGGAAGACUACAUCGGCCAAUGUGGGGGUCAUGGGUCCGUGUCCAAACAGGAAUGCGUUGAGAGCAUUGGACCAGAAGUAAGAAGCUGCCACCACUAAUGGCUCAUUCCGUUCCAUUUGGGACAAAGAUAGAUCGAUGCAUUGGCCAAUUUUGAGCUCGUCCCAUUGGACCUUCUUGGAAGCGGUUAUCCGCUGGUACCAUUCCCUCCAACUGGGAGUUUCGUUCGGCCAAGACCUAAAGGUACUCAACCAGUGAUCUAGGUCCAUAGUUGAUUGUUUGAAGGGGAUCCUAUGGGUUUUCCAAAUUGAUUAAGUCGGUUGGAUCUGGAUUUCCCAUGGGUCCAAGACAGAUAAGGCCGAGGUUUUCUGUGAGACGAAUGGUGAUGCGAUGCCUAACCGCCUAAAAAGGAAAAGGGGGUGCGAGGGUAAGAAAUAGAUCUAAAGUACAUGCAUUACUAAUAAGGGAAAGUUUCGGUAAUGACCUCCGGGAUGAAGCUCCUCGUAAUCGGCGGAGUCGCCGGUGCAGCUGCAGACGAUGAAGCUGCCAAUGGGAUCUCGGAUGAAGCUUCAACUUUCGCCAAUGGAGCUCCUUCUUCCGUCGAUGGAGCCGUCGUUAUCGCUACUGGAACCUCCGCCGAAGGCACCAUUUCUGGAGCUUCGCGCAUUGGUGAGGUGCCUGAAGGUGCCGCCAUUGGAAAAGUAGGAGGCAAUGCGAAAGGAAGGAGGCGCUGGAGAAUUGGUGGACUAAGGAAAGUGUUGGAGGAAGAAGAAAGCCUGUGCACUGAAGAAGAUGGACAUGAGCUCGUAAGGAGUACGGGAUGUGCUGAUAUUUAAAGAACGUCUGAGAAGGGGUAAAAGUGGAAUUUUUACCGCGCUGGCGUUUUGAGUUUUUCGGGAGUAGUGGUUGUCGUGGGCACCCGUUUCGAAAAGAUUGCAAUCAUCAGGUUGGAGACCGCGAAAUGGAAGGAUGUUUUCAUUGCGUCUGUUUCGGAUGAGAAGUUGAAAAGAAUUUUGAAGUAAAGACUAUGUUUUACUCCGAAACUGGGAGGCAUGUGUUGACGCCAGAUUUUGACACGAGUAAAAUCGGCGUUAGAAAUGGAAUAAAUUAGGAGAUGCGGCGAGAUACAAGGGCGACGAUUGGAAAUCGGCCGAUUGGUGCUACAGUCAAGGAUCGGUUGGUUGGUGCUGCAGUCAAGGAUCGGCCAAUUGAUGCUACAGAUGAGGAUCGACCGAUUGAUCCUUGGAGUUCCGCCUCGCCCAACCCCUGGUUUGGGAUCGGACGCGCCCGACCCUCCAAGGGAGGAUCUCCGCCUCGCCCGACCCCUGGUUUGGGAUCGGACGCGCCCGACCCUCCAAGGGAGGAUCUCCGCCUCGCCCGACCCCUGAGGUUUGGGAUCGGACGCGCCCGACCCUCCAAAGGAGGAUCUCCGCCUCGUCCGACCUUAGUUCCCAGGGUCGAAAUGAGUCUGAGCCCUCGAUAUGUGGGUCCUGAUCGGUUACCCCCUUGCCAAAGAGGUGAUCGGCCGAUUAGGAGGUUGGAAUAGUUGGGCCGAUGUGGGCUCAAGAAGGAUUAUGAAGAUGAAGAGGGGGUCAGCCCAUGAAGCGCGUGAAAAUAGUACGAAUCGUACUUGUAAAUAUUCGUUUUCUGUUUAAAUUUAGGGAUAGAGUUCUAGUCGGAUAAGAAGUCGUUCGUACGGGGCUAUAAAUAGCCACCGUUGUAGAUCUGUAAUCAUCAUCAACUCAAUACAACAAACUACUAUUUCCUCGUACUUACUUUCAAGCAGGCGACUUUACCAACACUUUUUCUCCUUUUUCACGAGUUCAUACGGGUUGGCGGGGCUGCAUCAACUUGACCUCCGGCCGAUCUUGUAAGUUCCGUUUAUCGACUAAAUUCUAAGCUUUAACUUCGGGCGCAUCGCUGUCGUUUCGUUUAGAUUUAUUCAUCAGUUAUCGAUAUUUACUAGAAUUCUAGGUUUUACCUGUUGUUCUAGUUUUAUCACCAAUUAUCCAGCUAGGAAUCGGUAAAUUCGGCUUUCUUUAUACUUCUCUGUCUAAUCUAUUUAUUUUAGCCGAUUAGAUCUGUUCCUAGUGUUGCUACUGUAGCGUUGUUUAGAUUACUCUAGCAGUUUUCUUUAUAAACGUUACCUGGUAAUCGGUUGCACUAUAGCCGAUUUCCUUAUUACGGCAAAUCGGCCGAUUCGCUGAUAAGCUUUCUUGAGACCGGAACCUUAGCCGAUCGCAACCUCUGGGAACUGACAUGUUUAUUUCCUUGCCAAUCAACAGGUCAGAUUGGCUGGCACGCCGCGCGAACCGCACCAGGGCAAUCACCCGAACAGGAGUUAAGCAGAUUCUCCCGGGUCGUGUGUCCGACGCUGGAAAUUCGGUCAGCUGAUUUCUAGCGCCAACAGGCUCAUUUAUGUCGCCUGACACGCGAAUAUGCACUUUAACCAAGUCAACCUGGUCGACCGUCGGAUUUCAUCCGAUGAACCACUUACACAGGAUCAAGAAGCAUCGCUCAAACGAAGGUGAGUAGCACAGAGGUUACAACAUUCCAUUAUGACAACUUAGUUCCACAAUUUAUUACAUCAGAGUUUCAGAAAUUCAAACAAGUUGCAAGGUUCGAAAAGUCGGAUAAAACAAGCGAAAACUAAACGUCGAUACAGGAUAUCAUGACGAAGUUGAUCAUGACAUCAAAAAUCCCUACCCUCACCGUCCGAGGAGGGAUCCCACUCGAUUGUCCAGCCCGGAGGGAGCUGGGUAGGCCAAGUGGUGCCAGCAACCAAACUAUUGACAUGACCUGAAAAGAUUAAGCCAUAACAAGGCUGAGCAACUAAUACUCAGCAAGACUGACCCGUCGAGUGAAAAGCUUUACCAAGACCUAGACAUGCAAGGCUUUCUGGCUCUGGGAUUACUUUGCCAAAAGCAUCUACAGUCGGUCCUUACUUUCAAUAUUUUAGCUUAAGUUCUACGUUCUUUAACCAGUCUAGAUUAGCAACUUAUACUAAACAAGCAUAAUUUCCAAGUAGUUAAAUAACAAGCAUCAACUUAAUCUCAUAAUCAUGUUUCAUCGUUACUCAGUGCAGAAUAGCGAUCAAGUAGUCCCAAACUGUGAGAGACAGAUGAAUCGAUUCGAAUUUAUUAACCAUGCAUGGCGAACCUAAUCUCACGACAUCCGCGCACCACGAAGGGUCGCUUCAUUUGUCAGCCGUCCCCAUCGAUCCCUUAGGCACGUGUCAGGGCCAAACUGCCUUUGGCGUGCAAUGCUCCACAGUCCCGACCUCUGUCGUACUGUGACCGCCACUGCACCCACAUGAUGCACCAUGGGAACGACGUUCCAAGGACAGCAGGAGUAUAAGCCACGUCCCAGUUCAGUCAGGUACUAGGCUUCCCCAUCCCAGACUAGGUAUGAGAUUAGUACUUUCAAACACUUGAUCACGAACGCUGACACGUUUCAACCUUAGAUCAAUUUCCUUUAGACAGACGGGGAAAACCACCAAGUAUCGAACAUAAGCCCGACCCCGUCCGUCAUCCUUAUAGUUGCAACAUAAAUAAACAUUCAACUCCUAUAACUCGCGAGUGAUAGGAAAUCACUCGACUUUUACUGAAACCUAAUAAGCAUUGCAACUACUCGACUUUAGCAACUAGUAUUCAAACAAGGUACUAAGUUCAUGCAUCUACGGUUUCAAUCAACUCCUACACACGUAAAUGCGCAAACAUAAACAUCAACAUGUUGCAUAAAGUAAAACAGGGAAGUCAUGCACCGGGGCUUGCCGUCAGGAAGAGUUAGCGGGUCCUCGGGGUCUUGAUCCGGCUCAGGCUCGCCUUCCAAGUGGUGAAGCUCCGCAGCGGGGUCUUCCUCCGGUGUCGGGUGGAGCUCGUAGGUUCCAUCGGCGAGAUUUGCUUCUAUACGACAUGCAUAUGCAAAAGUUUAGUUGGACUCACGCGUUUAUUCAACGACACAAGGCUUGGCUUAAGACAAGGAGUUGCAACAGCCACAUUCACUUUGACGAGGUUCAACUUUCAUGCAACUUCAAACGAAUGUGGUCGGUUUAAACUUGAGUUCGAGUUGAAUGGCGAUUGUGUACAUAUAUAGUUUUCUUACACUUAGAGUUGCAUAAAGAGAAUGAAAGGUCGUGUUUGGGUGGUUUGGGUGCAUUAGGAUAGUUACUUACUUCUGAAUGUUUUUAUGUACCUCUUUCAAUUUCCACUUAUUUAUCGUAUUAGAAUUUGUGCUUUCCUUUUAUUCCUUUAGGUUGAUUAAUUAACCAAAAUGACUUCAUAUCCAAACAGCAGCUAAAGGCACUGAUAAAAUUACAACACCUCACUUAAGCCAUAGCUGGGUUACUCUAAAAUUUUGGGGGCCAUUGGAUGACUUAAAAAGGAAUUACAUGCAUUUUAUUAUUAAAGGUAAAAUGAGCUUAACUUUUUCUAUCUUCAAAGUUACUAUGCAACAGAGGGUGAAACUUAACCAGUGUGUUAAGGGUAUGUUACAGGAUCUUUGGCGAAUUUUUCAUAAUUUUUGAAGAAGGUUAACUAUUUACUCUAUUUCCUUUUUAAUUAAACAUGCUUAGCAAGGAAGGUGUUUUUUCUUUCCGAAUUGCACAACAAUUUACAUUUUUCCUGCAAACUUCACAGCAAAACAAAAUUAACCCAACUAGUUUCACAUUUUUUUGAGCUCUGGAUCAAAACGUAUGCAAAAAGGAAGAAUUAAUCUUAGAUUCCCAAAUUAAAGUCAAAACAAUGACUUAAAGUGCUAGACCAGAGCCCUAACCAUUUUUCUGAGCUUCUACACAUAGAAACAAGCAUCACAGAGUUGGUUUUACAUUUUUCCCACUUUUCUUCUAUUUAAUAGGAUUAAAAAGGCCUAAACCAUGAUUAAAAGCAUAUGAUAUUAUUUACAACAGUAACAUGAGCAAACUUAUUUUUCUUAGGAACUAGAUAGAGCAAGGAUUCCAACAAAAGUGGUUUGGUAUUUUUAUGAUUUUUCUACGAUUUACUGGGCAUUUACAAAGUUCAACCAUAUUUCUACCUAUUAUUUAAAAGAAAAGCCGUGGCAAACUUGCAGGUUAGCCCCUGGGUCUAUGGGUUAACUACGCAGAGGUCCCUGAGUUUUGCGCCCAGGCCCCUGGAAAGAAUGGGGAUGAUGCAAUGUAGUCCCCAGGGCGCGCGCGGCGGCGGCGAGGAAAUCCCCGGCGGUUCGUCGGCGGGGAUGGGGCAACAAGUGGUCGGAGGGGUGCGGGGGCUCACCUGAGCUCGGUUUGGUGGGGUUGGGGCGACGGAGAUGGUCGGUAGGGAUCAAAACACGGCGGCGGCGACAGAGCUUGGCUGGUGGCGGUGCAGGCGUCGUUCCGGCGCACUGGCGGCGUCGGGGAGGCCACGGGCUGCUCGGAGACGUGCGCGGAGGGGGGGCGAAGUGGGCGGCGAAGUUGCCGGAGUACGGGGUGGCGCGGAGGGGUGAGCUCCACGGGAGCUUAGCGGCGGCGCUGAGAAGGAAGCAGAGGCGUGGUUGCGAGCGGUGGCAAAGGGUGGCAUUGCCGGUGAGGGGGACCCUUUUAUAGGGCAGCGGUGGAGCGGAGGGUCGAGGUGGGGCUCCGGUGGAGGAAGGAUAAGGCCGGGAGCGGUGCGUGCGCGAGCGAGGCGGCCAUUGGCCAGCGGUGCCAUUGGGCAGGGGAGGCGGAGCUCCGGGUGGUCUCUGGCCGCGAUUGGCCUCGAGCGAUGCGUGUCUGAGGCCUCCGGUCUGUCGGCGGGCGAAGCGGAGGGCCACCGCGGGGGUUGGGCGAGCGGGCGGAGGCGCGGGACGUCGUUGGCGUGGUGGCUUCUCCAGCGGGUGGGCGAAGCGCGGUUGGGCAGAGCAGAGCCGCGGCAGAGGGAAGGGCACGCGCGCGGCCGACGGUUGGCCAGCCCGGCGUUCGCCCCGUCUUGUCGCAGGCGCGGGUUGGGCGCCGUGGCUCUCACCUUAUCGUUGUCUCGCCGGGGAUAGGGCGCCGGUGAGCUGCCGGUGGCCAGCGGCCACGAGGCACGCGGUGCGCGGGCGAACAUGCCCUGGCGCGCGGGCGUUGAGGCCCCUUCGGGCAGUAAGCCCGACCAGCUUUGAGAGAUCCUAUCUCAAGAUUUUGCAACACAACUUCCAAAACUCUUCUAAACAAACUUGUUCAACUCUGGACGUAGUUCAAACUUGGUUUAAGGUGCUGGUUUAGAUUGUGAAAGGAUUUGGAGAUAUCUCAUGCCAAAGUUUGCCAAAAAUAUGGAAAUCCAGACUUAGCCAAUUUUGGCCGGAGAGGUGGAAUUUCAGGAACUUAGCUAUGUUUGAGUCAACUUUAGGGCAGCUUCCAAGUUGAAUUAGACAGAAGUGUUAAUAGAGGAGUUGCUCUCCAAACUGAGGACUUCAACUUCUAUUUAGGGUAUUUCUGGAGUUUAGUUCAGAAAUUUGGAGGAACGCCCUCGCCAAGAGGUGCACUCUGAGCAGUUUUCCAGACUUAGCGUUGUGGUGCUCAGGGGCUGAGUUGACUGCUUUGCUCAACUUUGACCAAGAUUUUGAACAGGUUCUGGUUCGAUUUGGACCUGGGUCAUUGUAACAAACUUGGAAAACACUUGAGGUAUUACAACCUUUAUUAAGAGCCUGACUUGAGUUUAGAUAUGAAAUCGUGAGAUAAAGGCUUGCAAAGUUGGAGGAAAACUUGAAUUCCACGACUUGGAGGUUUAUAGGGUUCUUUAUUAUUCCGGUUUUGAUUCCUGUUUUUGACUUCCUCCCACUCCGAAUUAGCCAAAGUGACUUUAACAAAUAUUGUUUGAAAUUAAAAGUGUUACAACUCUUAUUUGGGCAAAAUUUUAAGUUUGUAUAUAAAAUCUCAAGUUUUAUUUUAAACUCCAUAAAGAGCUUCUUAGGGUUAAAAUGGUCAUUUCACUUCCUUUACUUAGUGAUUAACCACUGGUUUAUAUUUAAAGCACUUAAUUUAGGUAGAGUUGUUACAAGUAUCCACUCACUACUUUACCAAAUGGGUGCAGGCAGUCCCUCUGAAGACCGUGACGUUGGCCGUCAUGAUUGAAUUCAUAAGCGAGCACAUUAUCUAUUGGUUUGGUAUUCCUCAGACUGUUACGACCGAUCAGAGAACAAUGUUUACUUCAGGAGAGUUUGAGGAGUUCACUUCCGAUAUGGAAAUUAAGUUGUUAAAUUCUUCUCCAUAUUACGUUCAAGCUAAUGGUCAGACCGAAUCGUCCAAUAAAGGGAUAAUCAAGUGUAUCAAGAGGAAGGUAGAGGAGCAACCAAAGAGAUGGCACAUGACUUUAAGCGAGUCUUUGUGGGCCUACAGGAUGGCCUGCCACGGCGCUACUAAGGUGUCUCCUUAUCAAUUAGUGUAUGGAUAUGAGGCGGUGCUCCCUUAGGAAUUGAGGAUGGGGUCUAGACGCACGUCGAUUCAAGAUUAGUUGACAGCCGACGAUUAUUCUCUCCUUAUGAAAGGGGAGCUUGAGGAUUUGGUGGGUCAACGAUUGAGGGCCUUGAUCAGUAUUGAAGAGAAUAAGAAAAGACUUGCCAAGUGGUAUGACAAGAAGGUCAAGGUCAAGCAGUUCUCGCAAGGGGAUUUGGUAUGGAAAUUGGUAUUGCCGAUAGGGUCUAACCAUCCCAAAUACGGCUAGUGGUCGCCUACUUGGGAAGGGUCGUAUAAAUCGAUCGAUAUGUGCCAGGAAAUGCAUACGUAUUAGAGACCAUCGAGGGAGAGGAAUUUACAAGAGCCUUAAAUGGGAGAUAUUUGAAAAGAUACUAUCCCAGCAUAUGAGUGGACGCGUAGCCGAUGAUAUAGUGUAUCGAGUCGUUAUGGCCGAUUCCUAUUGACUCGUGUUUAUAUAGCCGAUGCAGGGAGGCAUCGCCUUGAGGACGAAACCUCUAAUCAAAUUGGCCGAUUAUUAUUCGGUACGGUGAUUGGAUACAUGGCCAACAUGGUACAAGUCGCCCUUAGACCAAAAGUACCAAUACAUCUAUCGGGUUACAAUAUGAUUAACUGCAUUUCAACUGGGCUUUGUUUUUAUUGAUCUCUCUUUGGACCCGGCCUAGUUCUAUUAAGAGACGGGUGCUCUUUUCCUCCCUAUCCGCCAUGGCAUCUUUGAGAGCGACCUGGCAGGGUAGCUGAUGACUCCUCUCAAUUGGCGGCUGAGGUGGCUCCCUGGAGCUGUUGGCUUCGAUGUGAUCCACGAUCUUCUUAAUGUGGGUCGGAAGAUGGUCUUUAAGCUCCUCACGGUGGGCUUUGAUCAGGUCUUGGUCCACCUGCAUCAGUGGUUCCUCAGAGUGCAUAAUUUCGAUAACUCGCUCAAGAUCAGGGCUGAGCCGGGUCGGCUGGACAAACAGCGGGCAAUCAGUUGUCGAAAAGAAUUGGUCAAGGAGCGCAAGGCUGAUCUCAUACCUCAUUGACGGGGGAAGAAGAAGACAUCUUGGCGCCCGGUUAGGGAUCUGAAAAUGGUCGAGCAGAGUGUAGAAGGAUGGAUGAGAUACGAGUGCCUCUGGGAGGAAUGUAGGGACCCCAUAUUUAUAGGAGAAAAGGUAAGGGGCAACGGUUGGCAAAGGCAUCUAUUCAAAGCAGAUGAAUGUUGAGCUAAAAGCUGCGAAGAGGAAACGUUCAAGUCCGUAUUCACACAAUGAUGGCAAAAGGGGCAUUAAAUGUUUGUGCAGAGGUGUUCAAAAGAUAAUUCAAUGUUUUGAUACAUUCAUUCAAGAAGAAUAUUAAUGGCCGCGAUUGCCUACUGGCGGAUCUGAUCCGCUGAAUCUAGAACUCGUUGGACAUCUUCGGCUGAUCCAAGAAUUUCUAGCAUGUUGCGAUGAAGCCGGAUGGCCUCAUGCGCAAGGGUUUGCCUCUCCUGCUUCAGAUCAGCGAUGACGGUCGUGAGAUCAUGAAGAUUAUUCUUUUUGGCGGUUAUAGCCUUUGUCACCUACUCCAUCUCCUUGGCAAUCUCUGCCCUAUGCUAUUUGAGACGGUCUAUUGUGCCGACGAUGUCUGGGCGAGAAUUUUCGAGUACGCCGAUUCGGUGAUGUACCUCUUGAGCUCGGUGUUUGUAGGAAUCCUUCUCUUCACAUGGCUUUGCCAGCUUGGCAUGAACGGCCAUGUGCCGCAGGGCUCUGAACACCGGGAUUUGCAUUGACUCGAUGUAUGUAGGAGGUGCAAGAGCUUUUUCUACAUCCUUCAGGACUCGGCCUUUUAUUUCGCUGAAGAUUUGCCAAAUCGGCGAAGCGUCUUCCACCAAUCGGCCGAUGUCAUCUUGAAGAAGUGCUCGGAUUCUCUGGAGCUUUGCACGUACUUCUUCCGAAAUUGAACCUGGAGCCACUUGUCGAGAGGCUACCUCUUCAUCAUCAGAAACAGCGAUCGCAAAUGAAAAGAGGCUGUUAUUGGGCGUAUCUUGUUCCUAUAAAAGUAAGAGAGGAAGGAACGGAUUAGCCGACAGUAGUGGGAAAUCGGUCGGAUUGGAUGUCGAAGGCCCUUACCUGUUUAAAAUGAAUUUUCUUCUGUUUGUGUUUGGGGGAUUGCUACCCUUGUCUCAGGAAUCAGCAUGGUUGGCUCGUCAGAAGAAGAAGACUCGACGGUGAUCGACGUUGUGUUUGGACCGGCUUCCUGAAAGUAACAAAAGGAGAGUCUCUAUAAGUAUGAAGCAAUAGUUAGAUCUAAGGAUGAGUACCAGUUACUUUACCUCUGUGAGUCGUCCGGCCGAUGACUGUUGGAAAGGUAUGAUUGAUGUACCCAGAGUGGCCUACAUUAGAAAUCGGUCAUUUUUGACUAAGGAAUAAGAGACUUGAGUAAGAUGUAUGUUCUUUACCUCAGCUGCAAGGAUUGCUGGUGGUUCGGUCUCUGCUUGGGAUGCGACCGAUUGCUGUGAGGUUUGCUCCGAAAGAAUUUGCGCAGCCUAACAAAAAGUGGAAAUUAAUACUGAUAGUAUACUUGGAGAAAUGUGAAGCAUAUAAAGUUACCUGAACAUCUUUUACCAAUAAGGAUGCAGCUGCUGAUCCGGCUUCCGUAGCGGCUUGGGGGUCGACCUCCUGGGCGAUCGGCAGAGUUGGUGUGGCUGAAGACUCGGCUGGUGGCACCGCCGAUUGAUCGGCCGGUUCUAUACGGGCGCGCACCCGGCGGCUUGUCUUCUUUGAAGAGGAUAUCUUCAUCUUCUGCUUCAAUCGGCCUGUGAUGAUAUCUUCGAUUGACGGGGACUGAAAGCCGAUGAUUGGAAAUGAAGUAUAUGGGUGGCGAUUCUCUAUCGGCCUGCCACUACAGUUGUGCGUUGGAGAGAGUUGGCUUUCAGACGACAAGAAAUGAGGGAAAUCAGUGGUAAUACUGUAAGAGUACGGUGUCAAAUCGGCCAGAAGGAUUGGUACCUCUGCAUUCGGAUCAAUGUUAGCGGGGUCCAGAUCAUUACAAUAUGUUGUAGGAGAUGUGCAGAAGAGGUGUUGUUUCCACUCACCCCACCAUAGCUUGAAUUGUUGGACAGCGAAGGGGGCCACAACCCAGUUGGCCAAUUCGAUGGUACUGGAAUCCGGCGUCAAGCUGCACAGCUGAUUGUAUUCAAGACCUUUAGAGAGCUCCUCCCGACACUUAACGCGGCCGGCAAAAUAAAUCUUAAUCGGCAUUUGUCUGAGGCCGAAUUGCCGCGCUGCCACUGAUGGGUUGUAGAAUUCAUAGGUUGGGGAGUCUUUUCCUGAGAAGAAGUUUGCUGGUAGGAUCCCAGGCUUGAUCAAAGUAUCCAUAAGCUCAUUAUCGAAGUAAUUGAUGGUUGAAUUGAAGCAGUCGGGGUUUUCAAAGAGUGGCUCAAUUCUCUGAUAUGGGUACCAGCUUGUAGUUUCUUCAUUGAAGCCGAUAUAGAAGCAUCUGAAAUACUCAGUUGUAUUUGUGGGGGUAAACUUGCUGCCAGGAGAAGCUGACGCUACCUCGCCAAGGAAGUGCAACGCCGUCUUAAUGUUGGGUUAUCCUCUGAUUCAAUAUUGGGGAAUGUCUUGGUCUCAACUCGUUCCCUGGAGAUCUUGCUCAUGUAUAAGUUGAGCCAGAUGGUGAUAAACCACCAGGGGCCACCAGAGUUCCCAAUCGGCUCUCCGGAUGACAGCUUGACUGCGAUUUGGUGCAUCAUAUGAUGAGCCAAUCCUAGCAGGUGUUUUCCUAAGGGGAUAGUAGAACCUUUUGCUAGGGCCUCGACCAGAGCCUGUGUAUUGGAGGAGGGGCCAACUGCUUUGCCACAGAAGAAGUGCUUCUCUAACCACAUCAUCAGGAAAGCUGUGUAUUCUCUAUCGCCGAUAGGACCGGUCUUCAUAUUUUUAUCAAUAUAGCAUUUCCACCUGCCGAUUCCCUUUGUUUCCAGGCGAUGGGUUGGUUUGAUCAGGAAAUUGAAGGGCAAGUCGGGGGAAGAGAUGUCAAGACCGGUCAGCAUCAGGACGUCGGCCAAAGUAGGGGUCAUGGGCCCAUGUCCAAAAAGGAAAACAUUGAGAGCGUCAGACCAGAAAUAAGAAGCUGCCAUGACCAAAGGUUCAUUCUUCUCCAUUUGAGACAGAUAUAAGUUUAUGCAUUGGCCGAUUUUUAGUUCAUCCCAAAGAACCCUCUAAGAAUUGGACAUCCUUUGAAACCACUCUUUCCAGCCAAGGGUUUCGUUCGGCCAAGAUCUAAAUGCACCUGUCCACUGGCUUAAAUCCAUUGGUGACUGCUUGAAAGGGAUCAUGUGGGUUUCCAGGUUGAUCAAUUCAGUGGGAUCUAGAUUCCCCAUGGGGCUAAGACCGACGAGGCCGGGUGCGUCAGAAACAGGGAUGGUGAUUUGCUGCCUAAGUUCCUAAAAAGGAUACAAAAGGAGAACUAAGAACAGAUCUAAAAGAUGCGUGAAUGGUGAAAAGUAAAAGUAAAAACUUUGGGAUAUUUACCUCUGGAAUGAAAGCCAUAGUCGCCUAUGGAGCCGCUAUUGGAGUAAACAGAAUAGGAUGGACGGAAGAUGAAGGAGGAAUCACCGUAGGAAUGCAGUUGGAAGAUGAAAGGGUGCCGAAAUGCGAUGGAAGAUGAUUCGCCGGGGAAAAAAGAGUUUCCCAGCUUGUGGAGAAGAAGCGGCGGAGAAUGCAAAUAUUUAAAGAUGGUUCGAGAGAAGGGUAAAGGUGGGAUUUUACCGCGCUGUCUGCACAAAUUUCGGGAAGAGCGGUUGCCUGCGAGCGCCUAGCUCGAAAAUUGUGAUCAUCAGAGAGAAGACCGCAGAACAGAAAGGAGCUUUCGCCGUGCCCGCCUCGGAGGAUGAGUUAGAGUUGAAAAAAAUUUGAAGCAAAAAGUUUCACUCUGAAACUUGGGGGCAUGUGUUGACGCCGGAUUUUGACACGUACUUGAAAUCGGCGUCAAAGAAGGAGAAAGGGGGGCCGAUGCGGCGGACUAGAAGCUACAGUUGGGAAUCGGCCGAUUGAAGCUACAGUGUUUCAGCCGAUUGGUGGAAGAAAUCGGUGGAGGCUGGCCGAUUGAGAGCCAAAGCAGUUUGGCCGGUUUGGGCCUAAGGUGGACCAGGAUGAAGAUUUGCUGAAGAGACAGGCCCGUGGGAAAAUAAUAACCAACUCGAAUAUGAGUCGUGUUUGUAACUAUUUGUUGUCGUUUGAAAUUAGAGAUAGAUUCUAGUCGGUUAUGAAAUCAGUUGCAACAGGCAAUAAUAGCUGCCUCGAGAGGCUUGUAAAAAAAUAACACACAAUCAAUAAAACAAAUUUACUCUUUCCUCGUACUUUACUUUCAAGUCGGCGACUUCGCCAAAACCUUUUUCUUUCACGAGUUCGUACGGAUUGGCAGGGCUGCAUCUACAUGAUCUCCGACCGAUUCUGUAAGUUCCGCUUAUCGAGUAAUAUCUAAGCUUUAACUUCGGGCGCAUCGCUGUUGUUUCAUUUAGAUUUAUUCACUAGUUAUCGAUAUCAACUACAGUCAUAGGUUUUACCUGUUAUUUUAGUUUUUAUCACCAAUUAUCCAGCUUGAGGUACGAGCUAUCGGCUUCUAUUAUUUUUAUCCUUUAUCAUCACAUAGCUGAUUAGAUCUACUCCAAGUGUUGCUUUUGUAGUGUUGUUUAGGUUGCUCUAGAAGUUUUCCUUACGAUUGCUACGUGAGUAUCGGCUGUCUUAUAGCCGGUCAUCUCUAUAGUAAAUCGGCCGAUUCGCUAAUACGCUCUUCAAGACAGAUCGGAACUCUAGCCGAUCGAAACCCCUAAAAUUUAAUAUUCUUCUUUCCUUUGUCAAUCAACAGGUCAGAUUGACUGGCACGCCGCGCGAACCGCACCAGGGCAAUAACCUGAACAGGAGCUAAGCAGAUUCUCCCGGGUCGUGUGUCCGACGCUGAGGGUCAUCGGCCAAUUUUCAGGGCCAACAACAGCUUUUGGGCAAAAGCAUAUAGGACUUUUAGGGGGUGUUUGGCAUGGCUCUAGAGCUGAACUCCGGUAACUCCAGCCAAUUUUCCAGCCAAACACCCUAGCUCCAAAACUCCAUGGAGCUGCAGUGCAAAUGGGAUGGAGUUUUGGCGCACCUCUUUUGUAGCUCCAAAACCACCUAAUAUGAACCUCCUCGUGGAGUUGGUGGGUAAUUAACCAUCAAUGCCACUGAUUAAAAUAAAAAUGAUUCACUUCUAUUUUCUCUCGAGACCCCUCCCCGCGCCGCCCGAGGCCUCCUGAUGCCGCUCUCCUGCGCCGCCGCCUAGCGCCGCCGACAGCUGCUGUCGCCGUCCGUGCCCCGCGUCCUGCGGGCUACCGCCUCGCCAUCCCCAUGAGCCCCCUGCACCGCCGUCAGAGCCGCCAGCCGAGCCGCUGCGGCCGGGUUUCCGCCGUCUUGCCGCCUCUUUCCUCAACUGGAGUGAGCCAUCAGCAGCAGCAGAUUCCCCUCGGCGAGCCACGCCCGUUUCGCCGGUUCCGUUGUCACCCUGCUGCCGGAGUGCCGCCGCCACCGUGAAAACCGCCCGCCCCCCGAUCUCCACCACCACGCUGACCACCUCCGUCCAUGCCCUCCGCCGGUGAGCACACCCGUAGAUUCCCCUCGACCCCCUCUUCCUCUUGCGCCACCUGCCCAAAACACCACCUCGCCGGAGCGCCAGCAAGCUAGCUGGCCAGAGCCCCGGUGAGAGGAGGAAGAAGGAACCUGGCUCUUUUGUGAUUGGGUCCUUGAGGAAAGCUAAAAUCUUUUGCUCUGUUCCUUGCUCCCGGCGAGAGGAGGAAGAAUAGUGGGCUUCUGUGGUGGAGGGCGAGAUCGAACCAGGAGUCAGAAUGUCAAUCUACCCUCAAACUCCUCUUUUCUGGAGUUGGGAACACCCUCCCAACCAAACACCUUCAUCAGACAGCAGGUUGAAAAGAGGCACAUGAGGCUCAGCCGCUUAGGCCCACGGGCAAAAAAAAAAAACUCUUACUUUAUGGCGGAGUAGUUGCUGUUCCAGUGUGCAGGUAAAUUGUCGCAAAUGCCCUCUUGUGGUCGCGUUGCAGUAGCCGAUAAGGCGUCCAAACGUGAGGUGCACACACCUGAUCUGAUCCUCUCAGUGGAAACGGGCCAGGUCCAUGCAACCCAGGACAGGAAGGCUCUAUACCUGGGCCGAACGGUAGCCCAAGAGGCCGACAGUAAGUGAGCUCACGGGUGACGAACGGCCCAGAAGCCGCCCCAAUCCGGCCACCGCCACUGAGCCGGCUCGACUAAACCGGAUCGCCACGCAGCCCGACCGCGCAGGCGUACUUCCCGAACUACCCCCGGAGAUUAUCCAAUCGGACGGCCAAGCGCCACGCACUGCCAAAGAAUUCCCCGAAAUGACCCUACUCUUCCCUUUGCCUCCCUCGCGUGCCGCCGGUUCUGCUCGACCGGACCAGCGGUUCAGGCGCCGAAUAUUCGCCCGCGGAUAUUUCUUGCCCGGUGCGUCAACUCCGCCGCUAUAAAUACCCUCAUAGGGCGGCCGCUAGGGUUUUAGUGCUUCUCUCCCGGCGGCGCCUCCACAUAUCGUCUCUCAGAUCGGGAGGCGAAACCAAGGUGACUGACCUCAUCCCCUUUCUCCUCCCUCCGUCUCUGGUUGCUAUAGCUAUUUCAUCCAUGCGCUGUCCUUAUAGCUGAUUAGUAUUUUUACUAGUGGAGUUCGAGUCGUUUUGGUUCCAUUCAGUAGUGCUUGUGUUGAUUGGAUUGAAUCGGAGGACUCGAAGUGGUUUGUGCUGCUCGAAUCGUAAGUUUGUUGGGCUAAUCUCGAUGGAAUUUAUGUCAAUUCGUUGGUUUAGUGGUCCUUGGCAGUUCUCUCUGUGAUAGGCCCGUCCGAUCUGUAGAGAUGCGGUGGAAUCCUGGUUUACUCAAAACGGUUCUAGAUUCCUCUGUUCUUCCCUUAUUUUUUGUUUCGAUUACUUAGUUUGCACGUUAGGGGCCUAUGAAGUUUAUGUGCUCGGAUCCUUUAGUGAAACUGAUCUGUUUACUCAGAUGUGCUCGGAUCCUUCAGUGAAACUGAUCUGUUUACUCAGAUCUGCUGGUAGCUAACAGGUUCAGGGUAGUUAUGUUGAUGGUCUAGUUUUGGUAGUUUCAUUGUCGAUUUCUGUCCAUUUUUGUCAUGUUCUGUCCAUAAAAAUACUAUCUGUGCUUCUUCAUAUCUUGUAAUAUGAAUUCAUUUGACAAACUAUGCAUUUCUUUUAGAGUGUUUGUCUAAAUUAAUCUUCUGGUAUAUCCCUAUGCCAGUCUGUUAAUAUGUCUGUAUUAUAGUGUUUUGUUUGAGGUGGUAAUGUACAUGGUGCACCCUGCAGUUUUUCAUGUCUAAUAUUGAAUCUCCUUGUUUGCUGUAUGUAUUAAGGAUUAGUUUCACUUCAAAUAGCUUACUGCUGAUGCUUUCUUGUUUGUUUAAUAUGCUGUGUAAUCAUGUUGACCCUGAGGUUUGUAAGAAUUCCUCUUAUUUGAUUAUUGCAUGGAUUAGUGUCCUGAAGGAUAUGGCUCCUUUGUACAAUUAAGAUAAUUCACUUUUUUUUCUCAACUUUUAUAUGCUUACUAGCCCAUUAGGUUGUGUAAACAUUAGAGUGCUUUAGCCUGGUAAAGAUGAGUUAAGCAUUUUAAAUAAAUUUUUGGAUUUGGUUGAUAUCAUCCUUAACACCUGCAUUUAAACAAUUUGUCUCUUUUGAUCCUGACUAUUACAGUGGGUGUUACUUUCUUUAGUCAUUCUGUGGUAUCAAAGUUUCUGGUGUAGUUGUGUAAUUAUGGUUUUGGUUGGAUUCUUACUAGUAUUUUCUACCUUUAAACAGCAGGAAAUUAUAUACAUAUUUGUAGUGUGAUCUUCAUAAGAAGUCAAGAUGGUGAAGUUCACAGCGGAAGAGCUCCGUGCCAUCAUGGACAAAAAGAACAACAUUCGUAAUAUGUCCGUUAUUGCUCAUGUGGACCACGGUAUGUUAAGAACAGUGUUUAAUUAAAUGUUAUGCAUACCUGUUCCUCGACAUUUUUCAGGCUUUUCAAUUUUAGCAAUUGUUUUUUUUCAGUAUUAAAUCUCUGAAUUGUUCUUGCCAGUGAAUGCGAUUCAUGCUGCGUUAGCUAUCACAGACCUAUUUUACAUAUGUAGAAAUAUUCAUUUCAUGUUGGAAAUAGGCUUAUUGUUCUUUUGUAAUUAAUGUAUUGGUUUAUCUCUAGAUAUUGCAGUGUAUAGUAUCUGUUUACUAUGUGUUUUAUAUUGGGAUGUAUUGUUGUCUUUGUUAACUUGUGAGAGGUUGUCUAUCCCUAAUGUUGUACUAUUCUUGAUGCAUCUUCGGACUGACUUUUAAGUUCCACACUAUAGUCUUACAUCUCAUUAAUUCUUUGCAGGCAAGUCUACCCUUACAGAUUCCCUUGUGGCAGCUGCUGGGAUUAUUGCCCAGGAAGUUGCUGGUGAUGUCCGCAUGACUGAUACACGUGCAGAUGAAGCAGAGCGUGGUAUUACAAUCAAAUCCACCGGUAUUUCUCUGUACUAUGAGAUGACUGAUGAGUCACUGAAGAGUUACAAGGGUGAGAGAGAUGGUAACCAGUACUUGAUCAACCUUAUCGACUCACCUGGGCACGUUGAUUUUUCUUCGGAAGUCACAGCUGCCCUUCGUAUCACCGAUGGUGCUCUAGUGGUGGUUGACUGUAUUGAAGGUGUCUGUGUGCAAACUGAAACUGUGCUCCGCCAGGCUCUUGGUGAGAGGAUUAGGCCAGUGCUUACUGUGAACAAGAUGGACAGGUGUUUCCUUGAGCUUCAGGUUGAGGGUGAGGAAGCCUACCAGACUUUCUCCCGUGUCAUUGAGAAUGCCAAUGUCAUUAUGGCAACAUAUGAAGAUAAGCUCCUUGGUGAUGUCCAAGUCUACCCGGAGAAGGGAACUGUUGCUUUCUCUGCUGGUCUGCACGGCUGGGCCUUUACCCUCACCAACUUUGCCAAGAUGUAUGCUUCGAAGUUUGGAGUUGAUGAAACUAAGAUGAUGGAGAGGCUCUGGGGUGAGAACUUCUUUGACCCAGCCACAAAGAAGUGGACCACCAAGAACACAGGCUCUGCUACCUGCAAGAGAGGAUUUGUUCAGUUCUGCUAUGAGCCAAUCAAGCAAAUCAUCAACACCUGCAUGAAUGACCAGAAGGAUAAGUUGUGGCCCAUGCUUCAAAAGCUUAAUGUUACCAUGAAGUCUGAUGAGAAGGAAUUGGUUGGCAAGGCUUUGAUGAAGCGUGUUAUGCAAACUUGGCUUCCAGCUAGUACUGCACUGCUUGAGAUGAUGAUAUUCCACCUUCCUUCCCCAUCAAAGGCACAAAAGUAUCGUGUGGAGAACUUGUACGAGGGACCCCUUGAUGAUAUCUAUGCUACUGCUAUCAGGAACUGUGAUCCGGAGGGUCCUCUUAUGCUGUAUGUUUCUAAGAUGAUUCCAGCAUCUGACAAGGGCAGGUUCUUCGCCUUUGGUCGUGUCUUCUCUGGGAAGGUUGCUACUGGUAUGAAGGUUAGGAUCAUGGGUCCCAACUAUGUCCCUGGCCAGAAGAAGGAUCUGUACGUCAAGAGUGUCCAGCGUACUGUUAUCUGGAUGGGAAAGAAACAAGAGUCUGUUGAGGAUGUUCCUUGUGGUAACACUGUUGCUAUGGUUGGUCUGGAUCAGUUCAUCACGAAGAAUGCUACACUCACCAAUGAGAAGGAGGUUGAUGCAUGCCCAAUCAGAGCAAUGAAGUUCUCUGUCUCCCCUGUUGUGCGCGUUGCUGUUCAGUGCAAGGUUGCCUCUGACCUACCCAAGCUCGUUGAAGGUUUGAAGCGUCUGGCAAAGUCUGAUCCUAUGGUCCUCUGUACAAUUGAAGAAUCUGGUGAGCAUAUUAUUGCUGGAGCUGGUGAGCUUCACCUUGAGAUUUGCCUGAAGGAUCUGCAGGAAGACUUCAUGGGUGGUGCUGAAAUUAUUGUUUCUCCUCCUGUUGUCUCUUUCCGUGAAACUGUUCUUGAGAAAUCCUGCCGAACAGUCAUGAGCAAGUCCCCCAACAAGCACAACCGUCUUUACAUGGAAGCCCGUCCCUUGGAAGAGGGUCUCCCUGAGGCUAUUGAUGAGGGCCGCAUUGGUCCACGUGAUGAUCCCAAGGUUCGCUCCAAGAUCCUCUCUGAGGAGUUUGGUUGGGACAAGGAUCUUGCCAAGAAGAUUUGGUGCUUUGGACCUGAGACCACUGGCCCGAACAUGGUUGUUGAUAUGUGUAAGGGAGUGCAGUACCUCAAUGAAAUCAAGGAUUCUGUUGUGGCUGGCUUCCAGUGGGCCUCAAAGGAGGGUGCACUGGCUGAGGAGAACAUGCGUGGCAUCUGCUUUGAGGUCUGUGAUGUUGUUCUUCAUGCUGAUGCAAUUCACAGGGGUGGUGGCCAGGUCAUUCCAACUGCCAGGAGGGUUAUUUAUGCUUCUCAGCUCACUGCCAAGCCAAGGCUGCUCGAGCCAGUUUACCUUGUGGAGAUCCAGGCCCCAGAAAAUGCACUUGGUGGUAUCUAUGGUGUUCUGAACCAGAAGAGAGGGCACGUGUUUGAGGAGAUGCAGAGGCCUGGUACCCCGCUCUACAACAUCAAGGCUUACCUCCCUGUCAUCGAGUCCUUUGGGUUCUCCAGCCAACUGAGGGCUGCAACCUCUGGCCAGGCGUUCCCUCAGUGUGUGUUUGACCACUGGGACAUGAUGGGCUCUGAUCCUCUGGAGGCUGGCUCCCAGGCUGCUCAGCUGGUGUUGGAUAUCCGCAAGAGGAAGGGUCUCAAGGAGCAGAUGACCCCUCUUUCUGAGUUCGAGGACAAGCUCUAAAUUUUGGUGGUUUGUGCUGCUGGU